RNAcentral lists this long non-coding RNA (96855 nucleotides) under Triticum aestivum (bread wheat). RNAcentral describes it as "long non-coding RNA (TAES_LNC016915)". Lineage: Eukaryota; Viridiplantae; Streptophyta; Magnoliopsida; Poales; Poaceae. The record is from RNAcentral.
GUUUUUUUUUGUCCGGACGCACUUCCUUGCGUGCGAACAUGUAGCUGGUGGGUCCCAGCAGUCAGGGGGGCGAAUUUUUUUUGCCCAGACGCACUUCCUUGCGUGCGAAGGUGUAGCUGGUGGGUCCCAGCAGUCAGGGGGGAAACGAUUUUUUCGUGAAAUACGGUGGCCCGUCCGGUGGGUCCUUGCUGUCAGGUGGAGGAAUCAUUAUUUUCCGCAUAAUAAGGAGGCACUUCCUUGCUGCCGCCGUGGACCCAGCUGUCAGCCUCUCCACGUACAGUCCAUGUUCGAUGGAAGUCGUUCCAUGACCAUGUUGACCACGCCGCACCGAGAGCACCAGGGCGGUGGACGACGGCGAGGCCUAGGAAGGGGACGACGCGGAGCCGGUGAAGACGCGGCAGUGGAUGCCCACGCGGAGAGGAGUAUGAGGGUUCACUCGUUCGGCUGUGGUGUGAGGCUGCCGUCGCCGCAGCGCCUGGCCAGCGGUGGGAAUAGUAGGGGGCGGUGAGGCCUCCGCGGCAGCACAGCCGGCCACGGGAGGCAGGAGCAGGCGGCACGACCGGCGCUGCUUUGGGCGGCUGGAGCAAGAAGACCAGAGGUUGAAGAAGCACUACGGCCGUUGGAUGGACAUCGUACGUUCACUGGAGCUAGAAUCGUUCAUAUUGACUAAGUUGACAAAGCCCUCCGUCCCCGUCAACUUAGUAGGCCCACAAGUCAGCCUCCCACCAAGGUGGGUCCCAGCUAGCAGGGGAGUAUUCAUUUUUUUGUGCGUAAUAAGGAGGCACUUUCGGUGGGUCCGAGCUGACAGCGGGGGGAACUUUUUUUUGCGAAAUACGGUGGCCCGUCCGGUGGGUCCUAGCAGUAAGGGGGGAAAUGUUUUUUUCGCGAAAUAAGGUGGCCCGUCCGGUGGGUCCCCGCUGUCAGGUGGAGGAAUAAUUAUUUUGCGCGUAAUAAGGAGGCACUUCCUUGCGGCCGCCAUGGACCCAGCUGUCAGCCUCUCCACGUACAGUACUCUUCCGAUGGAAGUCAGUCGUUGACCAUGUUGACCACGCCGCACCCAAACCACCAGGGCGGUGGACGACGGCGAGGCCUAGGAAGGGGACGAGGCGGAGCCGGGGAAGAUGCAGGAGUGGAAGCCCGCGCGGAGAGGAGUACGAGGGUUCACUGGUUCGGCUGCGGUGUGAGGCUGUCGUCGCCGCAGAACAACAGGGGGUGUGGGUGAGUGGAGGGAUGGCCUGGCCAGCGGUGGGAGUAGUAUGGGGGCGGUGAGGCCUCCACGGCAGCACAGCCGGCCACGGGAGGCAGGAGCAGGCGGCACGACCGGCGCUGCUUUGGCCGGCUGGACCAAGAAGACCGGAGGUUGAAGAAGCACUACGGCCGUUGGAUGGACAUCGUACGGUCACAGAAGCUAGAAUCGUUUAUAUUGACUAAGUUGACAAAGCCCUUGGUACGCUCCAACUUAGUAGGCCCACAGGCCAGCCUCCGAAACGGUGCGCCCCAGAUGUCAGGGGGAGGAAUCAUUUUUUGGGCGGCCGAAGCUAAGAAUAUCCGAGAUUGAAGAAGAAGCACGACAUCCGUUGGAUAGACAUCCAACGGCCACUGCUGCUAGAACCGUGUGUUGACUAUAAUAAGUUGACAAAGCCUUGCAGACGCGUCAACUUAUUUUUUUUAGGGGACGCAUCACUUAGUAGGCCCACAAGUGUGUGGCAGAGAACUUAUAGCCCAUUUGUGUUUUGAAGAAUGUACAGCCCAUUUUUGAAUUCUAAUGGAAUUUACAACAGCCCAUUUACAGUUUGUUAAAAGCACAGCCCAUUUUCUAGCUAGGACAACGAUUAAUAAUUUCAACCAACCGUUGAAGACAGAAUUCAAUAAAAUUUCCCACAUUUUGAUGGGAUCCGAAAUAUUUUUAUCCCGAAAUUUAUAAUCAGAUUAAAUAUAAAUUUGUAUUACGUAAAAAUCCAACGAAACAUUGCGCGCGCAACAAUGAAAAUUUAAGAUUUUCAAAAUCCAUAAAUAAUAUUUUAUAAACUAAUUUCGUGUUUGGUGCAUUUUUUAUAGUUACUGCCCAGUUUUUAUAAUUACAUCCCAUUUAUUAUUUUUUAAAGCCCAUUUUCCUGUUAAGCCUAAUGCAUCCCUCCUAGGAAAGAUUUGCAGCCCAGCGGGGCGGAGAAUAACAAGUUGACCUUGCCUGGGUAUUCCUCAAAAAGACGUAUAGCUGGGAUAGCCAUUUUCAUCUUGAAAAAAUUAGUAUCUGGGCUGGAUAUGUGGCCUGGGCUAGACGGGCCACAGCCCGCCCAGUUAAUACCCUGCUCUCCUCUGAACAACAACGAAAUCAUCGCCAAGAAAAACUCUGCAGUGCUCACGCCUCAAAAACACAAAUACUGCUCGAGCUGCUUGGUCCCAGCUGUCGGCCGCACCUUGUGCAAUUCUCUCAUUUAUAUUGACUACAUAGGUUGACAAUGGUGUGGGAUCGUGAUGUCAGGAAACCAGGAGAAAGCAAAAAAAUAUAGUUGUACAUAAUAAGGAGGCACUUGCGUACGUACGGCUAUGGCCCUAGUGGGUCCCUAGUGUCAUCCAGUCAAAAUAAAGUCAUCUCCUGAAUCCUCAUGUUCGUUGACGAUGUUAACAAUGCUCGGCGCCACGGCGAGUGCAACAACUCGAAGGACAAUGGAGAGGGACUCGCGGGCCCUACGGAUGGUCUGAUAUAGCGCCCGCUGCUCAUUCAGGAAGCCAGGAUCAUCGGACACCUAUGAGCACCUUCGAGAAACUGAGACGGCAUGAAACGGUAAGGCCGCGCUUGGGAGCUCUGGUUUAUUUCAAACCUGUAUUAACAUACAAGUGUAAUUUACUCGUCAUCGGAAACAACGCAUAAAAUAUAGGCGUAAUGAAACCGAGGGCCCGAGGUCUGUAAGUAAAAUCGGCGGGUUACGCGUGUAAUUUGAGAGACCAGUGUAUAUUUUACGAGCACUGCUAUAUGGACGACAUUACCAGACGAUACAUGCACGAUGUGCGUAUCAUGCCAUCCAUGGGCAAGGCUGAAACAGCAGCUAACGGCUGGAUUAGCAAUCGUCCGAGUGUCGUUCAGCGUUUUUAUCGUGUGUGAAGUACUUCCGAUAUUUUACUAGUCGAAAUCGACCAACCAAGCGCCUUCGCCCGAGACCAUCUGCUUUAAUUUACAAGCGUCAGUUUUACAAGCGGUCUUGGUUAGAAAACAACGAUCCAAUCACGGCCUAAUAUCAUGAGUUGGUCGGAAGAUCAUAUGGUUUCACGUCUAACCUACCCGACUUGUCAUAUAGGCUAUGAAUGAAACAUCAGAUGAUGAACUUCUUAAGCACGGAAACAACAGAAGAGGAUGAUCUUCUUAACAAGCAAAUCACUGGCAUUAGAUCGACAUGCAAAACAAUACGAAGCAUUAUUCUCAGGAGGCACGGUGAACAGCUCGUGAUGCCGCAUGCCACAACAUUCCAAGCUCAACUUUGCAAUCAAACACAAGGCCUGGCAUUACAUAGACAAUAUUCAGAACAAACUCUUAACACAGGUAUAUCUCAGCAGAGUAACUAUUUACUUCUAAACUGAACACGGGAAUAGGAAAAAACACUCGACGGUGCUCACAGCAAGGGCGUCCCACUCAAAAAUAUCAAAUGCAUGUCUUCUGGCUAACAUCAAUGAGCAAAUUUUGAUAAGGUUUUCCAAUUACAAUAUAUUAAACUAACGUCUUCUUGCUAACAUCGAUGAUUAAACUUUCACAAGCUUUUCCCAUUCAAAAUAUGUAAUGCCUAUGAUCGUGGAGUCCUGUCGUAGCUUCUUGUACUUGUUUGGGCACUUUUUGCCCAGGGCACUCCACGUGUUGUUAAAUUGCCAAUGGUCUCUGCAGACUAGUCAUGUCACUGGUGUCUAAUAAUACUCUGUAAAGCUUCUCGGUCAUUCCUUCUGUAAUGUAGUGCAAACAGUGACUGCUUCUUUCUGCAAAGUGGAACGACCAACUGGACCCAGUAAUGCAGUAGUUUGCCUUGGACACAUUGGCUCCUUUUGUGCAGUUCAACUAAAAUCGAAGUCGGAAUAAAACCGAGCUUUAAUUUUGAUAUCCCUGUAAGCAACAAUAGGUAUAAGGGAAACAAUUACUGAGAAAUAGCGGUUGAUGACUUGUACUCUCAGAAGAAAAGCAUCUACUGAUCUACUUUAUCUUAAUGGGAAACAAAGCAGGAGAGUAGCAAUUCUCCAUCAGUGUGAACAUUCAUAUUGACUGAGACAUUAUCUUAACAAUGCCUUGUUUCAACAUGUAUAAGGACGACAAAGCAGAAAAGUACCAUUCCUAAAACAAUGCAACUGAUUCAUUUUAACAGAGACAUCAUCUUAACAAUACCUUGGUUAAACAUGUAGAAAAAACUACAAAGCAGGAUAGUACCAUUCCUAACAAGUGUUGCAGUUUUGAACUAAGAUUCAGUAGUUAAUUAAUUCUGAGAGUGGCAUUGCUUAAUUUUACUAGCGGCAUUAGAUUAACGAAAAGCAUAAACAGUUCCAGGGGAGAGUGGGCGCAACAACAGUAUGUGCUUCCAUCUACUUAUAAAGGGGGUGAUGCAGAGUUUGUUGUAACAAAGCAACAAGCAUCAUGUCUGGGUUGGUCCCAUUUUUGUUCACUACUUAAUGGGAAAAGACAGCAAUACAAUAGCUUCAAUUCAACAUUUAUUUAAAACAGUACCAAUACAAGUAGCACAACAUCUCAAAGCACACUGCACAAUCAUGUGGAUGAAGGCCUGUACAGACCUUUCAUGAGACGGACAAGAUAAAAUACGAAUCUGCCAACACGAAUAGGAAAUCCAAUCUCGUUUUGUGCAGUUGCACUGAAAUCAAGCAAAGUGUUUCGCAUAGCGAAGCAAAAUGUCGCAAUAGCAACAAGUUGAAUAGAUAUCCCUGUUUAAACAGAGGCAAAAAAGGAAUCAAUUACUGGCUAAUAAAGGAGGAUGAAACAUGCGGCCACAAAAAUGGUAAUCCCGCCAAUCCCUAACAAGUGUUGCAGUUUUGAAAUAAGAUUCAGUAGUUAAUUCUGAGAGUGGCAUCAAUUACUGGCUUAUAAAGGGGGUGAUGCUGAAUUUGUUGUAACAAAGCAACAAGCAUCAUGUCUGGGUUGGUCCCAUUUUUGUUCACCACUUAAUGGGAAAAGACAGCAAUACAAUAGCUUCAAUUCAACAUUUAUUUAAAACAGUGCCAAAACAAGUAGCACAACAUCUCAAAGCACACUGCACAUCAUGUGGUUGAGACCAAGAUUUGAAACAACUCGCCACGAAGACUGGAAACAAAUCUCGAUCUCCUUUUGUGUAGUUCCACCAAAAUUAAGCAAAGUCACCGGUGUGACAUUCAAGUUGAACUGCACAAAACACUCUUAAAACAUAAGUGUUUCUAGUAGCGAAGCAAAAUGUCGCAAUAGCAACAAGUUGAAUCGAUAGCCCUGUUUUAACAGAGGCAAAAAAGGAAACAAUUACUUGCCGAUAAAGGAGGAUGAAAUAAACGGUGACAGAAAGAAGCAUCUAACUUAUCUUGGAUGGAAAACAAAGUAGGACAAUAGCAUUUCUAAAACGGUUGCAUUAAUUCAUAUUAACAGAGACAUUCUCUUGAAACAACAUUCGUUAAAAAUGUAAUUUACUUUUAACAGUGGCAUUGCUUCAAUUUUUCGGCGGCAUUCUUAGAUUAACAACAGCAAAAUAGCUGUAUGGGACAUGCCAGCACCAUGUGCGUCCACACGUAUAAAUGAGUGAUGCAGAGUAUGUAGCCAAGCAGCAUAUAUGCGCUGGUCCCAUAUUUGUUCUCUUUGAACCUUCUUCCUAUGUGAGGGCAGCAAAUCUAGUCCUGCACAAACUACUCGACCCCCCAGUUUCUUUCCCUUUUCAACAAAGAGAUCGGUUCCUUACAGAUGUGUGUACUGGGUUACCCCCUUUUUCCCUUUUCGACCUACAAAGCGGCUAGAUAGCCAGUCUAUACUACUUUCCGCCCCUCCUUUCCUCAUUGAACCACGUCCUAGAUUCUUGCUCCAGCCCACCGCACCCUUCUUUCCUCUUUGAACCAAGACCUAGAUUCGACUACAGAUCGAAAAAGAUCCACAUGCAGCUAGUGCAACAACGGUUUCAAAGAAACUUAUACCUUAGGGUCGUCGGGAUGUGGCAAGGCGUGCGGCGGGAGGCCGGAUCUGCCCACACUAUGUACGGCAGCGAGGAAGAAGGGGUCGGUGGCCCUCCCGCACAGGCGCUGGGUGAAAGAGAACAGCGCAGCCGGCAGUGGAUUGCCUCCCUCGCCGAAGGCGAUAGAGUGAACGCUGCACCUCCUCCCCUUCCCGGUGCGACGGGAUACGGACGCCUCCUUCACCAGCUGUGAGGGGGGAGAGAGAGACAAGAGGCCAACGCAGUCUUGUUUAGAUCUGGUGAAGAGAGGGUGAGAGACUGUGAAUAUAGCAAACCCUAGCAAAUGAACGCUGAGCCUCCAGCGUGUAACAUAUAUGGAGAGGGUGAGAGAGCGAGAUGCAAGAAACUCUAUCAAACAAGAGGCUAUAAUGGAGUAAAAAAAUCUCUCCAUAGCAGUGGUUUUAAAAAGAAUACGCAUGUUCCCGGAAAAAAGAAACGAAAACUGGCGGACAAUUUUUUAAGGGUCUGUCUAGGACACAUCUAGAUGUGACAUAGUUAUGUCACAUCUAAGUUGAUGUCCACUCUGUUUGUGGUCUAUUUUUUUCCUAGUUUUUUUUGUUUCUUGUUGCUACAUUAUAUACUUGUGGGAGCUUAGAUGUGAUAUCCUUAAAUAACAUCUAGAUGUGAAUUAGACAAACUGAUUUUCUAACGUACCAAGAAAGAAAACUCGAUCAAAAACACGCCCCCGCUUCCAGGUCGCGAGAGUCGUCGCGUACACACACAUAGACAUAGACAUGUCCGUGUUUACGUAAAAUUCCAUUUCCAUCUCCAUCUCCAAUCAUAUUUGUCCAACUCGCACAUUAUUUACGUUGUUAAUUAUAUACGCAUCAAUAUUAACGUACAACAUCUCUUGUUUGCGCACGUCUGGACCGCUGCCACGGCCGGUCCUGACCAACCCGAACCCUCUUCAUCACUCGCGCGUGCUUCCCGCCCAAAACGGUCAGUGUCGCAUUCAUGCCCAGCCAGAGCGGACGCAACCUCUCACUGCCCCGGCAUUGAAGCGGCGCGCCGGCCGAGAGAGCGUCGCCCGCGCCGCUUCCGGGUGCACGCGGUUGCUCCGCGUUCAAAGGUCGCAAUAGCCGGCUACAACAUGCAUGUAAAAAGUUCUUGGGAGUCCGUGCUACAGCUAGCUGUCCUCCCCCAACUCGCCAAUCUCUUCUAGUAGUGCUAGUACUCCAUGGCGCGAUCCAUCGACAAGCAGGCGGGAAAGUUAUCGUAUACUCGGUUUGCGGUGAGUGGCAUGCCGAGUGACUGUGUGGGGUCGAGCCGUGGAGGAGGGCACGAACACGACAUACGUGAUUUAAACGUUGGUUUUGCUCGAUGGCGCGAUCCAACGAAACGAAAUGUUGGUUUCUCUCCGUUUCCAUUUUUUUCUCCGGAAAAACGGAAACUUUCCACUCCAUUUUCAUUCCUAUUCCAAGGUUGCCCCAUUUCAACAUUCCAUCAAAUACAAAGGAAAACUAACACGCAUGCUGAUGCAUCUCAAUGAUUCACAGAUCAUAGCCAAUAUUUACUUCACAACUAAAGAAAAAAGUUGCGAGAGCGUGUACGAAAGAAAAACUACUGAUGGGGUCACUACGACUUAAACCCUAAACCCUAAACAUGAUUUAAUUUCCUGGCCAGGUAGAACCUGUCGAGGGAAAGACGGCUGGCACCCUCGGAUCAUACGAUGCUUUUGUGCAGUUCCACUAAAAUCGACCUGAGCAUCCCUGAUGGCAAAGAUAUUGAAGAAGUGUGAUUAGAAUAAUAGUACUGGCACUAGUUCAUGAGACAUAAACUCAUCACAAGUAGAAGCCGGUAGAAGUAGAGAAAGAUCGACAUGGAGAUGGAGCUACGGCAGUGGAGCAAGCCGGCUCCAAAAGGAAGAUGGACUACCUGGGACGUCGGGCUGUAGCUAGAAGGGCGGUUGGGACGCGGCAUCGGCCCAUACCGCGUUGACCCCCGAUUGGGACGCACCGACUGUGGGUUUUCUCCCCGCCGAUGUCGACCACGUCUACGCAGAACAUUGUUCCCUUCCCCCAGCUGUGGGAUCAGGCCCGUCAUUCUAUGCUUGUGAAGAGAGCAACCUAAGCCAGCAGGCUUGUAGCUUAGGCUCCUGCUAGUGUAUAUAUAGUGGUUUUCUUUUUGUCUCCAUAUCAACCAUUUUAUAUUGCGUAUGUGUCAUUCAAGAGUGAAAUGAUGGUUGCUUCUUCCGACUAACUUACUGUGUGAUUUGACUGCUCCUUAGUGGCCCCUACACGUACUCCCCCUACGUGUAUGCAACAGUCACACGUACACAUGGACGCAAAAACGCGCGCGACGCCCUAAUGCAUGCAUGUCCGAGCACACGACGGAACACACACGGUCACGCUCAAGUGCUCAACCUGCACGUGCAUGCACACACAUACUCAGUCAGGGUGAGCUAGUGACCGUAUAAACACCGGAAAAAAUAUAUAUAUAUAUAUUGAGCGCAAUGAGCGUAUUAUGAAGUCCACUGACCGUAUUUUUACAAAUAUACAGUGACAGACAGUGUAUUUAUCUCGUUUGAAAUUAAGCCAUAUUAACCGGAGAGGAGGCAGUAUGGACUAGCAUUACUUUGUUGUGUCCCGUCAACUUGCCGAACGAGGAGAAGGUUGCAGGACGGGAGAAGCUUGCGCGCGGUGGCUCGCAGGACAAGGAGAAACAGAUGGUGGACGUGCAAGCUCUCCCUCGCUCAGGUGGUGGACGUGCAACAGUUAAUUCGGUGUCAGAUUGCCAGAAGCAUACACUAUACUACUAAUGCUAUUAUUGUUCGACUUCCUGAAUAGGCGAACAGCCAAGUGCAAAGUUUACUAGUACUACUACUAUAGUCUAUAAAGGUACGUACUAUACUAGUACUAGGAACCGGAUGGAGGAGCAUCUGCACUCUUAUUAUAAUUUUAAAAUGUGAUAAAGCAAUCUUCAACACAUUUGGUUCUCUUCGAGGGUUCUCGCAUGUGAUAAUGGAAGUUGAUUGCAUGGAACACUCGCCACAAUUCUUGCUUAAUUCUGGCUCAUAUCCUGUUACAAAUAGUAGCGCUAGGUAAUAUUUCCUCUUUUGUUGUUAUUCAGCAUGUAAACAGGUCAGCAAACCUUGCGGUGCAUCUUCGUGCGAACCGUGCUUGCUGCACUUUGAAUGUGGCCGAGAGCUGGCUUGAUGAAACACCUCGCUUCCUACUUCUUUUUUUGUGGGGUACCUCGCUUCAUAGUGACUAGUGUCUUGGCUGAUCGUCCUAAGAAUGCUUAUAUAUGAAUAAAGCUCUCUCAUUUACCCGCAAAAAAGAUUAAGCCAUAUUAACCGGAAAGGAGGGAGUAUGGACUAGCACUACUUUUUGGUGUGUCCGGUCAACUCGCAGAACGAGGAGAAGCUUGCAGGAGAAGGUGAAGCGCCUUUUGACUAAUGCAACCUACCCUCGGUGGACAUGCAUCAGUCCAUUCGGUGUCAGAUUGUCAGAGGCAUACACUGUAGUACCCAACAUGCGGAGUACCAUCAUUGUUCGACUUCACGAAGAGGCAAAGAGCCAAGCGCAGUAGUACGAGUAGUACUACUACUAGAACCGCAUGGUGGAGCGUCUGUACUCUUAUUUUUUAUCUCUGAUAAAAAACACGUUUAUUCCGGAGAAGGGCGGAAAACGGCAGCCCAACAUGUAAUGAAUGAUAUCGAUCAACCAACCAUGCUCGAAUAUAUCUUGGCCCCCGUGCGAGCCCGUUUGUGUGUUCUCGCUCCUCGUCUCUCUCAAGGAACGGCGGGUUGGCUCUUUGCCGUCAAUUGAGAUCGGUUUGCUCACACUCCUGUCCCACAUGUCAGUGAUAUGCCAAGAGGAGGUGCGUUGACCGACUGGCCAUACGCGUACUUGGUUUUGCACCUUCAUACUACUCCUCCCUCCGUCACAGUUUACAGGGCGCGCUUCAUUAUGAUGCAUUUCUCUCAAUGCAUUUCCACCACCAGAGAGACUUUAGACGCGUUUGGUUUAAUGCUUAAUUAAUUAGGGCGUGGUAACCGCAAUCAAGUCCACAAUUUUCUCUCCAUGUACUGUACUACUACGGAGUGGAGUAAGUGCAUGCAUGUGUGUACCCGGGGUGGAAGCACUGCAUGCAUGUGUGUACGCAUUAUUCCCUCUAGUAAUAGACGCCGUGCUAUAACUACCAAUGCUAUUUUUCAGGCCGAUCGCUAGUCUCCUUGGUCCCACAUAUAUUUUUUUCUUUUUUCUGAAGGGCGUUGUAUAAACAGUGACGGAUGGAGUAGUUUGAGCGGAUUCAAACAAGAGCGUAUUGAUGGUUGCUUCUUCAGAGCAACUUACAGUGGGAAAGGUGGGGCUUAUGAUUUGACUGCUCAUUACUCACUAUUAAUGCGGCGCAACGACCGGGCUGAGUCUCCCAUGCGGUUGUGCACUACCCCCUCGGUUCUUAAAUAUACUCCGGAGUAUUUGUCUUUCUAGAGAUUUCAACGAGUGACUACUCAAAUAUUUGUCUUUUUAGAGAUUUCAAAUGGACUGGCACAUACGGAUGUAUACAGACAUAUUUUAGAGUGUAGAUUCACUCAUUUUUCUCCGUAUGUAGUCACUUGUUGAAAUCUCUAGAAAGACGAAUAGAAUAUUUAGGAAUGGAGGGAGUACACAUACGAAGCAAAAUAAGUGAAUCUACACUCUAAAAUAUGCCCGUUUGAAAUUUGUAAAAAGACAAAUAUUUAGGAACGAAGGAGUAUAAUUUUGUGCAUGGCACAUGGACCCGGAUGAUGAAGAGGCUUCUGGCAAUGCUAUCAAGCUUCCAUUAUUUGUUUACAUAAUUGACGUACUAUACAAAUAAUUUUCCAGCGACAUGAAAUUGUACAAUGGUGUGAGCUUUCAGCUUUUGUUUCGCGUGUCUUGCCAUCGAUGCUCUUUCGGAAACAAUAAAAAACUAACUUCCUUGCUAAUGCAUGUCAAUUAUUAGCAGAUCAAAGCUAAUAAUUACAUCACAACUGAAGAUAGAGUUGUGAGAAUGUGUUAAAUUAAAAUUGAUCCAUGCUUUCAUUGGCAGCAACAUCCCCCCCCCCCCAGCUCUGUCUAAAUCAACAAGGCAUGUUGGGGAAAAAAGUAGCUGUAUGGAGCAUGCAACAUUCCGAUCAUUUUGUGCAGUUCCACUAAAAUAGAGCUGAGCAUCCCUGUUCCAAAGAUAUUAAGUGUGAUUACUAUAAUAGAGGACUGCUGAUGAAACAAUAAACACACAAAUAGAAGCCGGUCACCUUUGCAGUCUCUCUUAAGACUAACUAGUUGGAGAAGAUUAGGCUCGGAGUUGGAUGAGGAGGAUAGAGCAAAACCAAUCUCCCUUUGUGCAGUCGCACUGAAAUGUAGAGACGUUGCCCGUGUGACAUUUAGUACAACUGCACAAAACACUCUUAAGAAAAAAGUGAUUUGUGCAGUUCACCAAAAGGUCGCAAUAGCAACGAGUAGAAAUGAAACAAUUACUGGCCAAUAACAGUUGAUGACACAUGCGACGACAAAAAAGAAGCAUAUUCCUUGUCCUAAGGGAAGAUAACAACACAGUUGUGUUUGUCUAAAACGGUGUGAGGACGAGAAUGCAAUAUGGAAAGUACGCCGGACAAGCUACGUUUUGGGCAAAGAACUAUGGAAGAUCCACAUGCAGCGACGUGGGAAGACAGGCAGUGGAGCAAGGCCGGAGGGGAUACCUGGAGGUCGUCGGGAUGUAACUAGGUGAGCGGCGGCGGGCGGAAUCUGCGAGCAGGUGGCGUAGGCCCUGCCGCGCCGGACCUUGGUCAGAAGAACGGCGUGUAUCGCAGAACGGGACGUGCUGCCUCGGCGCCGUCAAACGGAGGAACGAUGCACUUCCUCCCUUUCCCCCGGCGGACGGGAUGCGGCCGGAUCAGUGCCAACGGUGAGAGAGAGAGAGAGGCCACCGCACUCCCUUUCCCCCGGCAGACGGGAUGCGGCCGGAUCAGUGACCAAUGGUGAGAGAGAGAGAGGCCACCGCAGCCUUGUGUGAGAUACUCUGAAGAGCGACAAACCAGGCAGGCAGGCUCCAUUGUAUAUAGUGAGCGGACUACCUUUUUCUCCAUAAAAAUCGUUUUAUAUUCUGUGUACGUGCCAUUGAGCGCUAUAACUUUAUUUAAAAAUAACGCGGCAACGCGUCAAGUCGAACUUUGUUUCGUGCACGCGUGGUACACGGCCUCCCUAGGUAAACAACCGCUACAGGCGUUCAAAUUAGCACGUGGGCUGCCAUUUUGUAAAGAAAUGAGCUCCACCGUGUACCCGCGCGAGUGUGGCUGGGCACGAGGCGUGAGUACGUGCACAGUGCACCUAUUCUCUUCUUGUAUACGUACACCACCUACAUGGGGUUGUGUGAGAGACAUACAAACCUAGAGAGAUAUAGUGUGUGGGUUCUUGAGAGUUUUUUUUGGGGGGGGGGGGUCAAUCAAAAAAUGUAACAUAUGCAAUGUGUGUGAAAUAGAGUCCAGGAUAUAACAUAUAUAUAGAGGGGGCGAUCCACGAGAAGAGAGUGGAGGUAUCAUCGGCUUGAGGUGUCCAUAGAAUCAAAGAGAGGGAUGAUGUGUGUGUGUGCGCGUGCGAUCGGUAAAGAGUGCCAUCGAAUUUGUGUGUGCCCACGUCAAAGAUAUAGAGUGGCUGGCCUACUGGAACGUGAGAUGGGACAUGUGCAGUUUGUCUCUGUGGCAUGGAUACCUACCUGCAGCGCUCGACUAUCGGUGUGUGGUGGGGGAAGAGGGAGGCCCAAUUAACUAUAGAGGUACAAUGGCUGGUAUAUGUGUGGAGGAGGAGAGAGGCCUACCUCAUGUAUUAAGGAGAUCGAUCUGCCUCAUGUAUUAAGGGAGAUCGAUCGGCAUCCAUGCAUAUGUGCAGGAGAGGAAUAAGGUUGGGAGAGAGACAGAGCUAGAGUGUUGGAGGGGGUGGUAGUGGAGUUCCUUCUAACAAAUGGUGGGAUAGGCUUGCUAGACAAACGGAGGGCACGCCCGCAAUAUCAAUAAGAGAGGAGAUGGCUGCUUGUUGUCUGUGCACGUGCGUGUGAGAGACGGGUCAGGAGGCAUGCACGAAUGAUGAGGGGGGACGAUGUGGCUGUGGUAAGCAGACGUAACUACAUAGGAAGAUCAAUCGCCCUUUGUUAGAGAAAGGAGAGACAUAACUUGUGAGGUACGUCGAUCGAUGGGGGGUAGUUAAAGUCGAUCUAGGUAUAUGUUGGGAGAUCGAUCGGUAUACAUGCAUGUGUGUGUUAGAAGCAAAUGAGGCACGAGGAGAAGGAUAGAGAGAGAGGGGUGCAUGUAGGAGGUGGUACGAGAGGCAUAAUAUAUCGAGGGGGAGGAGUGUGCGAGUACGAGAAUGAUGAAAAGAGUGGAGGGAGUGAGGCAUGGACGCUGACAAGAGAAGAGGGGAAGCUUGUGUUUGUGCUAGGCACACCUGGCUAGAGAGGCAUAUCGAUCGAUGUGUGCCGUAAAGAAGGAGCUAGGGGCCUACACAGACCAUGGGUGAACAACCUAAAGUGAAAAGACGAAUUUGCGCGAUGGAGCUAGAGAAUGCUGAGGGAGGGUGAGAGGGAUGCGGGCGUGUGCAUGCACAAGAGAAAGUUAGCGCUAGCUACAAAGAUAAGAGGGUUGUGUGAGUGUAAAAGACGAAUAGAGAUCAUAUAUACUUCAUUAUAAAAAGCGAAUUCGGAUAUUUGAAGAAUUUAUCAUAGUGUUUCAAACCGACGCAUGUGUGAAUAUAUAUAACGGUGAUACACAUGGUGUGGUUAUGAACAUGUUAUACUACAUUUAAUAUAUUUUAUCUCUACUCUUAUAAAAAACGGAGUUGUUGAUGAUGGUGUGCCUGCCAUCCUGCAUUAUAGGCCGUCCGAUUUAUAUCUGGCGGAUAGCAAGGAAACUAUGAUGGUUGAAGUUGGCAACAAUCAUGAUUGUAGAUUCUUAUUGAAAUAGAGAAACAAAUUCAAAUUUAGUUCGAAUUGCAGCAGUAGUAUAGACAUUUGGAAUGCACUAAAAUGUUGGUAUGAGUAGGUUACAUGCAUUAUACAGCAAGCGAAAAAAAUUAAUCGGACAUAACAUGGAUUCAUACUCCCUCCUCCCAAAACUGACGCCUUCACAACCCGCGCCUUGCUAUCCCGAAAUUACAACGCGCGCGAAAACUUCCUCCAGCUGCCAAAUCCCGACACGCGAAAUCCCCCUUCUAACCCUGAGCUGAAAGGGCCGCUAGUUCAAAUCGGUGGGGGAUACUUUUGUAACACACCCUACAUUUUGGACAAGCGCGUCCCUAAGUCAUGCUUCACCCCCUCCCAUCGCCCCCUUUUCGCCAUUCGAAAUCCCAGGCCGCCAUAACCUCUCCGCUCCAGCCGCGAAACCCCACCCUCCUCCGUCUGCCACGUCACCGCUACCCAGCCGGAGCCUCUUCCCCGACGACGUCGUCCACCGCAACAGCUCAACGUCCCUUGUCCACACCUCCCCGGAUGAGGGUCCGUCGUCCAUCUCGCCGUCCCGCCGGUUCAGCCACCCCGUCCUCCACCUCCAAGGAGCUGCUCCGACGAUCGCCUCGUCUAUCGCGGCUACUCCAUCCCCACAGCACCGCCUUAACCUGCUCCACCGGAACCGCAGCAUCCUCACUGACUCCUCGGACGAAGCCGAGGCCUACUCGGCGCCACCAAAGAGGUUGUACACUCAUCGCAUCGCACCUUCUCCUUAACUCGACCUCCCGGCGCCGACGGUGCUCCAUCCCGCAACCCCAUGGAGCGGCUACCUUGAAGCCGGCACCGCGGGCGACAUCUCCACAGCGGCUCUCCCCCAGUGCGAGGCCCCUUCGGCGGCGGCGUCCAUACCAGCCGGAUCUGCUGCUGCUGCUCCAGCUCUCGCUCGCUCGCCCAGCUGCUGCUGCUGCUCUCCCCCUCGCUCGUGCUGCUGCUCUGCUCCGAUUAAGACACACUUCAGUCGACUGAAUCGACUUUUGGGUCAGUUGAUUUUCAGGGGUUGGGGGGCUCGCCGGAGUUAAGGAAGAACCACCCAUAGCGGGGACGGGGGCUCGCCGGAGAGGUACCCCACUAUCUAUCUUAGGGUUCAGGGUGGGGGCGGGGGGCCUAGUGGGCUGGCCGGGGCGGCGGUGGCGAGUUGUUUCGGGACGGCGAGGCGACGCUGGGGCCGGCGGUUAGGCCGGUGGUGGCUGGCGGCUCAGGGGGGUGCAGGUUGAAGAUGAACUGCAGGCCCUCCCUAAACUGCAUGUCAAGUGCCUCUCUGCUACCAUUGCGUUCAGUUUCGACAGUAGCAUUCAGAUUCCACAGUAAAUUUCAGUUUCGAUAGUUAAGUUCAGAGUCAACAGUUUUUACCUCAUCUGUUGUAGUCAGGUGGUUUUUGGUGAUGUUAAUUUUACAUCCAUUUUACAUCAUCUAUUGGAGAUGCUAUUAGAAUCCCACUUGAGAUUGACGAUGUCUGUCUUGUGCUGCUUCAGCCUUGACGUCUUACGGCUCACCGGAGCUGCUCCAAUGACAGAACGAUCCAUCACAACAGAGCAGUGCCCUGGACGCCGUCUACAGAUUCCUCGGAUCUUCCUCCACACCUCCGACAGCCACCUCUGCCUCAACUGCUUCAGCGACCAACCCAAGGAUUCUGAGGUCGACACGGCUACGGCAAAGAGGUUGUACACUUGUUGCAUCACUUAUUACUAUACAUUCACGUCGAUCCAUUAGGGCUAUUUUGGUUCAACGGAAAAACGUCGAUCCACUGGUUGUUACCAUCACUCUAAAUUUCUGCAUGCUCUCCUUACAUAAUCUCACCAUAUUUUUUUCAUAUGCAUGUCAGAUAUUGUACACAGUCAUGCUGAACAUGUAGAGAAAAAGAGAAGAGUUUUGCGCGGCAAUACAAUGUCAUGCAGACAUCGCUCCAUGGUGGGUUCAAUGGCAAACCCUCCCCACCCCUCUCCAAAUUGUAAUCCAGAGGAAGAUAUCUGUUCUGAGGCGGAUUCAGGCGACGCUGACCACUCCUAUUUACCCCCCCAAGGUGUUUGCUCUACCUUGGCAUGAUGAUGUUAGUCAUAUCAUGCAUAUGUUGCCUUGCAGUGCCUACUUUUGACAUCAUAUAUGUCAUCUGCUAGUUUAGACAUGUUUCGUAAUGCCACCUGUUUAGUUUCUAUAUCAUAUAUGGGAAUUAUGCAGUCUCAUGUCUUUUAGCCAGCCAUAAUAUAUGUGAAAUGUGCAAUGCCAUCCUGUUUAACCAGGCAUCAUAUAUUUGAAUGAUAUCUUGCCCAUCCUUUUCUUCAUUACAUUUCCAUUUGUCGACAAUGUUUGUACAUUAAACUACUCUUCCUGUGAAUCAGCCAUUUGGGUGGGAGAUGGAAAAAUCUGGAGUGAAAACAAGGCCUUCAGAGCAGACAGUGCUACCUGUCAAAGCAGAUCUCUUGUUGGGUCCCGAUAGCUCCUCAGAGAUGGAUUCAGAGACAGAUAACCAGUCCUAUUCCCCCACUGAGGUGUAUGCUCUAACUUGGCACGGUUAUACUGCUCAUAUGAUGCAUACGGUGUCUUGCAUUGCAUAGUUUAGACAUCAUAUACACAAUAUUCAACACCAUGUUCUUAGUUCAGACAUCAUAUCGAAUGCCCUCUGUUUAGCAUAUAAAUCACAUAUGUGAAUUAAAUGAUGCGAUCCUGAUUACUUACAUAACAUGUAGGUGAAUUAUGUCAUGCGAUCCUGUUUAGUUAUUCAUCAUAUCUUUGAAUUAUGUUAUGCUAUGCUAUCCAGUUUAGAUAGACAUCAUAUAUGUGAAAUUAUGUCAUGCUAUCCGUUUUAGUUAAACAAUAUACAUGUCAACUAUUUCAUGCCCUCUUUUUUCCACACUAUCUAUUGCAUCUGUCUCUCAUACAACGUCUAUACAUUCAACUAUGUUUCCUGUUUAUCAGCCAUUUGAAUUGGAGCGGGUGAUGCCAGUAUCUAGCGGACUAAAAACACGGUCUUCAAAUAAAACAGUGCUACCUCUUGGUGGAGAUAGCACCCCGGUUGUACAUGCACAAGAACCAGCCGUACCACACAUAACCCAAACUCUCGCAGAUUGUACCCCUACUGCGAUGGACAGAGAACCAGCUUCACCCAAUCUAACCCCAACCCCAGCCGAUAGUAACCCAGUUCCUGUUGACACAGCACCAUCUCCACCACAGAGCUCCCAACAAGAGCAGUUAGUAAGGCAGCUCCAGUGCCUUAUUAAGCAAUGGUAAAGGAAGUAAUGCAGAUAAGGUUCAGGAUAGUGACACAUCCUUGUUGGUCUCCAACAAAGCUGAUAAAACAGCUAAGGAAGACUAUCUUGAAGACAGCGAGACAACCCCAAAGUCCUGUCUUUGUUUAGUGUUCGAGUUACUGGCCACUACCGCUUGCACAAGCUAUUCAAACUCACUGUCUGAAUCAGUUCGGUUUCUUGAGUCUCAACUACAAGCUGAAAGACAUCGAUCAGUUGUGCUGCGACAAGAAGCGGAAGGACUGCGGAAGUCCCUGGAGCAUUUAGAUGCACACUUUCUAGUGCAACAGCAAGCGUUGGAGGAUUUUAGCGCCAAACAGCACAAAGCUAAUCAGCUUGCUAAGCUUAUUGCCAGCAUGGUGGAUACCCAGGAUAACGUUUCUGGAGCUAUUCUGAAGUUGUUUCAGUUAUGCUCUUGUUUUGCUGCCGCGUUUAUUUGCACUGGUGGCCAAUUUUGACGGCCAGUGUAUGUAAUGUGCUGCUUUGUUCCCUAUAUUUGCACUGGUGGCGAACUUUGAUGCCCAGUGGAUGUAAUAUGUGUAAUAGCGGUAAUAGGCUAGCAUUAAUUGCUUGCUUAUUUAUUUCCUUAUUGUCUUGUUUAGUUGUUUGCUUAUAGUCACUGCAGUCCUUUUUCUGUUUUUUUCUAGUGGCCACAAUAGCCUAUUUUUGGUAACUAGGCCAAAAUAAUCAUGGUAACACACGGACUGUUGUAACCAUGUGCCUCCUGCAGGUCGUAUGAUCCAUGGGCCUUCGUCCGGCCGUAGGAUCCAUCGGCCUUCUAUCCGGGCCUUAGGGUCCAUGGGCCAUCUACGGGCCGUAGGGUCCAUGGGCCUUCUACCGGCCGUACGAUCCAUGGGCCUUCUACGGGCCGUACUAUCCAUGGGCCUCAUACGGGCCGUAGGAUCCAUGGGCCUUCUACGGGGCGUAUCAUCAUUUCGCCAAUCAUGGGUCGUACAAUUCGUGGACCAUAACGGGCCGUUAAUAGGCCGUAUUUGAUAACUCUAUGAAAACAGCCCAACGGGUUUUUUUUGACAUGAAAACGGCCCAACGUAUUAACGGUCCGCAAACGGGCCGACUGUAAUGACGGGCUGAAUUUGGCCCACAAGCAGAAAAUGACAGUAAAGGGCCGUAUGUAACCGAAUGCUGCAAAUGAGCCCAAGAAUCAAUGGGCCCUGAGAAGGCCGAAAGAUAACUUGGGUUGGAAACGGCCCAAUGGAAUAACGGGCCGUUAAUGGGUAUAAAGUGAUACACUGUUCAUUACGGGCCAGUUUCACCACGGGCCGUUAAUGGGCCAAGAGUUACAAAGGUCCUCAUAUGGGCUGAAAGAAGUCAUGGGCCACACAUGGGCCGGAAGUUAAAACGGGCUGAAUCAUAUUGGACGGCCCAGAUGACGCUACUGGGCCUAAUUCGGAUAGGGCGUAACGGGCCCUGGGUUAGCGGGCUAUAAAUGGGCUAUAUGCGAACAGGCCGUUAACAGGCUUUCCGUCGGCCGGCCCGCCACCUUUUGACCAAGUCAAACGGGCCGGCCUUUUCACAGCAAUGGGCCUCUAUUGGGCCGUGCCACGUGUCACCGUAUCAUAGGCGCCUUUGGUCCAAUGAGCGGAUGACAUCUGUCCCAACGGUGAGCCGACACGUGUUUCCUCCAGCCAAUGAUGAUUUUACACGUGGAAAAUCCCCAUUGGUCGAGGCUGUUAUUGGGUUAUCGGAUCCAAAACCCGACCCGAUAGCUUAACGGCAUUCCGUUACGGUGGAUGCCACGUGUCGGUCACCCUUGACGAAAGCACUUCUGUGACGCGCGAUUUAUCGUCAUGGAAGUGGACACUUCCAUGAUAAUAAUUGUGGUAAUGUCAUGGAAAACUUCUACGACAGCACAGGUAUGACUAUCUUGAUUCUGUCAUAAAAUCGUCAUGGAUGUACAUGCAUGACAAAAAACGCGACCUGCUGUGACAAACACGUAUCAUCACGGAAGUGUGACUGUUGUGUCUUUGGGGUGCCCCCCUGCCCACGUAUAUAAAGGAGGGGGGAGGAGGAGGAGUCCAGCCCAAGGGGGGGCGCCAUGGGGGGGAGUCCUACUAGGACUCCGCUCCUAGUAGGAUUCGCCCCCUUUCCUUCCAAUGGAGAGGGUGGAAGGGGAAUGGAGAGAGAGGGAGAAGGAAAGAGGGGGGCCGCGCCCCCUCCCCUUGUCCAAUUCGGAUUGGGCAAGGGGGGCGCGCGCCUCCUCCCGUGGCCUGCCUCCUCUCCUCCACUAAGGCCCAAUAGGCCCAUUAACUUUCCCGGGGGGUUCCGAUAUCCUCCCGGUCCUCCGAUAAAUCACAGAACCUUAUCGGAACCAUUCCGAUGUCCGUAUAUAACCUUUAAAUAUAUCAAUCUUUACCUCUCGACCAUUUCGAGAUUCCUCGUCAUGUCCGUGAUCUUAUUCGGGACUCCGAACAACCUUCGGUCACCAAAACACAUAACUCAUAACACAAAUAGUCAUCGAACGUUAAGCGUGCGGAAACUACGGGUUCGAGAACUAUGUAGACAUGACCGAGACACAUCUCCGGUCAAUAACCAAUAGCGGAACCUGGAUGCUCAUAUUGGCUCCUACAUAUUCUACGAAGAUCUUUAUCGGUCAAACCGCAUAAUAACAUACGUCAUUCCCUUUGUCAUCGAUAUGUUACUUGCCCGAGAUUCGAUCGUCGGUGUCAUCAUACCUAGUUCAAUCUCGUUACCGGCAAGUCUCUUUACUCGUUCCAUAAUGUAUCAUCCCGUAACUAACUCAUUAGUCACAUUGCUUGCAAGGCUUAUAGUGAUGUGCAUUACCGAGAGGGCCCAGAGAUACCUCACCGAUACAUGGAGUGACAAAUCCUAAUCUUGAUCUAUGCCAACUCAACAAACACCUUCAGAGACACCUGUAGAGCAUCUUUUAAUCACCCAGUUAUGUUGUGACGUUUGAUAGCACAGAAAGUGUUCCUCUGGUAUUCGGGAGUUGCAUAAUCUCAUAGUCAAAGGAAUAUGUAUAAGUCAUGAAGAAAGCAAUAGAAAUAAAACUAAACGAUCAUUAUGCUAAGCUAACGGAUGGGUCUUGUCCAUCACAUCAUUCUCUAACGAUGUGAUCCCGUUCAUCAAAUGACAACACAUGUCUAUGGUCAGGAAACUUAACCAUCUUUGAUUUACGAGCUAGUCAAGUAGAGGCAUACUAGGGACACUCUGUUUGUCUAUGUAUUCACACAUGUACCAAGUUUCCGGUUAAUACAAUUCUAGCAUGAAUAAUAAACAUUUAUCAUGAUAUAAGGAAAUAUAAAUAACAACUUUAUUAUUGCCUCUAGGGCAUAUUUCCUUCACCUCAAAUACCCAUCGAGGAACUUUUGGAGCGCCGUGCCGCCAAGGUGGCUUCCAAGCUAAAGCAUCAACAACAUGUCAUGGAGAAUGUGCUUGGAAGCUUGAGAAAAGGGGUAACUACACAUAAACAAUUGUCAAACUUUUGUGAGCAUCACGCGUUUGUUUCGUGUGUUGAACCCCAAAAGGUCCAUGAGGCACUCGUUGAUGAGGAUUCGCUUGAAGCCAUGCAUGAUGAACUCAACAACUUCGAGCACAAUCAAGUUUGGGAAUUAGUGCCAAGGCCAACGCAGGAACAUAAUGUCAUCGGGACCAAAUGGAUUUUCAAGAACAAGCAAGAUGCGAACGGUGUGGUUGUUCGGAGCUAGGCAAGAUUGGUGGCACAAGGCUACCCAAGUCGAGGGUAUCGACUAUGGUGAAACCUUUGCCCCCGUUGCACGUCUUGAAUCUAUUCGCAUGUUCUUUAAAUUACAACAAAAGGAUGUGAAAAGUGCAUUUCUAAAUGGUCCUUUGAAUGAGUUGGUGUAUGUCAAACAACCUCCGGGAUUCGAGGAUCCCAAGCUCCCCAAUCAUGUAUACAAACUCAAGAAGGCGCUCUAUGGCCUUAAACAAGCUCCACGUGUGUGGUCUGAGCACCUUACUGAGUUGUUACAAGAUCGUGGGUUUGAAAUUGGGAAAAUCGAUCCCACUCCUUUUACUAAGCGGGUCAAAGGGGAUUUGUUCAUAUGCCAACUAUAUGUUGAUGAUAUUAUUUUUGGUUCUCCUAACAAAUAUUUCAAUGAUGAGUUUUCCACACUAAUGACCGAGAAGUUUGAGAUGUCUAUGAUGGAAGAGUUGAAGUUCUUUCUUGGGUUCGAAGUCAAGUAAAGAAGAGAAGGAACUUUCAUCAACCAAGCCAAGUAUACCCAAGACAUGCCCAAGAGAUUCAAGCUAGAUGAUGUCAAGACGGUCAAGCUUCCCAUGCCCACCAAGUGCAAGCUUGAUAGUGAUCCCAAUGGUAAAGCGGUGGAUCAAAAGGUAUAUUGCUCCAUGAUUGGAUCCUUGCUUUACCUUUGUGCAUCUAGACCGGAUAUCAUGUUGAGUGUGGGAAUUUGUGCAUGGUUUCAAGCCGCACCUAAUGAAAUACACUUUGUGGUGUUCAAGCGAAUCUUUCAAUAUUUGGCUCAUACCCAAAACUUUGUCUUAUGGUACCCCAAAGGAGCAAGCUUCGAUCUCAUGGGUUACUCGGACUCGGAUUGGGCGGGAGAUUGUGUGGAUACGAAGUAAACUUCCGGAGGGUGCCAAUUCCUUGGUCGCUCUUUGGUGAGUUGGUAUUCUAAGAAGCAAAAUUGUGUGUGUCUCUCGUCCACCGAGGCUGAGUAUGUAGCCGCCGCAAGUUGCUGUGCACAAUUGCUAUGGAUGAGGCAAACUUUAAAGGAUUACGGUGUCACAUGUGACAAAGUGCCUCUUCUAUGUGACAAUGAAAGUGGUAUCAAGAUUUCUCACAAUCCGGUGCAAUAUAGCAAGACAAAGCAUAUUGAGAUUUGUCAUCAUUUUAUUCGGGAUCACAUCAAGCGGGGAGAUAUUGAUAUCAUCUACAUCAACACUCAAGAGCAACUAGCGGAUAUACUCACCAAGCCUCUAGAUGAAGCAAGAUUUCGCGAGUUAAGGCAUGAGCUAAAUAUCAUUGAUUCGAGCAAUGUGACUCGAGUCUAGGCACAUCCCCAAUCCGAAUUGGACAAGGGGAGGGGGCGCGGCCCCCCUCUUUCCUUCUCCCUCUCUCUCCAUUCCCCUUCCACCCUCUCCAUUGGAAGGAAAGGGGGCGAAUCCUACUAGGAGCGGAGGCCUAGUAGGACUCCCCCCAUGGCGUGCCCCCUUGGGCCGGACUCCUCCUCCUCCCCCCUCCUUUAUAUACGUGGGCAGGGGGGCACCCCAAAGACACAACAGUCACUACAAAAAAAUACACUUCCGUGAUGAUACGUGUUUGUCACAGCAGGUCGCGUUUUUUUUCAUGCAUGUACAUCCAUGACAAAUUUAUGACAGAAUCAAGAUAGUCAUACCUGUGCUGUCGUAGAAGUGUUCCAUGACAUUACCAAAAUUAUCAUCACGGAAGUGUUCGCUUCCAUGACGAUAAAUCGGGCGUCACAGAAGUGCUUUCGUCAAGGGUGACCGACACGUGGCAUCCACCGUAACGUAACGUCGUUAAGCUAUCGGGUCGGGUUUUGGAUCCGAUAACCCAUUAACAGCCCCGACCAAUGGGGAUUUUCCAUGUGUAAAAUCAUCAUUGGCUGGAGGAAACACAUGUCGGCUCACCGUUGGGACAGAUGUCAUCCGCUCAUUGGACCAAAGGCGCCUAUGAUACGGCGACACGUGGCACGGCCCAGCAGAGGCCCAUUCCUGUGAAAAGGCCGGCCCAUUUGACUUGGUCAAAAGGUGGCAGGCCGGCCCACGGAAAGCCUGUUAACGGCCUGUUCGCAUAUAGCCCAUUUACAGCCCGCUAACCCAAGGCCCGUUACGCCCUAUUCGAAUUAGGCCCAGUAGCGUCAUCUGGGCCGUCCAAUAUGAUUCAGCCUGUUUUAACUUCCGGCCCAUGUGUGGCCCAUGACUUCUUUUGGCCCAUAUGAGGACCUUUGUAACUCUUGGCCCAUUAACGGCCCGUGGUGAAACUGGCCCGUAAUGAACAGUGUAUCACUUUAUACCCAUUAACGGCCCGUUAUUCCAUUGGGCCGUUUCCAGCCCAAGUUAUCUUUCGGCCUUCUCAGGGCCCAUUGAUUCUUGGGCUCAUUUGCAGCAUUCGGUUACAUACGGCCCUUUACUGUCAUUUUCUGCUUGUGGGCCUAAUUCAGCCCGUCGUUACAGUCGGCCCGUUUGCGGACAGUUAAUACGUUGGGCCGUUUUCAUGUCAAAAAAACCCGUUGGGCUGUUUUCAUAGAGUUAUCAAAUACGGCCUAUUAACGGCCCGUUAUGGUCCACGAAUUGUACGACCCAUGAUUGGCGAAAUGAUGAUACGCCCCGUAGAAGUCCCAUGGAUCCUACAGCCCAUAUGAGGCCCAUGGAUAGUACGGCCCGUAGAAGGCCCAUGGAUCGUACGGCCCGUAGAAGGCCCAUGCACCCUACGGCCUGUAGAAGGCCCAUGGACCCUAAGGCCCGUAUAGAAGGCCGAUGGAUCCUAUGGCCGGACGAAGGCCCACGGAUCAUACGGCCUGCAGGAGGCCCAUGGUUACAACAGUCCGUGUGUUGCCAUGAUUAUUUUGGCCUAGUUACCAAAAAUAGGCUAUUGUGGCCACUAGAAAAAAACAAAAAAAGAACUGCAGUGACUACAAGCAAAAAACUAAACAAGACAAUAAGGAAAUAAAUAAGCAAGCAAUUAAUGCUAGCCUAUUACUGCUAUUACACAUAUUACAUCCACUGGGCAUCAAAGAUCGCCACCAGUGCAAAUAUAGGGAACAAAGCAGCACAUUACAUACACUGGCCGUCAAAAUUGGACACCAGUGCAAAUAAACGCGGCAGCAAAACAAGAGCAUAACUGAAACAACUUCAGAAGAGCUCAAGAAACGUUAUCCUGGGUAUCCACCAUGCUGGCAAUAAGCUUAGCAAGCUGAUUAGCUUUGUGCUGUUUGGCGCUAAAAUCCUCCAACGCUUGCUGUUGCACUAGAAAGUAUGCAUCUGAAUGCUCCAGGGACUUCCGCAGUCCUUUCGCUUCUUGUCGCAGCACAGCUGAUCGAUGUCUUUCAGCUUGUAGUUGAGACUCAAGAAACCGAACUGAUUCAGACAGUGAGUUUGAAUAGCUUGUGCAAGCGGUAGUGGCCAGUAACUCGAACACUAAACCAAGACAGGACUUUGGGGUUGUCUCGCUGUCUUCAAGAUAGUCUUCCUUAGCUGUUUUAUCAGCUUUGUUGGAGACCAACAAGGAUGUGUCACUAUCCUGAACCUUAUCUGCAUUACUUCCUUUACCAUUGCUUAAUAAGGCACUCUUCCCCAAUAUUCUGUCAGCAUUCUAAAAGAAGAAACAAGCAGACACAUAACAAGUUUAGCAUGUACUAGUAUAUGAAACUCAUUUCGGUGAACCAGUUCAUUAGUAAGGUGCACAGGAUUAAACUACCAAGUCUUCUAUUGCCAAGUACUAGUACAUAAUAAAAACAUCAAACAAACAUAUAUCUAUGUCCUAUGGUCACUGCAUUGUCUUGCCAAAUCAAAAUAGAGACACGGUUCAAAUCAUAUCAAUUCAAGACAAAGCAGCAGUGAGAGAAUACAAAGCAUGGGAAACUACACGGCACAACAAGAUUUCAGAUGGGUACCACGGGUCUACAUGUACAACAACACUAUUGGCUCCGUUGUGAUGCUAGUAAUGUGCAUGAUAUGAAAGUCAACUGUAUACACAAUUGAAAUUGAAAUCAACAGAGCUAUUGAUAAGAGCAAAGCUGUUAAAGAAACAGGCGUGAACAUACCUGCUGUGCCAUUGGAUUUUCGAUUGGAUCCUUCAAUUUAAAAAUAAGUUUGUAUGACUAAAUACAGUGAUACAAGAGCAAAGCAAUCAUAGUUAAAAAAAGCGCGCCUAAGCGAGCGCUUAAGCGCGCCUAGGCUCUAGGCGUUGGCAAAACACAUUGCGCAUAACUACGCAUAAUCUGUGCAUAAUUGCGCAUAAGCAUGCGCUUUGGUCAGUAAAGCGCAAGGCGGUGGCAAAACGCACAAUUAACGCCUAGCGCUUUUUUGAACUAUGAUAGCAAUGGAAUCUUAAACUAGAACAGUUGUUCUUCAUGUUUAGGCACUUGUUCUACAUGAACAGAGUACAGUAAGACGCAAGAAUAUAAUACUUAAAAAUAGAAAAUGAGCUCAUAGACCUUACCACAUUCUUGGUUCGGGACCAGUACAGAACAAGGCGUUCCCAGUCAUCGUCCAGUAAAUGUGUCUCAGGAUACGUAAGGGAAUUUGAUGAGUUUCUUUGCCGGUGAAGUACAUUUUCUUCAGGUAAUUCCGAUACUGCCACCAAGCAUUCUUGAAGAUAGCAGGUUACCUCAUCCUGAGUUUCCAAAUCGGUCCUUCUCUAUAGAGAAAAAUGGGAAAAUUUGAUGUAUUAUAACCAUCAUGGAGGUAGGAUGUAUGGGACGAAGCAAAGUAAUUGCAUGAAUAACAUUACUUACACAUAACUCCUGGACAAACACCUGCAACUGGCAUUUUCCUUCAUCUUCAGUAUAAUAUUUCCAAGAUGGGAAGAUACGCACAUACGAUUUAACAACAUCAAAUGCGAUAGAUGCUAAACUACGACUAGCUGAUUGUGCUUCCUCCACAGGAAUAGGCGUACUAACUGGUGGAGUUGGGGUUCGCCGUGAUAGUACUGGCCCUUUGGGCACUGGAGCUGCCUUACUAACUGCUCUUGUUUGGGAGCUCUGUGGUGGAGAUGGUGCUGUGUCAACAGGAACUGGGUUACUAUCGGCUGGGGUUGGGGUUACAUUGGGUGAAGCUGGUUCUCUGUCCAUCGCAGUAGGGGUACAAUCUGCGAGAGUUUGGGUUAUGUGUGGUAGGGCUGGUUCUUGUGCAUGUACAACUGGGGUGCUAUCUCCACCAAGAGGCAGCACUGUUUUAUUUGAAGACCGUGUUUUUAGUCCGCUAGAUACUGGCAUCACCCGCUCCAAUUCAAAUUGCUGAUAAACAGGAAACAUAGUUGAAUGUACAGACAUUGUAUGAGAGACAGAUGCAAUAGAUAGUGUGGAAAAAAGAGGGCAUGAAAUAGUUGACAUGUAUAUUGUUUAACUAAAACGGAUAGCAUGACAUAAUUUCACAUAUAUGAUGUCUAUCUAAACUGGAUAGCAUAGCAUAACAUAAUUCAAAGAUAUGAUGAAUAACUAAACGGGAUCGCAUGACAUAAUUCACCUACAUGUUAUCUAAGUAAUCAGGAUCGCAUCAUUUAAUUCACAUAUGUGAUUUAUAUGCUAAACAGAGGGCAUUCGAUAUGAUGUCUGAACUAAGAACAUGGUGUUGAAUAUUGUGUAUAUGAUGUCUAAACUAUGCAAUGCAAGACACCGUAUGCAUGAUAUGAGCAGUAUAACCGUGCCAAGUUAGAGCAUACACCUCAGUGGGGGAAUAGGACUGGUCAUCUGUCUCUGAAUCCAUCUCUGAGGAGCUAUCGGGACCCAACAAGAGAUCUGCUUCGACAGGUAGCACUGUCUGCUCUGAAGGCCUUGUUUUCACUCCAGAUUUUUCCAUCUCCCACCCAAAUGGCUGAUUCACAGGAAGAGUAGUUUAAUGUACAAACAUUGUCGACAAAUGGAAAUGUAAUGAAGAAAAGGAUGGGCAAGAUAUCAUUCAAAUAUAUGAUGUCUGGUUAAACAGGAUGGGCAAGAUAUCAUUCACAUAUAUUAUGGCUGGCUAAAAGACAUGAGACUGCAUAAUUCCCAUAUAUGAUAUAGAAACUAAACAAGUGGCAUUACAGAACAUGUCUAAACUAAGCAGAUGACAUAUAUGAUGUCAAAAGUAGGCACUGCAAGGCAACAUAUGCAUGAUAUGACUAACAUCAUCAUGCCAAGGUAGAGCAAACACCUUGGGGGGUAAAUAGGAGUGGUCAGCGGCGUCUGAAUCCGCCUCAGAACAGAUAUCUUCCUCUGGAUUACAAUCUGGAGAGGGGUGGGAAGGGUUUGCCAUUGAACCCACCAUGGAGCGAUGUCUGCAUGACAUUGUAUUGCCGCGCAAAACUCUUCUCUUUUUCUCUACAUGUUCAGCAUGAUUGUGUACAAUAUCUGACAUGCAUACGAAAAAAUAUGGUGAGAUUAUGUAAGGAGAGCAUGCAGAAAUUUAGAGUGAUGGUAACAACCAGUGGAUCGACGUUUUUCCGUUGAACCAAAAUAGCCCUAAUGGAUCGACGUGAAUGUAUAGUAAUAAGUGAUGCAACAAGUGUACAACCUCUUUGCCGUAGCCGUGUCGACCUCAGCAUCAUUGGGUUGGUCGCUAAAGCAGUUGAGGCAGAGGUGGCUGUCGGAGGUGUGGAGGAAGAUCUGAGGAAUCUGUAGACGGCGUCCAGGGCACUGCUCUGUUGUGAUGGAUCGUUCUGUCGUUGGAGCAGCUUCGGUAAGGCGUAAGACGUCAAGGCUGAAGCAGCACAAGACAGACAUCGUCAAUCUCAAGUGGGAUUCUAAUAGCAUCUCCAAUAGAUGAUGUAAAAUGGUUGUAAAAUUAACAUCACCAAAAACCACCUGACUACAACAGAUGAGGUAAAAACUGUUGACUCCGAACUUAACUGUCGAAACUAAAAUUUACUGUGGAAUCUGAAUGCUACUGUCGAAACUGAACGCAAUGGUAGCAGAGAGCCACUUGACAUGUAGUUUAGGGAGGGCAUGCAGUUCAUCUUCAACCUGCACCCCCUGAGCCGCCAGCCACCACCGGCCGAACCGCCGGCCCCAGCGCCGCCUCGCCGCCCCGAAACAACUCGCCACCGCCGCCCCGGCCGGCCCUCUAGGCCCCCCGCCCCCACCCUGAACCCUAAGAUAGAUAGUGGGGUACCUAUCCGGCGAGCCCCCGUCCCCGCUGUGGGUGGUUCUUCCUUAACUCCGGCGAGCCCCCCAACCCCUGAAAAUCAACUGACCCAAAAGUCGAUUCAGUCGACUGAAGUGUGGCUUAAUCGGAGCAGAGCAGCAGCACGAGCGAGGGGGAGAGCAGCAGCAGCAGCUGGGCGAGCGAGCGAGAGCUGGAGCAGCAGCAGCAGAUCCGGCUGGUAUGGCCGCCGCCGCCGAAGGGGCCUCGCACUGGGGGAGAGCCGCCGUGGAGAUGUCGCCCGCGGUGUCGGCUUCAAGGUAGCCGCUCCAUGGGGUUGCGGGAUGGAGCACCGUCGGCGCCGGGAGGUCGAGUUAAGGAGAAGGUGCGAUGCGAUGAGUGUACAACCUCUUUGGUGGCGCCGAGUAGGCCUCGGCUUCGUCCGAGGAGUCAGUGAGGAUGCUACGGUUCCGGUGGAGCAGGUUAAGGCGGUGCUGUGGGGAUGGAGUAGCCGCGAUAGACGAGGCGAUCGUCGGAGCAGCUCCUUGGAGGUGGAGGACGGGGUGGCUGAACCGGCGGGACGGCGAGAUGGACGACGGACCCUCAUCCGGGGAGGUGUGGACGAGGGACGUUGAGCUGUUGCGGUGGACGACGUCGUCGGGGAAGAGGCUCCGACUGGGCAGCGGUGACGUGGCAGACGGAGGAGGGUGGGGUUUCGCGGCUGGAGCGGAGAGGUUAUGGGGGCCUGGGAUUUCGAAUGGCGAAAAGGGGGUGAUGGGAGGGGGUGAAGCAUGACUUAGGGACGCGCUUGUCCAAAAUGUAGGGUGUGUUACAAAAGUAUCCCCCACCGAUUUGAACUAGCGGCCCUUUCAGCUCAGGGUUAGAAGGGGGAUUUCGCGUGUCGGGAUUUGGCAGCUGGAGGGAGUUUUCGCGCGCGUUGUAAUUUCGGGAUAGCAAGGCGCGGGUUGUGAAGGCGUCAGUUUUGGGAGCACGAUAUCUGAAUUUUCGGGAUAUAACAAGACGCGGGUUGAAUUUUAGGGACAAGCCUAACGUGUAGUAAUAUUGUACUUGUACGUACCAAAUCAAUUCGCACUUCCCUCAACCAAAAAGAAAACGAAAAAAAUAAAACUAUUCACACCACACAAAGAGAGAGUCUUGCCCCGUUUUACUAUACAAAUGCUAUUCAAAGCUACUCCCUCCUUACAUCUAUAUAGGGCCUAAUGCGUUUUUCGAUGCUAACUUUGACCAAAUAUUAGAGAAAUGAUAUAUGACAUGCAACUUACACAAAGCACACCGUUAAAUUCGUUUGUGAAAGGUUCUUUCAAUGAUAUAACUUUCACAUUGUGCAUCUCAUGUACUAUUAAUCUUGUCAAUAGUCAAAGGCGGUCUUAAGAAUCUCAUUACGCCCUAUAUAGAUGGAAGGAGGGAGUAUGAAUCCAUGUUAUGUCCGAUUAAAUUUUUUCGCUUGCUGUAUAAUGCAUGUAACCUACUCAUACCAACAUUUUAGUGCAUUCCAAAUGUCUAUACUACCGCUGCAAUUCGAACUAAAUUUGAAUUCGUUUCUCUAUUUCAAUAAGAAUCUACAAUCAUGAUUGUUGCCAACUUCAACCAUCAUAGUUUCCUUGCUAUCCGCCAGAUAUAAAUCGGACGGCCUAUAAUGCAGGAUGGCAGACACACCAUCAUCAACAACUCCGUUUUUUAUAAGAGUAGGGAUAAAAUAUAUUAAAUGUAGUAUAACAUGUUCAUAACCACACCAUGUGUAUCACCGUUAUAUAUAUUCACACAUGCGUCGGUUUGAAACACUAUGAUAAAUUCUUCAAAUAUCCGAAUUCGCUUUUUAUAAUGAAGUAUAUAUGAUUUCUAUUCGUCUUUUACACCCACACAACCCUCUUAUCUUUGUAGCUAGCGCUAACUUUCUCUUGUGCAUGCACACGCCCGCAUCCCUCUCACCCUCCCUCAGCAUUCUCUAACUCCAUCGUGCAAAUUCGUCUUUUCACUUUAGGUCGUUCACCCAUGGUGUGUGUAGGCCCCCAGCUCCUUCUUUACGGCACACAUCGAUCGAUAUGCCUCUCUAGCCAGGUGUGCCUAGCACAAACACAAGCUUCCCCUCUUCUCUUGUCACCGUCCAUACCUCACUCCCACCACUCUUUUCAUCGUUCUCGUACUCGCACACUCCUCCCCCCUCGAUAUAGUAUGCCUCUCGUACCACCUCCUACAUGCAUCCCUCUCUCUCUAUCCUUCUCCUCGUGCCUCAUUUGCUUCUAACACACACAUGCAUGUAUACCGAUCGAUCUCCCAACAUAUACCUAGAUCAACUUUAACUACCCCCCCCAUCGAUCGACGUAACUCACAAGUUAUGUCUCUCCUUUCUCUAACAAAGGGCGAUUGAUCUUCCUAUGUAGUUAUGUCUGCUUACCACAGCCACAUCGUCCCCCCUCAUCAUUCGUGCAUGCCUCCUGACCCGUCUCUCACACGCACGUGCACAGACAACAAGCAACCAUCUCCUCUCUUAUUGAUAUUGCGGGCGUGCCCUCCGUUUGUCUAGCAAGCCUAUCCCACCAUUUGUUCGAAGCAACUCCACUACCACCCCCUCCAACACUCUAGCUCUGUCUCUCUCCCAACCUUAUUCCUCUCCUGCACAUAUGCAUGGAUGUCGAUCGAUCUCCCUUAAUACAUUAAUUGAGUUUCUGGAGUUUUAAUAUGCAUAAUCUAAAUAUGAAUUGCAUGCACAUGCUCCGGUGCACCAAAGUGGGUUGAAAAAUCACAUGUGUGUCCUUGGUUGAAUUUCUAGGUCCCAUGGAAGAAAUGAGAAUGAAAUUCAAACAUCUGGGCGUCAUGACUCGGCCGAGGACAUCGAGAAACUUUGAUUUUAAAUUCAUGUAAAUCCAAAACUCGCCUGGAAAUCAUGAAACUUGGCAUGGUGUCAUGCCAUGGCACUAACAUGUUGUGGUAAAAAAUUGGGCCGAUUUGGAAGCUCGUGGUUCUAAGAGGGAACGUGCCACCUUUGAGUGUGAAACGAUAUACGCUGCCCCCCCCCCUUGAGUUUCUUAACAAAGGCAACAUAGAACUACAUUAGUGCCCUAUUAAAUUUUGGAAUUAUUCCGGGUUCGUUUGUCGUUUUUUAUACAUUAAUUGAGUUUCUGGUCAUUUAAUGUGCAUAAGUCAAAUUUGAACUACAAGCACAUGCUCUCGUGCACCAAAGUUGGUUGAAAAAUCACAUUUGUGUCCUCGGGUGAAUUUCUAGGUCCCAUGCAAGAAAUGAGAAUAAAAUUAAAACAUCUGGGCAUCGUUGCUCGGCCGAGAACAUUGAGAAACUUGGUUUUAAAAUUCUUGUAAAUCCAAAACACGUCUGAAAAUCAUGAAACUUGGCAUGGAUGUCAUGUCAUGGUACUACCAUGUUGUGGUAAAAAAAAUUGGCCGAAUAGGAACAGAUUUUGGUAUAAGCUUCUUGCAAACCGAAGCUUCUCUCAAGAAGGCUCGUGGUUCUGAGAGGGAACGUGCCACCUUUGAGUGCGAAACGAUAUACGUUGUCCCUCUUGAGUUUAUUUACAAAGGCAACAUAGAACUACAUGAGUGCCCUGUUAAAUUUUGGAAUUAUUCCGGCUUCGUUUGGCCUUAUUUACACAUUAAUUGAGUUUUUGGUCAUUUAAUGUGCAUAAUUCAAAUUUGAACUACAAGCACAUCCUCCCGUGCACCAAAGUUGGUUGAAAAAUCACAUUUGUGUCCUCGGGUGAAUUUCUACUCCCUCCUUCCAUCUAUAUACGUCCUAAUGCAUUUUUCGAGGCUAACUUUGACCAAACGUUAGAGCAAUAAUAUAGACAUGCAACUUACACAAAGCAUACCUUCAAAUUUGUAUGUCAAAGGAGCUUCCAAUAAUAUCAUUUUCAUAGUAUACAUCUCAUGUGCUAUUAAUCUUGUCAAUAGUCAAAGGUUGUCUUGAAAAACACAUUAGGCCCUAUGUAGAUGGAAGGAGGGAGUAGGUCCCAUGCAAAAAAUGAGAAUAAAAUUCAAACAUCUGGGCAUCGUGGCUCGGUCGAGAACAUUGGGAAACUUGGUUUUAAAAUCAUGAAACUUGGCAUGGUGUCAUGUCAUGGUAGUACCAUGCCGUGGUAAAAAAAAUUGGCCGAAUAGGAACAAAUUUUGGUAUAAGCUUCUUGCAAAUCGGAGCUUCUCUCAAGAAGGCUCGUGCUUCUGGGAGGGAACGUGUCACCUUUGUGUGCAUAAUUCAAAUUUGAAAUACAAGCACAUGUUCCAGUGCACCAAAGUUGGUUGAAAAAUCACAUGUGUGUCCUCGGGUAAAUUUCUAGGUUCCAUGCAAGAAAUGGGAAUGAAAUUCAAAAUUCUGGGCGUUGUGGCUGGGUUGGAAACAUUGAGAAACUUAGUUUUUUAAUUCCUGUAAAUCCAAAACACGCAUGAAAAUAAUGAAACUUGGCUUGGUGCCAUGACAUGGCACCAACAUGCUGUGGUAAAUUUGCAGUCCGAUUUGCGAAGGCGCACACAUUAACAAUCAACAAAGUCAUUUUGGAACAAGUGUUGUCACGUUACAAUCGGAAACACAAGUAUUAUUGAAACCGUGGGCGUUCUACUUACUAGUACCAUUUACGUGCCGCCACGCGUCCCCAUUUUUUAUUAGCUAGGAGGCGCCAUGCAGGGUAGCUAUUUGAGUACGAGAGGCGUGCGAUCAGACCCCUGCGCGUGCUUAUCGGGAGGAGAGCCCUUUGACCUCCAUCUGUCGUCCACCUCUCUCCCAAGGUCUCCAUUAAUGGCGCCCGAGCCUCUGUUUAAUGGCGUGGCUAUGUCUCACUGACUGAGGUUUAAGAGAGAAAAAAGAAAAUCUGAAAGCACGGAUCUUGAUGUAAGAUCCGACGGACCUAUAUAGCAUCUACUGCGACUUAUAGCAAGACUGAUGAAUAUAUAAGGACGCGGUAGUCCGCGCAGGCCAGGUGCCCUCCCUUGCACUUCAGAAAUCAAUCGAACAGCACAUCAAUCAAGAAACCUGCACCUUGCUCAAUCAGUCAAACGGACGAGGUGUAUUCGAACCUCAUACACUGGAGGCGUCAAGGGGCGGAGGUACAAGGGGCAGUGGAGCACGGUGAGUUCCAUCGAGACCUUAGAGAGCUCCAUCGUCGGGUCCUGUUCGAUCUGCAUGAUCUCGCCCUCCUCGUGCACAACCAUCUCUCGACUUGGGCUGAGGUAUUACAAAGCUUUACCGUCACAUAUUUUAUACUACUUCAAGGUGCAUUAAAUCAACACAUGCAAGUAUCAAAAGGAGAGUCACGGCAUGCAUGCAUGCGUUGUAAUUAAUGCAUCUAUAGCGACCAGACCUCAAACAGUCUGUGCUGUUGUGCACCAGUGUCAUCCCUGGAUCAGUAAUGCUGACACGCACAGUACAAAUGGAGGAUUUAUAACAGAGUAGCAAUCACACACUUAUUACAUCGAAUAUCUCAAAAGAGAAUAAGUAUGAAUAAAUAUGGCUUAAGGCCAUCUAAAUACGAUAACAGCGAAACGCUUUGAAGAUAAGUGAGUCCAUCAACUCCAACGGCAUCACUGAGUAUAAGACCACGACCUAAGGCACCUUACUCGCCGUCUGAAAAGUCUGCAACAUGAAACGUUGCAGCCCGAAACGGGUCAGCACAUGGAAUAUGCUGGCAAUGUAACACAUAGAGAAUAAUGAACAUAAUAAUGCUAUACUACAUGCAUAUAUGGCUGGUGGAAAGCUCUAUGGUUACAGUUUUUGCGAAAAACCAAUCUUUCCCUACUGCAAAGGAAUAAAUUUUAUUUAACUAUCAUGGUGGUUGUUAAACAUUGAGAAUGGUUGACAGCAUUCUCAAUCCCAAUUAAGUAUCAUCAUUAACCCAACAAAAUUAAUUAAAGUAACAUGAUGAGAUUCAUAUGAAAAUCCAAGUACUAGAUACUCAAGUUGUCCAUAACCGGGGACACGGCUAACCAUGAUUAGUUUAUACACUCUGCAGAGGUUUGUGCACUUUUCCCACAAGACUCGAUCGCCUCCGCUUGAUUCUCGCACUACAUGAUGUUUGAGAAACGGAUGACCGAGACACAGUCUUUCGGAAGUGUUUGCACCUUACGAUGUGAUAGACCGUACCACCUACAUCCCCUACAUCUGCUAGUCUACCACUGUAAGAGUUCACACAACUUAAUCAACUAUGCUAGAGCCCAUAAUAGCUUGCGGCUGCACACGGAAGUUUCUAGCAUGAAUAAUCUCAUGAUCCCUUUGAACCUGGGUGGCGGUCCAAAAGAAAAACAGGCAAUCCUGGAAUACCCAGGUACCUCAAUCCACCCAGAUGUGAGUUUUAGUUGCCACCUUAAGUUUAACCAUAUAUUAACAAUCUCACAUUUGUCAUGGAUACACUCAAACCCAAUCCAUGUCUAGUAGCAUAGCAUAGCAAUAUAAGCAAACGUAGAAGUAACUCCCAAGGGUUUGAUAAUAAAACGGGUAAUAGGUACUACCUCAACUACUUCCCAAUACCCACAGUUUAAUUAGAUCCUAACCAUGCAAUGUUUGAGGAUUGAUCUAAUGCAAUAAAAACUGGGUAUGGAAAGGUAUGAUCAAAGUGUUACUUGCCUUGCUGAUGAUCCGCGAAACCUAGAGAUUCGAAGUAACAAGCGGCGCACUCCGGGUACUCUAUCGCAAACAAACAAGCAAACAAUAAGUACUCAUCUAAUGCACAAGUAAAACUCAAAUAAAAGAUCCAACCAGAAAGUUCAACUUAAGAACUCCGGUUUGCAAAAAGAAUCAAAUCGAACGAAGCAACGAAAGUCAAACGGCGAAAGAAACAAGCUUCGUUUACGAAUCUGGAUCUAGGUCAAAUUUUACAGUAGCAAAAACAUGUUUGAGUAGCUUAAACGGAAAGAAAAUUUCGAGACGAAACUCUAGGCGCUCGAAUCGCCUAAUUCCGAUAAACGAGCGAAAAGUUAAACGAAAACGAAGAUCUGAUCAGGAAUCGAGAUCUGGAAAAAUCGCGGAAAAUCAAUGAAAAAGAAAACUGACGAACAGUUAAACGAACGGACGUUCGUUAACAGCGACAAUCCGACGAACACGUUCGUUUAAACGAACAGGUCGGUGAACGUUCACUAAGUAAUAAAACCGAAAAGAAAAAAAAUAAACCGAUCUGGAAAAAAAUACGAAAACUAGGGUUUACAGAAAAAAACGAACGUUUUUUUUUAGAAAACCGGCAAGGCGGCGGCGGCUCGGCUACCUCGUCGAGACGGGCUCCGGCGGGGCUCGGCAAGGGCGGCGCGGCGGCGGGGCGACGAGGGGCGGCGGCGUACGGCGUCGGGCUCCGGCGGCNNNNNNNNNNNNNNNNNNNNNNNNNNNNNNNNNNNNNNNNNNNNNNNNNNNNNNNNNNNNNNNNNNNNNNNNNNNNNNNNNNNNNNNNNNNNNNNNNNNNNNNNNNNNNNNNNNNNNNNNNNNNNNNNNNNNNNNNNNNNNNNNNNNNNNNNNNNNNNNNNNNNNNNNNNNNNNNNNNNNNNNNNNNNNNNNNNNNNNNNNNNNNNNNNNNNNNNNNNNNNNNNNNNNNNNNNNNNNNNNNNNNNNNNNNNNNNNNNNNNNNNNNNNNNNNNNNNNNNNNNNNNNNNNNNNNNNNNNNNNNNNNNNNNNNNNNNNNNNNNNNNNNNNNNNNNNNNNNNNNNNNNNNNNNNNNNNNNNNNNNNNNNNNNNNNNNNNNNNNNNNNNNNNNNNNNNNNNNNNNNNNNNNNNNNNNNNNNNNNNNNNNNNNNNNNNNNNNNNNNNNNNNNNNNNGGCGUGUCCGAGCCGGACUCGGCGGCGGCGGCGUCGUGCGCGCGAGGGAGACGACGGGCGAGCGGCGGCCUGGCUCGGCUGGGCCUCGGCCCAGUCGGGCGCGGGUUUUUUUUUUAAUAUUCCGCCGAAUUUACAAAAAAUCGCAGAAAAAUAAAUAAAAAUCCAAAAAUGAUAAAACAAAAUUUCCCCGUCUAAUUAAAAUAAUUAGAACAAGGUGAACAUUUUUUUGACCCAAAAAUGCAGUUUUGAAAACGUGCAAUUUUUUUAAUGCAAGAAAAUUGCAAGUAAAAUCCGAAUAAAGUCCAAUAUAUGAUUUUAAUAUUUUUCCUCCAAUAUUUCAAUUAUUUUGGAGAAGUCAUAUUUUCUCCUCUUAUUUAUUUUAAUAUGAAAUAUUUUUCGGAGAGAAAAGUAAUUAAAACCAAAAAUCCUCGUUUUAUUAUUUGAUAAAAAUCAAAUAUGAAAAAUCGGGAAAAUCCCCAACUCCCUCCGAGGGUCCUUGAGUUGCUUAGGAUUUAUCGAGGAUUUGCCAAAAUGCGAUAAAAUAUGCUAUGCAAUGAUGAUCUAAUGUAUAACAUUCCAAAUUGAAAAUUUGGGAUGUUACAAACCUACCCCCUUAAGAUGAAUCUCGCCCUCGAGAUUCGCGUUGGCUAGAAAAUAGGUGAGAGUGGUCCUUCCGUAGAUCUUCCUCUCGCUCCCAGGUGGCUUCAUCUUCCGUAUGGUGACUCCACUGGACUUUGCAAAACUUGAUAACCUUACUGCGGGUAACUCGGCUGGCAUACUCAAGAAUCUUAACUGGUUUCUCCUCAUAGGUCAAAUCACUUUCCAGCUGAAUCGCUUCCAGUGGCACUGUAUCUCUCAGUGGUAUCUCAGCCAUCUCUGCGUGGCACUUCUUCAACUGGGAAACGUGAAAUACGUCAUGAACUCCUGACAAUCCUUCGGGCAAUUCCAGCUUGUAGGCAACUUCUCCCAUGCGUUCCAAAACUCUGUAUGGUCCGAUAAAACGAGGCGCUAACUUUCCCUUAACUCCAAAGCGCUUCACUCCUCGAAGUGGUGAUACUCAAAGAUAAACUCUGUCUCCGACUUCAUGAACUGUCUCCUUACGUUUAGAAUCCGCAUAACUCUUCUGCCUGGACUGGGCUACCUUGAGCCUAUCGCGAAUCAACCUCACUUUCUGUUCAGACUCCUUAAUCAAAUCUGGUCCAAACAAUUGACGGUCUCCAACUUCGUCCCAUAACAAUGGUGUUCUACACCUCCUUCCAUACAAAGCUUCGAAAGGGGUCAUCUUCAAACUAGUUUGAUAACUGUUGUUGUAAGAAAACUCUGCAUAUGGCAAACUGUCGUCCCAGCUAGAUCCAUAAUCUAGCGCACAAGCUCUCAACAUGUCUUCCAAAAUCUGAUUGACUCUCUCGGUCUGUCCAUCUAUCUGUGGGUGAAAGGCUGUACUGAAUUCUAGCCUGGUUCCCAAAGUUUCAUGUAACUGAUUCCAAAACUUCGAGGUAAAUUGGGUUCCUCUAUCUGAUACAAUGGUCCUCGGAACUCCAUGCAAACAUACGAUCCUGGUCAUGUAUAUCUUUGCCAACUUAGCACUGGUGUAAGUGGUCUUCACUGGAAUGAAAUGAGCUACUUUCGUCAAACGGUCGACUACAACCCAUAUUGAGUCAUAGCCUGAACGAGUCCUGGGCAAUCCCGUGAUAAAAUCCAUGCCUAUUUUAUCCCACUUCCAUUCGGGUAUCGGCAAUGGUUGUAGCAAUCCUGCUGGCUUCUGAUGUUCUGCCUUCACUCUCUGACAUACAUCACAAACUGCUACAUACUCCGCAAUAUCCUUCUUCAUUCCGGUCCACCAGAAAGUAUCCUUCAAAUCCAAAUACAUCUUGGUAUUUCCUGGGUGAAUCGAAUACGGUGAAUCAUGGGCCUCUUGCAAGAUCAAUUUUCUGAUCUCCGGAUCAUUGGGCACGUAAACGCGGUCCUCAAACCAUAAGGUAUCGUGCUCAUCCUCACGAAAUCCCUUGGCUUUUCCUUUGCUCAUCUUUUCCUUUAUCUCGAUAAUUUCCUUGUCUGUCUUCUAAGCUUCUCUGAUCUUUUCCAUCAAGGUAGACUGAAUCUCCAAUGUUGCUAAAUAGCCUCUUGGAACUAUCUCCAAACAUAGCCCGCGAAGAUCCUCGGCUAACUCCUGGGGUAACUCUCCUAUCAUGAGGGUGUUGACAUGGCUCUUGCGGCUCAAAGCAUCUGCUACUACGUUAGCCUUCCCUGGGUGAUAAUGCAAUCUCAUAUCAUAGUCCUUAAUAAGCUCCAACCAUCUCCUCUGCCUGAGAUUCAACUCCUUCUGCGUGAAAAUGUACUUCAAACUCUUAUGAUCCGUGUACACCUCACAAUGGUUUCCGAUGAGAAAAUGUCUCCAUGUCUUCAAUGCAUGCACCACGGCUGCUAAUUCCAAAUCAUGCGUGGCAUAAUUCUUCUCAUGGGGUUUAAGUUGCCGUGAAGCAUAUGAAACAACUCUUCCUUCCUGCAUAAGCACUGCUCCAAGUCCUCUACGAGAAGCGUCGCAAUAAACUUCAUAAUCCUUGCGUUGAUCUGGCAGAAUCAACACUGGUGAUGUAACCAAUCGUUUCUUCAACUCUUGGAAACUAGCUUCACAUUCCUCAGUCCAAUUGAACUUGGUGUCCUUCUUCAAUAGCUCAGUCAUGGGCUUUGCAAUCUUUGAGAAAUUCUCGAUGAACCUCCAGUAGUAUCCUGCAAGUCCAAGGAAACUACGGAUCUCUCCAACUGACGUGGGUGAUUCCCAACUUGUUACUGUGUCAAAUUUGGCGGGGUCUACUGCUAUUCCUUCUCCGGAUAUAACAUGUCCGAGGAAUCCAACUUCCUUCAGCCAAACGCAAAUGCUCCUUAUGCUCUUCUUCAUUCUUGGAGUAGACUAAAAUAUCAUCAAUGAACACCACGACAAACUUAUCCAAAAACUCCAUAAACACUUUGUUCAUCAGGUUCAUGAAAUAGGCAGGUGCGUUAGUCAGACCAAAUGACAUAACGGUAUACUCAUACAGCCCAUAUCUGGUGGUAAAAGCCGUCUUAGGUAUAUCCUGCUCUCGAAUGUUUAACUGAUGGUAUCCUGAUCGUAGAUCGAUCUUGGAAAAUACCUUAGCUCCUUGUAAGCGGUCGAACAAAUCAUUUAUCAUCGGCAGUGGGUACUUGUUUUUGAUGGUCACUUCAUUCAAUCCACGGUAAUCAACAACCAUCCUCAACGAUCCAUCUUUCUUCUCCACUAGAAGUACUGGUGAUCCCCAAGGUGACGAACUUGGGCGAAUAUAGCCUUUAUCCAAUAACUCCUUAAUCUGCUUCUUAAUUUCCUCCAAAUCUUUUGCGGGCAUCCUGUACGGUCUCUUAGAUAUUGGCCCUGUGCCUGGCAAAAGUUCAAUCAAGAAUUCAAUGUCUCUAUCCGGUGGCAUGCCUGGCAACUCUUCUGGAAAUACAUCCGGGUAAUCCUUCACCACUGGUACUUCCUCCUGUAGAACUCCUGAUAAGGGAUUCACUUGAAUCCUCUUUGGCACAUGCCGGGAUACAUACUUGAUCCUUCUUCCUUCUGGGGUGGUAAGCAUAAUCGACUUACUGGCACAAUCGAUGUUCCCUCCAUACUUUGAUAACCAAUACAUGCCUAAUAUCACAUCCAAACCUUGCGAUUCCAAUAUUAUUAGGUCUGAGGGAAACACGUAGUUACCAAUCCUUAAUGGUAACCGAUCACACCAUAAACUAGCCAUAUACUCUGCUCCUGGCGAGGUUACUAACAUGGGUGACCUAAGGGCUUGGGUUGGCAGUUUAUACUUAUCCACAAAUCCCCUUGAUAUGUAUGAAUGCGAUGCACCAGUAUAAAAAAGAACGAGUGCAGUAAAUGACUUAACCAUAAACUUACCUAGUACUGCAUCAGGCUGUGCUUCAACCUCUUCCACGCUCACGUGGUUCACAUGUCCUUUGUUGAAAGGGUUUGGCUUCUUCCCAGAGCUUCCAUUUCCAUUACCAUUCUGGGCUUCAGGACAUUCAUUGGCAUAAUGUCCAGUCUUCUGGCACUUGAAACAAGUGACUUGGCUCAGGUCCCUCUUAGCUGGGGUUGAAGGGUUGGUACGGUUCUGUCCGUUGCUUCCUCCGUUCCCAUUACCAUUCUUGGAGCCAUUAUGGUUGUGCGAACUACCUCCUCCAUGGGUAUGCUGAAACUGUCCUCCCGAUUUCGGGGUAAAACGUGGCUUCUGCUGAGCUCCAGAAUUGUACUUCCCUUGUCCAUACUUCCUCUUACGGUUUUCAAUCUGCUGCUGCUUCCCUUCAAUCAUGAGUGCUCUAUCUACCAACUCCUGGUAGUUGUUGAAGGUUGCUACCAUUAGUUGCAUGCUCAGCUCAUCAUUCAAUCCUUCGAGAAACUUCUCCUGCUUGGCUGCAUCUGUAGCAACGUCAUCUGGUGCAUAACGUGCUAACUUACUGAAAUCCUCCACAUACUGGCCUACGGUGCGUCCUCCUUGGCGUAGGUUGCGAAACUCACGCUUCUUCAUAGCCAUAGCUCCUGCUGAAACAUGGGCUGUACGGAAAGCUUGCUGAAACUGGUCCCAUGUGACAGUGUCAAUAGGGUGUGUGGCUGUGUAAUUCUCCCACCAUGAUGCUGCGGGUCCAUCAAGCUGAUGUGCGGCAAAAUGCACUCUUUCUGCAUCUGUGCAUCCUGUAGUGGCCAACUCUCUUCCAACUUUGCGGAGCCAAUCAUCUGCAAUAAUCGGCUCGGUGCUGCUGGAAAACACCGGCGGAUUCAGCCUCAAGAAACGGGCUAAGUGAUCAACAGGUGGUGGUGGUGGGUUGUUGUUGUUGUUGCCUUGGUUCUCUACUAACACUUGCAUCAGGGCAUUCUGUUGCUGAAUCAACUGUGUGAUCUCCGGUGGGAAAACAAAUCCGGUGUCGCGUCUCGGAAGCAUAUGAUAGGUUAGAAAAGAUGAGAGUUUAGAAUAGAAUGAGGUCUAGAGGGAAAACACUACCCAUAUGCUCAUGAGACAAAUACAAUCAAUAUCACUCAAUCAAUUCAAACAAGGCAUACAAUCGAUCUAUCUAGCGUUACAAAAGUGCUCGAACUAUACUAUAUAAAUGGGGGAAAACUACUACUGAUAUGGUGGUCUACUAGAAAUUCUGAUCAGUUGAAGACUCCAUGAUAUCUGCUCCAGCUUCAUCAACAAAUUCAUCAUCACUGGGGUCCGAGUCGGUGUCGUCGAUGAUGAUGUAGUUAUCCGGGCAAGCGCAUUCAUCAUCUUCUGCUUUUGGCACUGGAUUUCCCAUGAAUACUCCAAUCUUCUUCUCCAGGUCGUCAUUCUUCCCUACUAGUGCGACGAUUUCCUCCAAAUAAUCCUCGCGUGUAGCCUUGAGUUCUUCCUCUAGCUCCUUGAUCUUCGUCAAUGCCUUCUUCAGAUCUAUCUUGUCUGAGCACAUCUGGUUCUCCUGGCGACGAAUGUGUUGGUUUUGCUCCUGGAUGAAAGCUGCAAUUGAUCCAUCCUUCUUGGUGCUGAUCAUCUCCCAUUGCUCGUCUCGGCGUCCACAAAUUUGAUAAAUAGUAUCCUUAAGCUCCCUGUGGUAGACUUCUCCAAUGCGUCCCAUAGCGAUGUGGGCUGCCAUGCUCUUCCCUAAACUCCAGGUUGGUGCUUCAAAAGACAACUUUAUAGGCUCAGUAACUGGCGCUAUCGUCCUUCCUGGAACUUGAACUUGAAUCUGCCAGCUCUCCUCUUCAGGUAUUGUGGCGUUGUAGGUUCCGGUGAUGCUUGGUAUUCCUAUGUUCAAGUACUUAGUGACUUCCUUCAAGUGUCGUCCAAAAGGCGUAUCUUCAUCUGGUUGCAUGAACUUGCUCCUUGCAUCCGCCAUUCCUAAAAGAGUAGAAAGUGGAGAGGGGUCAGAAAUGAGAAGAGAGAAGUGUUCUAGGGUUUAAGCUUAGUGGUCGUGUCCUAUAGUCAGCGUGUGCUCUGAUACCACCUUUGUAGCGACCAGACCUCAAACAGUCUGUGCUGCUGUGCACCAGUGUCAUCCCUGGAUCAGUAAUGCUGACACGCACAGUACAAAUGGAGGAUUUAUAACAGAGUAGCAAUCACACACUUAUUACAUCGAAUAUCUCAAAAGAGAAUAAGUAUGAAUAAAUAUGGCUUAAGGCCAUCUAAAUACGAUAACAGCGAAAGGCUUCGAAGAUAAGUGAGUCCAUCAACUCCAACGGCAUCACUGUGUAUAAGACCACGACCUAAGGCACCUUACUCGUCGUCUGAAAAGUCUGCAACAUGAAAUGUUGCAGCCCGAAACGGGUCAGCACAUGGAAUAUGCUGGCAAUGUAACACAUAGAGAAUAAUGAACAUAAUAAUGCUAUACUACAUGCAUAUAUGGCUGGUGGAAAGCUCUAUGGUUACAGUUUUUGCGAAAAGCCAAUUUUUCCCUACUGCAAAGGAAUAAAUUUUAUUUAACUAUCAUGGUGGUUGUUAAACAUUGAGAAUGGUUGACAGCAUUCUCAAUCCCAAUUAAGUAUCAUCAUUAACCCAACAAAAUUAAUUAAAGUAACAUGAUGAGAUUCAUAUGAAAAUCCAAGUACUAGAUACUCAAGUUGUCCAUAACCGGGGACACGGCUAACCAUGAUUAGUUUAUACACUCUGCAGAGGUUUGUGCACUUUUCCCACAAGACUCGAUCGCCUCCGCUUGAUUCUCGCACUACAUGAUGUUUGAGAAACGGAUGACCGAGACACAGUCUUUCGGAAGUGUUUGCACCUUACGAUGUGAUAGACCGUACCACCUACAUCCCCUACAUCUGCUAGUCUACCACUGUAAGAGUUCACACAACUUAAUAAACUAUGCUAGAGCCCAUAAUAGCUUGCGGCUGCACACGGAAGUUUCUAGCAUGAAUAAUCUCAUGAUCCCUUUGAACCUGGGUGGCGGUCCAAAAGAAAAACAGGCAAUCCUGGAAUACCCAGGUACCUCAAUCCACCCAGAUGUGAGUUUUAGUUGCCACCUUAAGUUUAACCAUAUAUUAACAAUCUCACAUUUGUCAUGGAUACACUCAAACCCAAUCCAUGUCUAGUAGCAUAGCAUAGCAAUAUAAGCAAACGUAGAAGUAACUCCCAAGGGUUUGAUAAUAAAACGGGUAAUAGGUACUACCUCAACUACUUCCCAAUACCCAUAGUUUAAUUAGAUCCUAACCAUGCAAUGUUUGAGGAUUGAUCUAAUGCAAUAAAAACUGGGUAUGGAAAGGUAUGAUCAAAGUGUUACUUGCCUUGCUGAUGAUCCGCGAAACCUAGAGAUUCGAAGUAACAAGCGGCGCACUCCGGGUACUCUAUCGCAAACAAACAAGCAAACAAUAAGUACUCAUCUAAUGCACAAGUAAAACUCAAAUAAAAGAUCCAACCAGAAAGUUCAACUUAAGAACUCCGGUUUGCAAAAAGAAUCAAAUCGAACGAAGCAACGAAAGUCAAACGGCGAAAGAAACAAGCUUCGUUUACGAAUCUGGAUCUAGGUCAAAUUUUACAGUAGCAAAAACUUGUUUGAGUAGCUUAAACGGAAAGAAAAUUUCGAGACGAAACUCUAGGCGCUUGAAUCGCCUAAUUCCGAUAAACGAGCGAAAAGUUAAACGAAAACGAAGAUCUGAUCAGGAAUCGACAUCUGGAAAAAUCGCGGAAAAUCGAUGAAAAAGAAAACUGACGAACAGUUAAACGAACGGACAUUCGUUAACAGCGACAAUCCGACGAACACGUUCGUUUAAACGAAUGUGUCGGUGAACGUUCACUAAGUAAUAAAACCGAAAAGAAAAAAAAUAAACCGAUAUGAAAAAAACGAAAACUAGGGUUUAGAGAAAAAAAACGAACGGUUUUUUUAGAAAACCGGCAAGGCGGCGGCGGGUCGGCUACCUCGUCGGGACGGGCUCCGGCGGGGUCGGGCGGGGCUCGGCGAGGGCGGNNNNNNNNNNNNNNNNNNNNNNNNNNNNNNNNNNNNNNNNNNNNNNNNNNNNNNNNNNNNNNNNNNNNNNNNNNNNNNNNNNNNNNNNNNNNNNNNNNNNNNNNNNNNNNNNNNNNNNNNNNNNNNNNNNNNNNNNNNNNNNNNNNNNNNNNNNNNNNNNNNNNNNNNNNNNNNNNNNNNNNNNNNNNNNNNNNNNNNNNNNNNNNNNNNNNNNNNNNNNNNNNNNNNNNNNNNNNNNNNNNNNNNNNNNNNNNNNNNNNNNNNNNNNNNNNNNNNNNNNNNNNNNNNNNNNNNNNNNNNNNNNNNNNNNNNNNNNNNNNNNNNNNNNNNNNNNNNNNNNNNNNNNNNNNNNNNNNNNNNNNNNNNNNNNNNNNNNNNNNNNNNNNNNNNNNNNNNNNNNNNNNNNNNNNNNNNNNNNNNNNNNNNNNNNNNNNNNNNNNNNNNNNNNNNNNNNNNNNNNNNNNNNNNNNNNNNNNNNNNNNNNNNNNNNNNNNNNNNNNNNNNNNNNNNNNNNNNNNNNNNNNNNNNNNNNNNNNNNNNNNNNNNNNNNNNNNNNNNNNNNNNNNNNNNNNNNNNNNNNNNNNNNNNNNNNNNNNNNNNNNNNNNNNNCGGCCUGGCUCGGCUGGGCCUCGGCCCAGUCGGGCGCGGUUUUUUUUUUAAUAUUCCGCCUAAUAUAAAUAAAAUCGCAGAAAAAUAAAUAAAAAUCCAAAAAUGAUAUAACAAAUUUUUCCCCGUCUAAUUAAAAUAAUUAGAAGAAGGUGAACAUUUUUUUGACCCAAAAAUGCAGUUUUGAAAACGUGCAAUUUUUUUAAUGCAAGUAAAAUCCGAAUAAAGUCCAAUAUAUGAUUUUAAUAUUUUUCCUCCAAUAUUUCAAUUAUUUUGGAGAAGUCAUAUUUUCUCCUCUCAUUUAUUUUAAUAUGAAAUAUUUUUCGGAGAGAAAAAUAAUUAAAACCAAAAAUCCUCAUUUUAUUAUUUGAUAAAAAUCAAAUAUGAAAAAUCGGGAAAAUCCCCAACUCUCUCCGAGGGUCCUUGAGUUGCUUAGGAUUUAUCGAGGAUUUGCCAAAAUGCGAUAAAAUAUGCUAUGAAAUGAUGAUCUAAUGUAUAACAUUCCAAAUUGAAAAUUUGGGAUGUUACAGCAUCGGUAAACGCAAAUUAUUGAAAUAUAUCGAGUGCAGUGCUUUGCUGUGUCGCGUCAACUCAUACAUCAACGAGAAGUUUGAUUAUCCUCUCCCUCGCGGACUUAACUGCACCUGCCUUUGGCUGUAUGACAGGUUGGCCACACACCUGUCGGGCCCACCCGUCAUACACGCAAAGGCAGGAGCGUCCCUCCCUCGCCCAUGAGCGUGGUGACUGGCAAGACUAGGAGAAGCUUUCGCUACACGCUCUCCCUCCCACACGCGGUGGACAUGCAGCAGUUCAAUCGGUGUCAGAUGGCCAGAAGCAUACUGUAGUACUCCUCCAGUGCAGUAGUACUCCAUCAUUGUUCGACUUCUCGAAGAGGCGAAGAGCCAAGCGCAGCCCGGACGCUCGUGUGGCAGUUUCAUGUGUAGAGUAGUCUAGGAUAGCAUGUAUCGUGCCUGUAAGCUUAAAAUCGUUGGGGUCGGCUCCAUGCUAUGUGGCCGUCUCGAAGUUUUAAAAAAAAGUCUUCUGUCCCUACCUGACACCCUGGUGAUUGUAGUUUGCACGCUCAUCUGGUCAAGACAGGAAUAUAUAUUUUAAUUUGUUUUUCUUUUUCAAAAAGUGGGGACUCCCCGGCCUCUGCAUCAGAACGAUGCAUACGGCCACAUAUAUUUUAAUUUGUGGUGGGUAAAUGUUAGAGGUUGCAGCAAAUAUAUUGUACACUGCGGGUCUUUUAGCUAAGUUUAGAGGCAAGCAUGUGGGGCCAGUGCUAUGAUGUGUCGCGUCAACUCAUACAACGAGGAGAAGCUUGAAUUUACUACACGCCUUUUCCCUCACCCAUGCGCGCGGUUGCUCGCAAACGAGGACAGGCUUUUGCUUAGUAGUACUUCUACAACAAGCUAUCCGUCCCGCUCGCGGUGGACGGACAUGCAGCAGUGGAUUCGACACUGUAGAAGCAGUAGUAGUAACAUCAUUGUUCGUCUGAGGCGAAGAGCCAAGCGCAAACCGAACGUUGCAGUUGCGAACAUUGGAGCACGCAUAUAGCCAGGCUCUUGCAUGAGACAAAAUUGCUAUGUGAGCCCACUAUUGUACUAGUACGUACAACUACUUGCUAGUAUAGCCCUGUAAACCAGAAAGGAGUAUUUGCCCUUCUAGAGAUUUCAACAAGUGACUAGACUACACCGAGACGGAGUACAUAUGGAGCAAAAUGAGUGAAUCUGCACCGUAAAUAAAUACGUACUAGUUCUAUCGUUUUCCUCUCCGAGGUGCACAAUAUUGAGUAUACUGACUAGUCUCUUUUUGACACGCAUUUACGUUUAUUUUUACACAGUACAGACGCAAGCGCUCAUAUACACGUGCAUACACUCACCCCUAUGAACGCACACAUGCACGACACUAUCAUCUUGAAAUUUACGAAGUCACCAUAGGCACCUCGUUGUCGACGGGUCCAUAGGUGCUUGAAUGCCAAGGAGGGAGAGGGUAGCGGUUCCUGAGACGUUGAACGGUCAAUGAUGCAUCCUCAAUUACAUGCAGAGAGAAUUAAUUGGAGAAGCAGAAUAGAGCCAGCACGAUGUGAAUGCAACAGAGUUUGGACUCUCAUAUAAUAAAGGAGCCCCACCACUCCAAUCCAUCUACUCCCAAGUCUCUGCGCAACACUGCUCACUCCAAUCCAAGACCAAGUGACCAGAAGCCACAAGCACCUAUGGAGGCGAUGGACGCGAGCGGCAGUCGGCUGAGCCAAAUCAUCCAAGGCGCCGGCCUGCGGCCCCGCACCGCGCAGCGUUUCCAGAUGGUGCUGGCAACCGCAAGCAUCGUAGCCCUCGCCGACGCUGGCUUCGCCUCUCGCAUGGACGACAUGAUGGUCAACUCCAUCCGCAAGUUCACCGCCGUGAAGAAGCGCGCGGACAACCUUGCCGUACUGCUCCAGCCCGCGCUCCCAGGCUCCUCAUUGCCUGCCACCCUCAUCGGCCUCCAUGGUGACGAACUCUUUCAAGCCCUGGUGGCCCUGCAGGUGCCGGAGGUCGCGAUGAAGAAUGUGCACCUCGAGGCUGCGCUCGCCGCGCAGCGCCUCGCCAUGCAAGAAACCGUCGACCUGCACAUCCACGUCUACGCCUCGACGGUGUAGAGUGCCCUGAGGUUGAGCACACAGAUGAUCUACGUAUGUUCAAAUACGAUCAACCGUGUGACAGCAGUUCCAAAUCGAGAGGGAAAGGCGAAGAGUCGGUGGACGGUUGCCAGUUUGCCACGGUACACGAAGAGGCGCCCCGGCCUACACGUCCUUUUGGAAAUUGUACAAAAGGACUCGCCGUCUUCUUACUGCACCUGCCUUUGGGUGUAUGACACGUGGGUCCAACGGGUGGCUGGCCAACCUGUCAUACAGCCAAAGGCAGGUGCAGUAGAGGGGCGAGGAGUAGAUGGCCAACACGCACGUGAAUUCAAAGCAGUCUGCACUUCUCAUAUAAAGGCUCCCGCCAGUCCAAUCUACGAAAUCCUACGCACCUACGCACCUAAGGGCAAGAGUGAUCACUCCAAUCGCAAGAUCAGUUGACUAGAAGCUAGACCCACUGAGGCGAUGAGCGCGAGCAUCAGCCGGCUGUGCCAGAUGGUCCACGACGCCGGCCUGCAUCCUGGCAUGGAGGAAUGUCUCCAGGUAGUGCUUGAGGCCGCUAGGGCGAGGGGCCGCUUGGACGACAGCUUCGUCUCCUUGUUCGACGAGGUCCUCAUCGGCUUCCUCAACAAGUUCACCGUCGUCAAGAAGCUCGCGGACGACCUUGACGUACGCCUCCAGCCCACGCGCCCAGGCUCUGUGAUGCCUGCCACCCUCAAAAGCAUCUAUGGUGACAACCUCUUCGACGCACUGGUGGCCCUGCGACUGCCCGCCGUCGCGCUAGAGAAUGUCCACCUCGAGGUCGCGCUCGCCGCGCAGUGCCUGGCGUAGCAAGACACCAUCGACAUAAUCACCCACGUCUACGCGCAAAUCGUCCACAAGGACUACUACAUGCAAGAGGAGGACGAUAGGACGCUGGCCUUCUUGGACCGCAGGGCAACCUUGGACGGCAUUGUUUAGAAGCACAUUGAGCUUGCCGCCAACGCUGCUGCUCCUCACACGUCGGUUGGUGACCCGGUGCACUAGGGCGUGAGGAUGUCGUUGAUGGAUCCGUAUGUAUCUUUAUCUUUUCGUCAAAUCCAUGUAGUAGUAUAUGGUACUACUAGUAAUUGUCUUACCUUUCGCAUCAACUUCAUAAUUUUCCUACGUACUCCAUGCAUGAACCGUGCCAGAACCAAACUUCUCAUUACUCUAGGGAAAAUUGUUAUUUCUAUCUAUCGGUCGCCCCAUGGAGCAGAACCAAAAUUUACAAGUUACAAGUUCAAAAGGAAAAGCCUGCCGUGUUCGCGUCGCACCCCCACACGGUUUGUCCGGCACGCCGCUCAAGGGGGAAUGCGUGCUGUGUUGCAUUUUCACUUACAAGUGGGACCGUAGUUGAGCAAACCGACUAUCGGCAAACCCCCACCCCGCCCACCGUGCGAUGGCUGAGAAAACAGGAGGGAGAAGAGAUGGCUGUAGCUAGCACGGACUCCAAGAAAAUUGGUGUCGGAUGGAACUCGUGUGGGUGGCGUCUGUCGUACUGCUAGACAUGAAUGCUAGUUAUGGCCCAUGCCACCCCACUAUAUCGAGGUGCUGGUUACUCCACUAUAUCGAGUACGUAGAACAAAUUUCCUGGAGUCCGUGCUCGGCCCUCCUCUAUCUCUCUUCUCAGCCAGCCAGCAGACGCGCGGAGCCAUCGUCUGUUUGCUCAUAUGCGGUCCCACAUGUCAGUGAAAACGCAAGAGGACCCACUGAACCUACACAUCUUUCACCUCGACGUGCUGGUGAUGAAAAACAAAUCCAAUAAAGAUCUUCGGUGGUCGCUUUUGGAGUUACUCAAGAGUAGUAAGAUUCUAUUUACAGUUUAACCCAAGAUGCACAUCACGUGGCUUCACCUACCACUCUAUUUUCUUGCAUGACAUGACCUGGAUGCUGGAUGUCCCACGUGUCGGCAAAAGGAGGAAGAACUCGACCAAAUCUUCGGUUGUGCUCUCGGAUUAGACUAGUUGUGCUAACUUAAAAUUUUAUUGUGUAGAAUGGAUGCAAGUUUUGGUAUUGGGAAGAAGAGUACAAUGAUAUAUUGACAGAGCAUAAUUUAGUAGAUGUUCUAGCACUUUUAGCUAGCAUAGAGGCUAGAGAUGAGACUAGUGCACUUGUUGAUAGAAUAGAGGCUAGACACGUCUACUUCUUUACACUCGGAGAAGAAAGAAGCACGCAAGAUCGAGCCUCCGCAGAUCAACAAUGAAUGCAUCGAGAAGGCACUAAUCCAACUUACAGGAGCAGUUAUGGAAGUUGGAUAUCUUCUAAAAUGUAUUCUUGUGGUUCUUGUUUUCUUUGGUCUUGCUUUUCUAGUCAAAAUUUUGGUGAUGUAUUUCCAUGUACCAAAAAAUCAAUGAUGAAAAAAAGAUAUGUGAAUAGUGCACGUACUCAAUGAUAGAGCACGGGAUGGUAGCCAUGGACAUGGUCGGCCCUUUUUGAAGAGAGUACUAAUAAAUAACUUUGAUGUGUCCCGUCAACUCGCAGAAUGACGAGAAGCUUGCUUACUACGCCUUCUCCCUCGCCAACGCGUGCGCGGUGGCUCGCAGCACGAGGAGAAACUUUUGCUUACAAGCGGUGGACGUGCAGCAGUUCAUUUGGUGUCAGAUUGCCACAAGUACUACUGUAGUACCAUCAUUAUUGUUCGACUUCCGGAAGAGGAGAAGAGCCAAGCGCAAGGUCACCUACUAACCUAGUACAGUACUACUAUAGCCAAAGCUGGUCCACCUUUUUAGAGCAUGGUUAAUAAAUAUAGGCGGCUCUUGCAGCGGCACAUCAUUUAGAGCAAGUACUCUCUUCAUAGGAACAAAGGAAGUGAAACAAAAGUUGGAGUGGAUGCUAGAUUGCCAAUUAAAAGAUGAUUACAUAGGAAAAAAAAUCCUAUAGCAUUCUAUCCUAUGAAUCAAAUGACCAAUGUAGGAAAAUUAUGAGGGGGGUCUCUCCAACAGUGUUCCUGGGCUCUCACCUAACAUCACGGUGGUCGAACUUGGAGCCAUUCAUCUGGUACACGUGGCAUCUCAGAUCUGGACACAAGGUGACGCGACCUCUCACUUCCUCCGCCAUUUGAAGCGGCGCGCCAGUGGAGGGCUAGCAUACUCCAAUAUUAGGUUGGCUCUAUGUGAUGUGGCAACUUCAUAUACUAACCGGAUGCUGGCUAUACUACUACGGUACUCACAGUCCAAGAAGUGACUCGAAAACCAUUAAUAAAUUGAGUCUAUGACAUGCAUUCGCAACUGAAAUGUACCAUUCAUUAAAUACAACAAGUCAUCAACACACAACGACAACGAGGAUACAUGUUGGAUUAUAGAUUAUUUCCAACAAAACAUUCUAGCAAAUACUAAAGUUUUCAUCACACAACAAAUAACAAGCAAUGAAAUGAACUUCAACUCAACCAAUCCUCGGCGUUGGAAAUGCUGGCUUUGAACCAUAUGUGCUCUGGGAAGGGCCAGCUAUUGUCAAUAUCGAGAGCAACGCAGGACUGAUCAUCCAGGCUGAAGCGGCAUAUAUCAGGACCAGGGUAGGGAACCACCGAAAUGUCUGAGGUAUAGAUACAGUUGCUUCUCAUAAAUGGUAGUAACGUUGUGUCAACAGCAGCUGGAUCGCCUUUCACCAUCAUUGGAUAGUUUGGUCCAAGGAAGAGCGAGUUUGUUCCAAGACUAUCAAUACUGAACCAGGGAGAAGGUGUUUGCGCUAGCACACUAGUAUCCGUCCUGAAUACCAUGCAAUAGGUGUUGGAAUAGGUCAGGAGAGGGCGACCAUGGGAGACAACACCUGCUUCCUCAGUAGUAACAGUCUAAGUGCACUGUAUACAGACAAGAAGAGGUGAUCCAUCGGAAUUAGUUGCCAGGCGCCACUGAGUAUAUAAGUUCUGCUCCUCCUCAUGCUCGUGAUCAUCACCAUCGUCAUCUCCCCCUUGCUUAUAAAUUUUUUCAAGUAUAGGUGGUGGAAUGUUCACAGGACCUUGGAAACACAAGAAGAAGGUUAAUUAGUAAAGGGAAACUUGCUAACCCGCAUGCAUGUGGAUGAAACAAUUAUAAUUACGGUGGAAGACAAACGUACCGAAACUACGAGGAUCCCAUGCAAAAACAAUGCCACGAGUGGUGGCAGCAAACACAAGAUCCUCGUAUUCAAUUGCAUCAUAGUACACAUCCGUGUAUAGAAACUGAUUUUUGAGCAAUAUCCAUCCAGUCGAACCACGAAGGACGGCAACAAGCUUGUCGAAGAUAGCAACAACUUGAUAGUUCUUGUAAUUCCAAGAGCGGUUGGGAACUCGACAAAUUGGUAUCUUCAGUAGACGACAGUCACCAUGAUCGUAUUUGAACGUACGUAGAUCAUCUGUGUGCUCAACCUCAGGGCACUCGGAGAUUUUUGGAAGUGGAAUCCGCUGACGAGUGUACACAUUCACAAGUUCCCAGUCGCAAUUGUACCCAAUAUAAACAACCCAAUCUCCAUUUGUGCCAGCCCAGGACUUACCCUUAAGCGAUGGCAUCUUGACAUCACACGUAUCAUUAUCAAGCGGCAUCAACUUGCACAAGGCGAGGCCUCCGUCGUCCGCGCCCAUGCGAACAGGCUUAUAGAGAAGAAGAUAAGGGAGAUCAAACCGCUCCUGGACCCUUGGGUUCCUUGUAAUGAUGUUAUUAGUUGAGUCGAGAAUGGGCUUGAACGAACCUGCCAUGCUAGCCGAGGUGAUGACGUCGCACCGAUCAAUGAGUUCCCCCACCACGUCAUCUUUCAGAUCGGGGCAAGAAUAACGGGGUCAUUUCCGGCUUGUUCCCUCCAUGGAGAAGACGAUCGAACAAUGGCUGAAGGAAGGUGAAGGCAAAUGGAGGGGGGAGGAAGAGUGUGCGACAGCAGUUCCAAAUCGAGAGGGAAAGGCGAAGAGUCGGUGGACGGUUGCCAGUUUGCCACGGUACACGAAGAGGCGCCCCGGCCUACACGUCCUUUCGGAAAUUGUACAGAAGGACUCGCCGUCGUCUCACUGACAUGUUGGAACGGGACCACAUGUCAACGAAACAUCGUGUGUAAUUUCUCGUGCAAAAUGCGAUCUAGCCGCGUUGGCCCGAGGUGCCGCAUUAUUUCUUGACUUUAUUUUUUUAAUGGCGUGCCGUUCAGUUUUGAAGCACGACUAACUGGUACUGUUUGCAGAGAAAAUAUAAACUACUCUACCACUACUCCACCUCUAGUACUAGUAGUAUAAAAAAGAUAUAUAGGCUGGAGCUUCAGAGCUUUCUUGCUAAGGGCUGCCCACUUGCUUCUCACACUAUCACCCUCUCUCCAGAUCUAAAAAAGACGGCCUCUCUCUCCCUCCUCACCGGUGGUCACAGAUCCGCCGGGGAAGAAAAAGAUGUGCAGUGUUGAUGCACUCGUCGUCGGCGAGCGAGGUCACGCACUGACGACAAGGCCGUCCUCUCAGACCUAGCGCCCGCGCGGAAUGGCCUCCGUCCCCAAGCUCGCUGUCGUAGUGCGUGUGGAGGACGAUGACCACGAGCGAAGCCACUUCCCGCUGACCCUCAGGUAUGCUACCUCUUUUCGAACCAUACCCUUGCUCUAUUGCCCCAUCUGCCAUGUCGCUGCAUGUGGAUCUUUUUCCACUCCACCAUCUUCCCAAUUUGCUAUCCUCUGCUCUGCUGGUCACGCAGACGAAAACCUUAAUUUCACUAUUAAAGGAAACCCUACUUCAUGCAGACUAAUCCAUGUCUGGGUUGAAUAAGGAAAGGAAGGGAGACUGUACUAUCCAAGAGAGUAGGCAUCGAACCCGCAUCUAGGUUGAGAAGGGGAAAAUCAGUAGCUAAGGAACGAGUCUCGUGUCUCUUGGUUGAAGAAGGGUAGAAAGGCAUGACAACGCAAUAGAGAAUGACCAGGUCGAUCGGUUUGUUGUCCUCACAUAGGAAAAAGGUGGCUAAACAUAACAAAAAUGGGACGUAUCCACAUAUGCUGUCUGGAUAUUUGUUGCUCUGGGCAACCAUACCUCCCUCACCACUCUAUGCGUCCGUGGAGGUACAUCGUACUGGUGCGCCCACUAUCCGAAUGGGCCUCGCAUGCUCUUAGUCUAACUUUUUUGUUGUUAGUAUAACGCUAGCAGUCAAGUCAAGCAAUGCUACUGCUAAAGUGAUGCCACAUUUAACUAAUGCCGCACUCAGUCUAAUGCCACCGAUAAAUUUAAGCAAUGCCAUUUAAUGUCACUGGAUUAUUUCAGGGUUAGCUGUUGAUUGUGGAUGUAUUAAAGAUUUUUCAACUAAGACAUUCUAAUGAUGUUGCACAGCCAGUAUACCAACGAUGAAACUUGUUACUACCUUCAUCAGCCUCUGGUGCCUUAUUUAUUCCUUCAAAAAGGUGGUUAGAAACAGUCUUGCUACCUUUUCCCAUUAAGAAAUUGGAAUGCUUAUAUUUGUGAGUCUAUGCAUCAACUAGUGCCACUUUUAUAGUAAUCACACUUUCAAUAUCUAUGCAAACAGGGAUGCUCGAUUUUAGUGGAACUGCACAAAAAGUCCAACUGGUUCAACAUUAGGAGCAUGUUUUCUCCCAAACCUUUAUAUCCAAUUGGUGGCACUAUGAGCUGUUCAUUAAGAAGGUACAUGGUUUGCUACUAUCUUGCUACUCUUUUUGUACUGUCAUUAGAUAGUAAUACUAGUGGUUUGCACGUGAAUUUAUUGGCAGGGUGGACCUACAUUGGAGGUGCAGGACAUGAUUCAAUGACUGGAUGCUCAAUUUCGGUUGUAUCGAUUUCACCUCUUCCAUCACUGCGAACAUGGAUAUCCUUGGUCUGAUGAAGACUAGGCGCUAUAUUUCUGCUCUGAACAAGCAAAUCAAUUCAGUAUGAAAUUGUCCAGGGCAAAACAUGACUGUAUCAAAUUGUCCAGUGCAAAACAUGACAGAUCUAAGCGGAAGAGACAUGUUUAAACCAAAAAUACAAGGUGGGGUAUAUGUUUACUAGCUGCUUGAUAUUUGUGCAGACAGAGAUGUCUGCCCGUUGCUAUUUAGCAAACACACAAAGUGACCGCAAUUUUGGUUGAACUGCACAAGAGAAUAGUAUAGUCACUACAUGCAGUGCCAUUUGAAAAUAGACACAGAAAGAUUGGAUAGUCACUUCAUGGACUGCAGAAAAGUAGUACUGUACUAUUUAUUGGCCAACACUAGGUGCUUCAUUCCUUUGGUCUGAUUAUACAAUGGGCAUCAUUUUGCCUAAGUUAAAGUUUGUAUUCCGAAAAUAGUCUCGCCGUGUGAUCAAGAGAAGACCAAAUCAUAUUGCAGUGGAUGUUCCUCCAUCAUGUGUGUUUCAUUCCCAUGGUUCCAGCUGUUGGUAAGACCAAAUCAAACGUUUGCAAGAGGAAUUGUAGACUUCACAAACAAAUUUGUCAUUCAGUCUGUACUGAAUGUUGGCCAAGAGAAGCAUCCAUGUUAGUAGGAAGAACAUAUGUUUUUUCUAGAUCUUUGCUUUUGGAGCUACAUAUUUGUAUAUGAUAUGUGAAUCAUUGAGAUCCAUUAACAUGUUGAUCUUAUGUAUGGGAAUCGUACUAGUCGGUUUUAGUUGUGGCUGAUAUUUGCUUUUGGAGCUACAUAUUUGUAUAUGAUCUGUGAAUCAUUGAGAUGCAUUAACAGUUCCUUAUAUCUGUUCGCUCAGUGUUUACAAGUUACCGAUCGAUCACUAGCUAGCCUACUAAUGCCCUCCUGGCUAUUUUAGUUGCGACGCAAGAUCCGAAGUGGCAGUUUUUUUAACAGAAAUGCCUACCUUUGAAAAAACUGACAAGCUGCUCUGAAGAAAAUGCCAUGCGAAUCUGAAGAAACUGCUAGCAAAAACGUUCGCAAAUGCCUUAUCUCCCAGCUAAAGUUCAUCAAUUAAUGCCCUCGGCUGUGACUCGUUGCAUGCUGCUCCGCAUACUGGCUGCGAGCGAUUUUGAGUGCCCGCAUGCAGCCGGCCGUAAUUAAGGCAGCUAACUGAUGCGAAAAAAGAUGUGCUUUAAUUGUUGCGGGCCUUUUAAAUCCGUGGAAUCAUUAUUGACAAGGAGGGAGAUGAUUCGAGUGCACUCGUUUGACCGUAAGGCCGGCGUGCGACCCAGCACGAACGGGACGGGACGGCACAGUCAGAAUUUCAGUUUCUCUAGUUUUCCACGGCAAGCUGGCGCGCUAAGCCAUGCCUGCUUCAUUAUACAUUGAAUUCUGAUGACCGUCGCGCUACCUUCCGCUUAUAAGUACUGUUUUUCGGCCUUCUAUGGUGGCACCGUGACCCAACUCGCCCUAUCCUCAUAAGCCCCCACCGGCCCGACGUUGCUCGCCACUUAUCCUCGCUCUCGCCACGUCCGCCAUGCCCCCGCCCGUCUGCGAUAGGCGUGGCCGGAGGCGGUCACCGCCGGAACUAGUGUUCGGUUUUUCACCGGAAGGCAGACGGAGGGAGGAGGCAUUCUAUCGGUCUUUAGAUGGCAAUGCGGAGAUCGAGGACUUGUUGGAGCGCGACCGCCUGGUGGAGGAGCAGGAGUUGUUGGAGCACGACCGCUUGGCGGAUGAGCAGCAUAUCGCCGAUUUGCGCCACCAGCGGGACAUGGAGCAGCAGCGCACCGACGCUCUGAGUCGCGAGCAGAGCGCCCGCACGUGGGCCGACUACGUGGAGGCCGGUGCCCGGCAAAUAGCCCUGGAGGCUGUCGGGCACGCACGCGUUCGCGACGCCAAUUUUUACUACCAGCUCGUCAAGUGGGUUUCCCGCUUAGAAGCCGAAGCUUCGGUGGACCACGCCGGCAUGGAAAGGGCCAACGCGUGCGAGCAACGCGCCCUAUCGCACCUCUGGCAAGUCCGAGGCGAGGCGGAGGACGCCAGUGCCGGCGUUUAGCGUGUACCGCAGAUGGCGGCCGGCAUCGUCUAGUUAGCUAAGAGUAAGUUAGUACUUGUACGCUACUAGAGUAUUAGUGGAAGUAGAUAGUUAACUUGGCUAUGAUGGUUGUCAACGUGGAAGUUCAGUACUCUAUAUGUGGAUCAGACCUGUUACUUUGCUCUGAAUGUUGAACUUUCUGUUUGAACAUAUGGAAUGGGCUGUUAUUUUUUUUUAAUGGGUUGUAUUUGUCCUCCACGGGUUUAGAGGCUGACUCGUGGGCCUACCAAGUUGACGCGUACACAACCAGGAGAUGAUUGUACGUGGAGAGGAUGACAGCAGGGACCCGCCAAGGUCAUGGCAGUACGCAAGCAAAGUGCCUCCUUAUUUCAAUCCAAUAAAAAAUGGCUCCUCGUAAUGGAUUUCUGACAUCUGGGUCCCACGCCAUUGUCAACGUAGUCAAUAAACGAGAGUUGCACAACGAGCGGCUGACAUCAGGGACCCAGCAGCUCGCCUAGUUAUUUUUGUUUUGGGUUAAUUUGAUAAAUACCACUCCAAAUCUGGCGUUUCUAAGAAAUGCCAUUGCAAUUUCCAAACUUUGAAAAAUGCCAUUUCAUGCCAUCCCCAGUGGCAUUUUUCGAAGUCUGGAGUGGCGUUUUUCAAAGUUUGCAAAUUGCAGUGGCGUUUUCCAAAGUUUGCAAAAAUUGAAGUGGCAUUUUUCAAAGUUUGGAAAUUGCAGUGGCAUUUUUAUGAAUCGCCAUAUUUGUUGUGGCAUUUAUCUAAUUUGUUUUUGAGACGGAAGCAGGGUAUCAACUGGGCUGUGCAGGGCACUCUGGCAUGUCUAGACAGCCUUCUCUUUUAUGUUUACCACAGACCAGCCCAGUAGUUUUCUUUCUUUCUGAAAAUGGCCAGCCCAGUUUUUUUGUGAUUUGCCAAGUAAGUCGCUUUGUCAGGCCUAUUGGGCUGCAAAUCUUUCAAGAUGAGGAGAGCUUCAUUCGGCUGGACGAGAAAAUGGCCUAUCAGUAAUGAGAAAUGGGUUGUACAUUUUUAAAACACAUCAAACCGGCAAUUACUUUCAAAUUUCUUUUUUUUCAUUUCAAGAUUUUAAAUUGCAUUAAUUUUUAUGUGUGGACAAUUUGUUGGAUUUUAUAUUGAUAUACAUUUAUUUUUAAAAUCAGUUUGAAUGUGACUCGAAAUUUCGGGAUUAAAACAGUUCGGACCGCACCGAAAUAUGCAACAUUUCGUAUAAUUUUUUAACCGUGGCCACAAUAUGGGCUGUAAUGCUAACAAAAAGAAUAUGGGCUCCAAAAGUAACCUUCAGAAUUAGCAAAUGGGCUGUAAAUUAUUAGAAAUAAUGGCAGAUGGGUUGUAUGCUGUUUUCCACAGAUUUGAGGCUUUCCUAAAAAAAGGUUGGCGCACAAGCAGUGACUGUUGGAUGGCCAUCCAACGGCCGUCGUGCUUCUUCAAUCUCUGCUCUUCCUGCUCCAGCCGCUCAAACAAGCGCCGGCGGGACUGCCUGCUCCCUCCUCCCUGCGGCCAGCUCUGCUGCCGCGCAGGCCUCACCGCCCCACCGUACUCCCAUCGCUGGCCUAGCCAUCCCUCUACUCACCCACACCUGCUGUUAUUCUCCGGCGACGGCAGACGAACCAGUAAACCCUCGUACAGUCGUACUCCCCUCCGCGUGGGAAACAACUGCCGAGUCUUCCCCCGUGUCGUUCCCUUCCUAGGCCUCGCCGUCGUCCACCGCCCUGGUGCUCUCGGCGCGGCCUGGUCAACGUGGUCAACGACCGACAUGCAUCUGAAGUGGACUGUACGUGGAGAGGCCGACAGCUGGGUCCACGACCGCACGCAAGGAAAUGCCUCCUUAUUACGCGCAAAAUAAUGAUUCCUCCACCUGACAUCAGGGACCCACCGAAAGGGCCUCUGUAUUUCACAAAAAAAAUGUUACCGCCGCUGACAGCUCGGACCCACCAGCUAUUUCUUCGCACGCAAGGAAGUGCCUCCUUAUUACGCACAAAAAAAAGAAUACUCCCCCUGCUAGCUGGGACCCACCAUGGUGGGAGGCUGACUUGUGGGCCUACUAAGUUGUCUGGGAUGGGGGCCUUUUGUCAACUUUAGUCAAUAUGAACGAUUCUAGCUCCAGUGACCGUACGAUGUCCAUCCAACGGCCGUAGUGCUUCUUCAACCUCUGGUCUACUUGCUCCAGCCGCCCAAAGCAGCGCCGGUCGUGCCGCAUGCUCCUGCCUCCCGUGGCCGGCUAUGCUGCCGCGGAGGCCUCACCGCCCCCUACUAUUCCCACCGCUGGCCAGGCCCUGUGGCGACGGCAGCCUCACACCGCAGCCGAACCAAUGAACCCUCGUACUCCUCUCCGCGCGGGCUUCCACUGCCACGUCUUCCCCGGCUCCCCGUCAUCCCCUUCCUAGGCCUCGCCGUCGUCCACCACCCUGGUGCUCUCGGCGCGGCGUGGUCAACAUGGUCAAGGAACGACUUCCAUCGGACGUGGACUGUACGUGGAGAGGCUGACAGCUGGGUCCACGGCCGCAGCAAGGAAGUGCCUCCUUAUUACGCGGAAAAUAAUGAUUCCUCCACCUGACAGCUAGGACCCACCAGACGGGCCACUGUAUUUCGUGAAAAAAAACGUUUCCCCCUGACUGCUGGGACCCACCAGCUACAUCUUCGCACGCAAGGAAGUGCGUUCGGGUAAAAAACGAUUCGCCCCCCUGACUGCUGGGACCCAGAAGCUACAUCUUCGCAGGCAAGGAAGUGCCUGACAGUCAGGACCCACCUGGUCGAAGCGUAUGUAGCGUUGUCAUUCUGGUCGCGAACGUGUACGUACAUAUAUACUGGUGGAUGUAGAGGCGCGCACGUGUCGUAGUAGAGGCGCGCACGUAGCAUGUACACGUACGUACAGCGGCCAGUGUGCAAGAAAAAAAAUACGGCCACGUACGUACAUACGGGCAGGGUCUCGAAUGCCUACUCGCGCAUACGUACGGCCAGGGCUCGUGUACAUGGCUGGGUCGGAACGGAGAAACAGCGUCAUCGUCGUGUUCAUGGGGAGCCAACCGGCUAGGUCGGAACGGAAUGCGUCGUCGUGUUCAUCGGGAGGGCUUGGAUGGAACAGCCGAUGGAAACGAGGCCUGGCGUACCGCAGAACAGAGGAAACGGCCUUGUGUUCGACCAGCCACGUUUGAAACGGGAUCCUGUUCAUCGGGAGGGGUCUGGCGUACCGCAAAACGGAGGAAACGGACAUCCUACGGUCGAAACGGGGGUCCUAUUGAUCGGGAGGGGUGUGGCGUACCGCAAAACGGAGGAAACGGACUUGUGUUGGAGCACUAUGGUCGAAACGGGGGUCCUGUUCAUCGGGAGGGGUCUGGCGUACCGCAAAACGGGACUCCACGAGAUACUGUUCAUCUCCACCGUCGACCCCCUCCAGCCUCCACGGGCUACUGUUCAUCCACCGUCGAUCUCCUCCAGCCUCCACCUGCGACUGUUCAUCCACGGGCUCCUGUUCAUCCAGCCUCCACCACGCGCUACUCCACCGGCUACUGUUCAACCAGCCCUCUCCACGGGCUCCUGUUCAACCACCCCUCCACGGGCUACUGUUCAUCCAGCCCUCCACCGUCUACUGUUCAUUCUGCCCUCCACGGGGUGGUCCUGUUCAUCCUGCCCUCCACGGGGUCCUAUUCAUCCAGCCCCAACCGGCUCGAUCGAUCGGGGUCCUGUUCAUCCAGAGGCAACACCACGGGGUCCUGUUCAUCCACCCCCACCGGGAACUGUUCAUCCAAACCCCCCCAGCAACGCUCACUGUUCAUCCAGAGGCAACAUCGAUCGGCUUCAGUUAGCAGCAGUAGCGAAGGAAUCGCUUGAUCGGGUUCAGUUAACAGCCAUCGAUCGAUCGCUCGGGUUCAGUAACGCAUAGCCUGCAGUGCAAUCGCUCGGGUUCAGUUAGAGCCCAACGCCUCGCUCGGGUUCAGUUAGAGCCAACGCCUCGCACACAUGCACGUACGUGUACGAGAGAAACGCGCAUUGCUCGGCCCCCGACCUCCCACCGUAACCGGGAACUCCCCAAAAUUUUCCUCGCCCUCGCUUCUACCAUGGUUUUUUUCGUCAUGGACGGCCCAAAGAAUGUCAUGCAGCUGCGUCUCCGGCCCGCCCAGGACGAAAAGCCCAUUUUCUGUCAUGAUUUUUUGUCAUAGAAGUAGGAGCCCACCACAUCUAUGAUGAUACCGGGUUUUGUCACAAUUAUCGUCAUAGAAGUGUCACAUGUAUGACAGAAAAAAAAUUCUUUCGGCCCAAAAUGUCACGGAUGUGUCUUUUUUUGUAGUGUAUUAUUCUUGGUAGACCUUUCCUUAGAACGAUUGGUGCAAUUAUUGAUAUGAAGGAAGGAAAUAUUAGAUUCCAAUUUCCGUUAAGGAAAGGCAUGGAACACUUUCCUAGAAAGAAAAUAAAAUUACCUUAUGAAUCUAUUAUGAGAGCCACUUAUGGAUUGCCUACCAAAGAUGGCAAUACCUAGAUCUAUCCUUGCUUUUAUGCCUAGCUAGGGGCGUUAAACGAUAGCGCUUGUUGGGAGGCAACCCACUUUUAUUUUAGUUUUUUGCUUUUUGCUCCUGUUUAGGAAUAAAUCUUUGAUCUAGCCUCUGGUUAGAUGUGUUUUUAUGUUUUAAUUAGUGUUUGUGCCAAGUAAAACCUAUAGGAUCUUCUUGGAUGAUAGUUAUUUGAUCUUGCUGAAAAUUCCAGAAACAUUCUGUUCACAAAAACAAUUGUUAAAAAUCACCAGAACGUGAUAAAAUAUUGAUUCCAAUUGAAGCAGAUCAAUAAACAAAUUAUCUAGGUCGUCCUAUUUUGGUAGAUUUUUCUGAGUUCCAGAAGUUUGCGUUAGUUACAGAUUACUACAGACUGUUCUGUUUUUGACAGAUUCUGUUUUUCGUGUGUUGUUUGCUUAUUUUGAUGAGUCUAUGGUUAGUAAAAUAGUUUAUAAACCAUAGGGAAGUUGGAAUAAAGUAGGUUUAACACCAAUACAAAUAAAUAAUGAGUUCAUUACAGUCCCUUGAAGUGGUGUUUUGUUUUCUUUCGCUAACAGAGCUCACGAGAUUUUCUGUUAAGUUUUGUGUUGUGAAGUUUUCAAGUUUUGGGUAAGGAUUUGAUGGAUUAUGGAACAAGGAGUGACAAGAGCCUAAGCUUGGGGAUGCCCAAGGCACCACAAGGUAAAUCCAAGGACACCGAAAAGCCAAAGCUUGGGGAUGCCCUAGAAGGCAUCCCCUCUUUCGUCUUCGUCCAUCGGUAACUUUGCUUGGAGCUAUAUUUUUAUUCACUACAUGAUAUGUGUUUUGCUUGGAGCGUCUUGUAUGAUUUGAUUCUUUUCUUUUUAGUUUACCACAAUCAUCCUUGCUGUACACACAUUUUGAGGGAGACACACAUGAUUCGGAAUUUGUUAGAAUACUCUAUGUGCUUCACUUAUAUCUUUUGAGCUAUAUAGUUUUUGCUCUAGUGCUUCACUUAUAUCUUUUAGAGCACGGUGGUGGUUUUAUUUUAUAGAAAUUAUUGUUCUCUCAUGCUUCACUUAUAUUAUUUUUAGAGUCCUAUAAAACAGCAUGGUAAUUUGCUUAAAUUGUGAAAUUAGUCCUAAUAUGAUAGGCAUCCAAGAUUAGUAAAACUUUCUUAUGAGUGCAUUGAAUAUUAUGAGAAGUUUGAUACUUGAUAAUUGUUUUGAGAUAUGAAGAUGGUGAUAUUAGAUUCAUGCUAGUUGAGUAGUUGUGAAUUUGAGAAAUACUUGUUCUAAAGUUUGUGAUUCCCGUAGCAUGCACGUAUGGUGAACCGUUAUGUGAUGAAGUCGGAGCAUGAUUUAUUUAUUGAUUGUAUUCCUUAUGAGUGGCAGUCGGGGACGAGCGAUGGUCUUUUCCUACCAAUAUAUCCCCCUAGGAGCAUGCGCGUAAUACUUUGUUUCGAUAACUAAUAGAUUUUUGCAAUAAGUAUGUGAGUUCUUUAUGACUAAUGUUGAGUCCAUGGAUUAUACGCACUCUCACCCUUCCACCAUUGCUAGCCUCUCUAAUACCGCGCACUUUUCGCCGGCACCCACCAUAUACCUUCCUCAAAACAGCCACCAUACCUACCUAUUAUGGCAUUUCCAUAGCCAUUCUGAGAUAUAUUGCCAUGCAGCUUACCACCGUUCCGUUUAUUAUGACACGCUCCAUCAUUGUCAUAUUGCUUUGCAUGAUCAUGUAGUUGACAUCAUAUUUAUAGCAAAGCCACCUGCAUAUUAUUUCAUAGAUGUCACUCUUGAUUCAUUGCAUAUCCCGGUACUCCGCCGGAGGCAUUCACAUAGAGUCAUAUUUUUGUUCUAAGUAUUGAGUUGUAAUUCUUGAGUUGUAAGUAAAUAAAAGUGUGAUGAUCAUCAUUAUUAGAGCAUUGCCCCAGUGAGGAAAGGAUGAUGGAGACUAUGAUUCCCCCACAAGUCGGGAUGAGACUCCGGACGAAAAAUAGAAAAAAGAAAAAAAAAGGAAAAAAAAAGAGGCCAUAAAAAAAGAGAAAAGGCCCAAAUAAAAAAAUGAGAGAAAAAGAGAGAAGGGACAAUGUUACUAUCCUUUUACCACACUUGUGCUUCAAAAGUAGCACCAUGAUCUUCAUGAUAGAGAGUCUCCUAUGUUGUCACUUUCAUAUACUAGUGGGAAUUUUACAUUAUAGAACUUGGCUUGUAUAUUCCAAUGAUGGGCUUCCUCAAAAUGCCCUAGGUCUUCAUGAGCAAGCGAGUUGGAUGCACACCCACUUAGUUUCUUUUGUUGAGCUUCCAUACACUUAUAGCUCUAGUGCAUCCGUUGCAUGGCAACCCCUACUCACUCACAUUGAUAUCUAUUGAUGGACAUCUCCAUAGCCCAUUGAUACGCCUAGUUGAUGUGAGACUAUCUUCUUCUUUUUUGUCUUCUCCACAACCACCAUUCUAUUCCACAUAUAGUGUUAUGUCCAUGUCUCACGCUCAUGUAUUGUGUGAAGAUUGAAAAAGUUUGAGAACAUCAAAAGUAUGAAACAAUUGCUUGGCUUGUCAUCGGGGUUGUGCAUGAUUAAAUACUUUAUGUGAUGAAGAUAGAGCAUAGCCAGACUAUAUGAUUUUGUAGGGAUAACUUUCUUUGGCCAUGUUAUUUUGAGAAGACAUGAUUGCUUUGUUAGUAUGCUUGAAGUAUUAUUAUUUUUAUGUCAAUAUUAAACUUUUAUCUUGAAUUUUUCGGAUCUGAACAUUCAUGCCACAAUUAAGAGAAUUACAUUGAAAAUUAUGCCAAGUAGCAUUCCACAUAAAAAAUUCUGUUUUUAUCAUUUACCUACUCGAGGACGAGCAGGAAUUAAGCUUGGGGAUGCUUGAUACGUCUCCAACGUAUCUAUAAUUUUUUAUUGUUCCAUGCUAUUAUAUUAUCUGUUUUGGAUGUUCAAUGCGAUUUAUUAUACACUUUUAUAUUAUUUUUGGGACUAACCUAUUAACCGGAGGCCCAGCCCAAAUUGCUGUUUUUUGCCUAUUUCAGUGUUUCGAAGGAAAGGAAUAUCAAACGGAGUCCAAACAGAAUGACACCUUCGGGAACAUGAUUUUCGGAACAAACGUGAUCCAGAGGACUUGGAGUGGACGUCAAGCAAUCAACAAGGAAGCCACGAGGCAGGGGGCGCGCCUACCCCCGGGACGCGCCCUCCACCCUCGUGGGCCCCUCCUAGCUCUCCUGACCGACCUCCUUCUCCUAUUUAUACUCAUACACCCUGGAAACAUCAUAUACGGGGCCAAAACCCUAUUUACACCUCCGCAACCUUCUGUACCCAUGAGAUCCCAUCUUGGGGCCUUUUCCGGCGCUCCGCCGGAGGGGGCAUUGAUCACGGAGGGCUUCUACAUCAACACCAUAGCCUCUCCGAUGAUGUGUGAGUAUUUACCUCAGACCUUCGGGUCCAUAGUUAUUAGCUAGAUGGCUUCUUCUCUCUCUUUGGAUCUCAAUACAAAGUUCUCCUCGAUUCUCUUGGAGAUCUAUUUGAUGUAACUCUUCUUUUGCAGUGUGUUUGUCGAGAUCCGAUGAAUUGUGGGUUUAUGAUCAAGAUUAUCUAUGAACAAUAUUUGAAUCUCCUUUGAAUUCUUUUAUGUAUGAUUGGUUAUCUUUGCAAGUCUCUUCGAAUUACCAGUUUGGUUUGGCCUACUAGAUUGAUCUUUCUUGCAAUGGGAGAAGUGCUUAGCUUUGGGUUCAAUCUUGCGGUGCUCGAUCCCAGUGACAGUAGGGGAAACGACACGUUUGUAUUGUUGCCAUCGAGGAUAAAAAGAUGGGGUUUAUAUCAUAUUGCAUGAGUUUAUCCCUCUACAUCAUGUCAUCUUGCUUAAAGCGUUACUCCGUUCUUAUGAACUUAAUACUCUAGAUGCAUGCUGGAUAGCGGUCGAUGUGUGGAGUAAUAGUAGUAGAUGCAGGCAGGAGUCGGUCUACUUGUCACGGACGUGAUGCCUAUAUACAUGAUCAUACCUAGAUAUUCUCAUAACUAUGCUCAAUUCUAUCAAUUGCUCGACAGUAAUUCGUUUACCCACUGUAAUACUUAUGCUAUCUUGAGAGAAGCCACUAGUGAAACCUAUGGCCCCCGGGUCUAUUUUCUAUCAUAUUAAUCUCCCGUCAACAAGUUAUUUCUAUUGUCGUUUAUUUUGCUUUCUUUACUUUUAGUCUUUAUCAUAAAAAUACUAAAAAUAUUAUCUUAUCAUCUCUAUCAGAUCUCACUUUUGCAAGUGGUCGUGAAGGGAUUGACAACCCCUUUAUCGCGUUGGUUGCAAGGUUCUUAUUUGUUUGUGUAGGUGCGUGGGACUUGAGCGUGGUCUCCUACUGGAUUGAUACCUUGGUUCUCAAAAACUGAGGGAAAUACUUACGCUACUUUACUGCAUCACCCUUUCCUCUUCAAGGGAAAACCAACGCAGUGCUCAAGAGGUAGCACCAAGCAACGUGUGGUCAUGCCUCUACACAAGUGGAAAGCCAAGGAGUGGGAAGCCUUCCGAAAAAGGAAUCCGUACAUGGUUCCCAUUGUGCCUCGAUGGACUAUUGUUCAGUUCCGGAAUGAGAUGCAAGUGAGGAUUGUUCAUGAGCUUUGCAAGCAUAACAAGAAUCAGUAUACCAAGCAAUGGACCAUUGACCUGUAUCAUUGGAGGGGCAACAUGGAGUACUCUGGAGGGACUUUGGCUCUCUGUGAGGAGUUUGAUUUGGUGAAGCUCAUGUCUAUCAACUGUGACUUUGAUGUUCAGCUCAUCCAUCAGUGUUAUGCAACCGUUCAUUUUGGUGAGGAUGAUGCUCGCACUCUCUCAUUUAGGUGUCGUGAUGAGUUCUUUCAAGUGCCCUGGAGAGCCUUCUGCAAUGCUCUUGGCUAUGAGGAUACCGGUCUCGAUGGUAAUGGUGGCAUUCAUCCUCACGACCAUCCCCACUCUAUGCCUAAGGAGAAGCUAGCACCUCUCUACAUCCGUGGGAGGGGCAUUAUUGGUGAGUCCAAGGAUCUUGAGAAGGUUUAUGAUAUCAUGCAUCGUGUGUUUGGCAAAUGUGCUCCUGCCCAAGGUUGGAAAUCAGGAUGAGAUCCAUGGGUAUCUUGUUGACUUGAUGGUUGCCGUGAAGACUAAAGUGGGGACUGGUACGACGUUUGAUGUGUCCAAGUGGCUUUGGGAGAAGAUGUACAACAUGGUCAUCUACAGAAAGGCCCCCAUCUAUGCACCAUUUGUCAUGUGCUUUCUGUACUCGGUUUGAGCUGUUCGCCGUGCUGGAGAGCUUCUCACUGCGCCAGAUAACCUCACCGUGCAUGAGGUCAAGCAGCUUAAGAAGAAGAAGCAUGCCGAGCCUCGCUUUCCUGCUGAUGAUCCCGAGGAUGUCUAUGCCACUUCAGAUGAUGAGGAUUUCGAGAUGGAGCCUAGUGCCAAGCCUUCCUGGGUGACCAAGCUCACAACUAAAGUGAAGAAGACUUUUUGCCUUCAAUCUCACAUUCAGAAUAAGAUGUAUGAGGCACAUGUUAAUGAGAAGCUUGCUCGGCGCCGUCAGAUUGCCAUGAUGAAGCACCUCAACAUGCCUAUGAAGAGUGGAUCUAAGAAGAGCAUCACUCCAGAGGACAAGUGGAUUUCUGCGUAUAGCACCUGGACUGAUAAUGAGGCUGAGGCAUCUGGCCAUCCUGCUACCUCCACUUUGGCUGUUGUUAAUGAUACCAUGGAGGAAGAUGAGCAGUCUGAAGAUCAUGAUUCAGAUGAGACCAAGGGGUCAGACGAGAUCUACUGAGCUCUGGCGCGUUAGCAUCGCUCUUUUCCUUUUUGGUGUCUUGAUGCCAAAGGAGGAGAGAGGUUUACUAGGUCUCGGGAUUUGCAUGGGUUGGUUACUUGCCUCGUGUUGAGAGUUGAACUUGGUCUUUCAUUUGCUUUCCUUCAGUUUGUGAACCUUGUGGUGCGUGACUUUAGCAUGGUGUGAGACAUGCGUCCUAUUUAUGCUUAGGGUCUAUCCUAGUUGGUUGUUUGUAUUUACGCUUAUUGUCUAUCAUUUUUGCUCUUUCAUAGUGGUUGGUCUAUAAAAUCUAGAGGGAGAUUUUUCCCUAAUGUGUGACUUUGCAUUUCAAAAGAAAAUCCAAAGAGUGCACACAUUUAGGAGGAGCCCGUCUACAUUGUAUAGACCCUCUAUGCAAAUCUUGUAGUUGUCAUCAUCCACCAAAAAGGGGGAGAUUGUUAGGGCAUUUCCCAUCUUUUUGUUUUGGGUGAUGAUGACAACUCUCCUUGUGAUAUAAUCGUGUGCUAAGUUCUUCAGGUACUCUAUGCUUAGGUACAAGUUGCAUUGGCUAGACAUUCCCUCUGGACGAAAAAGAUCGAAGACAGCGUUAUCUGCGUGUCUAUUUCUUUGGUUGUAGGGAACCCGUACUAUUAAGAGGGAAUCCACAUCGGAAGGUAUUGGGUGAAUCAAUGCACGUACACACUUCUCUUCACCCACCAUUCCCUUCCGUUCUAGGAAGAGAGAGGUCCCUUUGUUCCAAUGUGAAACAGUGCUUUCUCCUUAUAGCGGUUGUACCGCCCACAAGGGCGUUUGUAUCGUUGGCCCUGUUCUACCGGCUCAACCACCGCCCCAGGGGUGAUACCCUGGGGUUGCACCUCCCAGGUAUAUGCCCAACGGUUGUACCAUUGCCCCCGGCAGUGGUGCCGCCACUGCGCUGGGAAAACCCAAGAGUGGCUUCACAGGCGGUUGUACCGGCCAGGUACCGCCCAACCAUCGGAUUUGCUUCUGUGAUGGGGCGGUAGAGGGAGUCCUGGAUUAAGGGCUCCUCGGGUGUCCGGGUUGUGUGAUAUGGGCAGGACUGAUGGGCCGUGAAGAUACAAGGUAGAAGGCCUUUUCCCGUGUCCGGAUAGGACUCUCCUUUAUGUGGAUGACAAGAUUGGCGUCCAGAUGUAUAGUUCCCUUCUUCUAUAAACCGACUCUGUACAACCCUAGGCCCUUCCAGUGUCUAUAUAAACCGAAGGGCUUGGUCCGUAGAGGCUAUCAGAAUUCAUAUAGGCUGGACAUCUAGGGUUUAGCCAUUACAAUCUCGAGGUAGAUCAACUCUUGUAACCCCUAUACUCAUCAAAGUCAAUCAAGCAGGAAGUAGGGUUUUACCUCCAUUAAGAGGGCCUGAACCUGGGUAAACAUCGUGUCCCCUUUGUCUCCUGUUACCUUCGAUCCUCAGAUGCACAGUUCGGGACCCCCUACCCGAGAUCGGCCGGUUUUGACACCGACAGUGGUACUUGGGCGGUGGUGGCCCGGUUGUCCCUGUUAUGCUUGGCAAACUGGUACUACCGGUGUCCGGAGCAGUUCUACCGCUCUGGACUUAGCUACCUCCGGUUCUAGGGCCAGGCGGUAGUUCCGGUGCAACUACCACCCGACGACCGCCCAUAGGGGGGACUCCCUUCUAUUUCAAGGCGGUUGUUGAGCGGUUAGUCUGGUUAAUCUUGUAACUGGUACUACCGCUCGAGCCACCGGUUGUACCGCCUGUUAGGGUUUCUGCAGCAUAACCUUGAAUCCCGUUUGUACCGGGGUUAGGAGCGGUUGUAAUUUGGGGAUGCCUAUAUAAAGGGGGUUUCUUCCACCUAGAUCCUUACCUCUUGCCUCUCUCUCUCCUCCAUUAAUGCCCUUCAAGCUUUCUUGCCUGAUCUCUCUCUCUCUAGCCACUCAAACUCUUUGAUUUGCUAGGGAUUGAAGGAGGAGACCUAGAUCUACACUUCCACCAAGGGAAAUUUGAUUUCCCCAUACUUUCUUGUGUGGAUUUUGUUACUCUUGGGUGUUUGAGCACUCUAGACGGUUGAGGUCACCUCGGAGCCAAAUUCCAUUGUGGUGAAACUCCAUGGUUUCGUUGGGAGCUGAUUGCGGCUUGAGCUACGUCGGUAUUUCCCCAAAGAGGAAGGGAUGAUGCAGCACAACGAAGGUGGGUAUUUCCCUCAGUGAUGACACCAAGGUUAUCGAACCGGUAGGAGAAUCACGCAACACUAUGUAAACGGUACCUGCACACAAAGAACAAAUACUUGCAACCCGACGUGUUAAAGGGGUUGUCAAUCCCUUUGGGGUAACGGUGCCAGAAAUUGUUGAGUUGAUGGGAUAAAAAUAUGAUAGAUUGGAUAAAUAGAUCGCAAAUAAAAGCAAAAUAAAAUAAAGUGCAGCAAGGUAUUUUUGGGUUUUUGGAAAUAUAGAUCUGAAAAUAAAAGAGAAUAAAAAUAGAUCUCGAAGGCAAAUAUGAUAAAGAAGAGACCCGGGGGGCCGUAGAUUUCACGGCUUCUCUCGAGAAAAAUAGCAUACGAUGGGUAAUCAAAAUUACUAUUGGGAAAUUGAUAGAACUUCAAAUAAUCAUGACGAUAUCCAGGCAAUGAUCAUUAUAUAGUCAUCACGUCCAAGAUUAGUAGACCGACUCGUGCCUACAUCUAUUACUAUUACUCCACACAUCGACCACUAUCUAGCAUGCAUCUAGUGUAUUAAGUUCAUGGAGAAACGGAGUAAUGCAAUAAGAAUGAUGACAUGAUGUAGACAAGAUCUAUUUAUGUAGAAAUAGAUCCCAUCUUGUUAUCCUUAAUAGCAAUGAUACAUACGUGUUGGUUCCCCUUCUGUCACUGGAAUCAAGCACGGUAAGAUCGAACCCAUCACAAAGCACCUCUUCCCAUGGCAAGAAAAGUCGAUCUAGUUGGCCUAACUAAACCAAAGAUUCGAAGAAGAAAUACGAGACUAUAAGUAAUCAUGCAUAUAAGAGAUCAAAAGACUCAAAUAACUUUCAUGGAUAAAUACAUAGAUCUGAUCAUAAACUCAAAGUUCAUCGGAUCCCAGCAAACACACCGCAAAAAAGAGUUACAUCAGAUAGAUCUCCAAGAGACCAUUGUAUUGAGAAUCAAAAGAGAGAGAGGAAGCCAUCUAGCUACUAACUACGGACCCGUAGGUCUACAGUGAACUACUCACGCAUCAUUAGAGAGGCACCAAUGAGGAUGAUGAACCCCUCCGUUAUGGUGUCUAGAUUGGAUCUAUGGUUUCUGGAACUUGCAGCUGCUGGAAUUGAUUUUCGUCGACUCCCCUAGGGUUUCUGGAAUAUUAGGGUAUUUAUAGAGCAAAGAGGCGGUGCGGGAGGGUGCCAAGGUGGGCACAACCCACCAAGGCGCGCCUAGUCCGCCAGGCGUGCCCAGGUGGGUUGUGCCCCCCUUGGGGCAUCCCUAUGGUACUUCUUCGGCCCAUCUUGUGUCUUCUGGUCCAGAAAAAUUCUCCAAAAAGUUUUACUGUGUUUGGACUCCGUUUGGUAUUGAUCUUCUGCGAAGUAAAAAAACAAGCAAAAAAACAGCAACUGGCACUGGGCGCUAUGUCAAUAGGUUAGUCCCAAAAAAUUGAUAUAAAGUUGCUAUAAAAUGAUUGUAAAACAUCCAAGAAUGAUAAUAUAACAGCGUCGAACAAUAAAAAAUUAUAGAUACGUUGCAGACGUAUCAGCAUCCCCAAGCUUAAUUCCUGCUCGUCCUCGAGUAGGUAAAUGAUAAAAAACAGAUUUUUUGAUGUGGAAUGUUGCCUAACAUGUUUAUCACAUUUUCUUUUCUUUGUAGCAUGGACAUUUGGACUUCUAUAUGAUUCAAAGCAAUAGUCUAGUUUUGACAUGAAGAUUUCAAUACUCAAGCAUAUCAACAAGCAACCAUGUCUUUCAAAAUAUCAACACUAAAGCAAGUUAUCCCUAGCCCAUUAUGCUCAAUCAUUAAUCCAUUCAUGAAACACACUCGCAUAUUAGCUACACCCAAUGCUCUCAAGUACGAUCAUACUGCCCCUUGGUUGGUGCUUUAUAAGAGAAGAUGGAGACUCAAAAUAAAAAUUGCAUAAAGUAAAUAGAAAGGCCCUUCACGGAGGGAAGUAGGGAUUUGUAGAGGUGCCAGAGCUCAAAGCGAAAAAGAUAGAGAUAAAAAACCUUUUGGGUGGCAUGCUUUUCCUUUCAACGAAAACGAUCGCGUAGUUCCCAAUACUUUACAUGCUAGAUGUAUCAUAGGGAGUUCGCAAACAGAAAAUAAAGUUUAUUCCUUUUUCCACCAUACUCACUUUCCAUGGCUAUCAGUAUCCACGGAUGCCUUCGAUACCAACACUUUCCAAGGAAUUUAUUAUUUGACAACAUAAAGUAAAUCCAUUUUUCAUUUCGGGACUGGGCAUCCCUAAUACCUUUCUCGUACUCUCAUGCAAUGGCAAGUGAAUAAACACUCAUCUUGAGAAUCACACAUCUAGCAUGGAAAUAUAUCAGCCACCUCCUACCAUUUCAUGAGCGGUACGAGCACACAAAAGGGAAAUUUAUUUUGAAAAUUAGAGAUGGCACAUACAAAUUUGCUUAGAACGGCAAAAGAAUACCGCAUAUUGUUGGGGAACGUAGUAAUUUAAAAAAAUUCCUACGCACACGCAAGAUCAUGGUGAUGCAUAGCAACAAGAGGGGAGAGUGUCGUCCACAUACCCUUGUAGACCGUUAAGCGGAAGCGUUAUGACAACGCGGUUGAUGUAGUCGUACGUCUUCACGAUCGACCAAUCCUCAGUACCGAACGUACGGCACCUCCGCGUUCAGCACACGUUCAGCUCGGUGACGUCCCGCGAACUCACAAUCCAGUAGAGCUCAAGGGAGAGUAUUGUCAGCACGACGGCGUGGUGACGAUGUUGAUGAAGCUACCGUCGCAGGGCUUCGCCUAAGCACUGCUACGGUAUGACCGAGGUGGAUUAUGGUGGAGGGGGGCACCGCACACGGCUGGGAGAGAUCAAUGAUCAACUUGUGUGUCUAUGGGGUGCCCCCCUGCCCCCGUAUAUAAAGGAGCUAGGGGGAAGGCGGCCGGCCAGGAGGAGGGCGCGGCAAGGGGGAGUCCUACUCCCACCGGGAGUAGGACUCCUCCUUUCCUAGUAGGAGUAGGAGAAGGGGGAAGGGAAGGAGAGAGGAGGAAGGAAAGGGGGGCGCCGCCCCCUCCCCCCUCCUUGUCCAAUUCGGACUAGAGGGGGAGGGGGCACGCGGUCUGCCCUGGCCGCCCCUCCUCUUCUCCACUAAGGCCCAUAAGGCCCAAUAUACUCCCCGGGGGGUUCCGGUAACCCCCCCGAUACUCCGGUAUAUGUCUGAAACCUCCCGAAACACUUCCGGUGUCCGAACAUAGUCGUCCAAUAUAUCGAUCUUUACGUCUCGACCAUUUCGAGACUCCUCGUCAUGUCCGUGAUCAUACCCGGGACUCCGAACUACCUUCGGUACAUCAAAACACAAAAACUCAUAAUACCGAUCGUCACAGAACUUUAAGCGUGUGGACCCUAUGGGUUCGAGAACUAUGUAGACAUGACCGAGACACGUCUCCGGUCAAUAACCAAUAGCAGAACCUGGAUGCUCAUAUUGGUUCCUACAUAUUCUACGAAGAUCUUUAUCGGUCAAACCGCAUAACAACAUACGUUGUUCCCUUUGUCAUCGGUAUGUUACUUGCCCGAGAUUCGAUCAUCGGUAUCUCAAUUCCUAGCUCAAUCUCGUUACCGACAAGUCUCUUUACUCGUUCCGUAAUGCAUCAUCCCGCAACUAACUCAUUAGUCACAUUGCUUGUUAGGCUUAUGGAGAUGUGCAUUACCGAGAGGGCCCAGAGAUACCUCUCCGACAAUCGGAGUGACAAAUCCUAUUCUCGAUCUAUGCCAACUCAACAAGUACCAUCUUAGACACCUGUAGAGCACCUUUAUAAUCACCCAGUUACGUUGUGAUGUUUGGUAGCACACAAAGUGUUCCUCCGGUAAUAGGGAGUUGCAUAAUCUCAUAGUCAUAGGAACAUGUAUAAGUCAUGAAGAAAGCAAUAGCAGUAAACUAAACGAUCAAGUGCUAAGCUAACGGAAUGGGUCAAGUCAAUCACAUCAUUCUCCUAAUGAUGUGAUCCCGUUAAUCAAAUGACAACUCAUGUCUAUGGCUAGGAAACUCAACCAUCUUUGAUCAACGAGCUAGUCAAGUAGAAGCAUACUAGCGACACUAUGUUUGUCUAUGUAUUCACACAUGUAUUAUGUUUCCGGUUCAUACAAUUCUAGCAUGAAUAAUAAACAUUUAUCAUGAUAUGAGGAAAUAAAUAAUAACUUUAUUAUUGCCUCUAGGGCAUAUUUCCUUCAGUCUACCACUUGCACUAGAGUCAAUAAUCUAGAUUACACAGUAAUGAGUCUAACACCCAUGGAGUCUUGGUGCUGAUCAUGUUUUGCUCGUGGAAGAGGCUUAGUCAACGGGUCUACAACAUUCAGAUCCGUAUGUAUCUUGCAAAUCUCUAUGUCUCCCACCUGGACUUGAUCCCGGAUGGAAUUGAAGCGUCUCUUGAUGUGCUUGGUUCUCUUGUGAAAUCUGGAUUCCUUUGCCAAGGCAAUUGCACUAGUAUUGUCACAAAAGAUUUUCAUUGGACCUGAUGCACUAGGUAUGACACCUAGAUCGGAUAUGAACUCCUUCAUUCAGACUCCUUCAUUUGCUGCUUCCGAAGCAGCUAUGUACUCCGCUUCACACGUAGAUCCCGCCAUGACGCUUUGUUUAGAACUGCACCAACUGACAACUCCACCGUUCAAUGUAAACACGUAUCCGGUUUGCGAUUUAGAAUCGUCUGGAUCAGUGUCAAAGCUUGCAUCAACGUAACCAUUUACGACGAGCUCUUUGUCACCUCCAUAAAUGAGAAACAUAUCCUUAGUACUUUUCAGGUAUUUCAGGAUGUUCUUGACCGCUGUCCGGUGAUCCACUCCUGGAUUACUUUGGUACCUCCCUGCUAAGCUAAUAGCAAGGCACACAUCAGGUCUGGUACAUAGCAUUGCAUACAUGAUAGAGCCUAUGGCAGAAGCAUAGGGAACACUUUUCAUUUUCUCUCUAUCUUCUACAGUGGUCGGGCAUUGAGUCUGACUCAACUUCACACCUUGUAACACAGGCAAGUACCCUUUCUUUGCUUGAUCCAUUUUGAACUUUUUCAAAACUUUGUCAAGGUAUGUGCUUUGUGAAAGUCCAAUUAAGCGUCUUGAUCUAUCUCUAUAGAUCUUGAUGCCCAAUAUAUAAGCAGCUUCACCGAUGUCUUUUAUUGAAAAACUCUUAUUCAAGUAUCCUUUCAUGCUAUCCAGAAAUUCUAUAUCAUUUCCAAUUAGCAAUAUGCCAUCCACAUAUAAUAUUAGAAAUGCUACAGAGCUCCCACUCACUUUCUUGUAAAUACAGGCUUCUCCAAAAGUCUGUAUAAAACCAUAUGCUUUGAUCACACUAUCAAAACGUUUAUUCCAACUCCGAGAAGCUUGCACCAGUCCAUAAAUGGAUCGCUGGAGCUUGCACACUUUGUUAGCUCCCUUUGGAUCGACAAAACCUUUCGGUUGCAUCAUAUACAACUCUUCUUCCAGAAAUCCAUUCAGGAAUGCAGUUUUGACAUCCAUUUGCCAAAUUUCAUAAUCAUAAAAUGCGGCAAUUGCUAACAUGAUUCGGACAGACUUAAGCAUCGCUACGGGUGAGAAAGUAUCAUCGUAGUCAACUCCUUGAACUUGUCGAAAACCUUUCGCAACAAGUCGAGCUUUGUAGACAGUAACAUUACCGUCAGCGUCAGUCUUCUUCUUGAAGAUCCAUUUAUUCUCUCUGGCUUGCCGAUCAUCGGGCAAGUCAACCAAAGUCCACACUUUGUUCUCAUACAUGGAUCCCAUCUCAGAUUUCGUGGCCUCAAGCCAUUUUGCGGAAUCUGGGCUCACCAUCGCUUCUUCAUAGUUCGUAGGUUUGCCUUGGUCAAGUAACAUGACCUCCAGAAUAGGAUUACCGUACCACUCUGGUGCGGAUCUUACUCUGGUUGACCUACGAGGUUCGGUAGUAACUUGAUCUGAAGUUUCAUGAUCAAUAUCAUUAGCUUCUUCACUGAUUGGUGUAGGCGUCACAGGAACCGAUUUCUGUGAUGAACUACUUUCCAAUAAGGGAGCAGGUACAGUUACCUCAUCAAGUUCUACUUUCCUCCCACUCACUUCUUUCGAGAGAAACUCCUUCUCUAGAAAGGAUCCAUUCUUAGCAACUAAUGUCUUGCCUUCGGAUCUGUGAUAGAAGGUGUACCCAACAGUUUCCUUUGGGUAUCCUAUGAAGACACAUUUCUCCAAUUUGGGUUCGAGCUUAUCAGGUUGAAGCUUUUUCACAUAAGCAUCGCAGCCCCAAACUUUAAGAAAUGACAACUUUGCUUUCUUGCCAAACCACAGUUCAUAAGGCGUCGUCUCAACGGAUUUCGAUGGUGCCCUAUUUAACGUGAAUGCAGCCGUCUCUAAAGCAUAACCCCAAAACGAUAGCGGUAAAUUAGUAAGAGACAUCAUAGAUCGCACCAUAUCUAGUAAAGUACGAUUACGACGUUCGGACACACCAUUUCGCUGUGGUGUUCCGGGUGGCGUGAGUUGCGAAACUAUUCCGCAUUGUUUCAAAUGUAGACCAAACUCGUAACUCAAAUAUUCUCCUCCACGAUCAGAUCGUAGAAACUUUAUUUUCUUUUUACAAGGAUUUUCCACUUCACUCUGAACUUCAUUGAACUUUUCAAAUGUCUCAGAAUUAUGUUUCAUUAAGUAUAUACCCAUAUCUGCUCAAAUCAUCUGUGAAGGUGAGAAAAUAACGAUACCCGCUGCGAGCCUCAAUAUUCAUCGGACCACAUACAUCAGUAUGUAUGAUCUCCAACAAAUCUGUUGCUCGCUCCAUUUUUUCGGAGAACGACGUUUUAGCCAUCUUGCCCAUGAGGCAUGGUUCGCAAGUACCAAGUGAUUCAUAAUCAAGUGAUUCCAAAAGUCCAUCAGUAUGGAGUUUCUUCAUGCGCUUCACACCAAUAUGUCCUAAACGGCAGUGCCACAAAUAAGUUGCACUAUCAUUAUCAACUCUGCAUCUUGUGGCUUCAAUAUUAUGAAUAUGUGUAUCACUACUAUCGAGAUUUAAUAAAAAUAGACCACUCUUCAAGGGUGCAUGACCAUAAAAGAUAUUACUCAUAUAAAUAGAACAACCAUUAUUAUCUGAUUUAAAUGAAUAACCGUCUCGCAUCAAACAAGAUCUAGAUAUAAUGUUCAUGCUUAACGCUGGCACCAAAUAACAAUUAUUCAGGUCUAAAACUAAUCCCAAAGGUAGAUGUAGAGGUAGCGUGCCGACCGCGAUAAGAUCGACUUUGGAACCAUUUCCCACGCGCAUCAUCACCUCGUCCUUAGCCAAUCUUCGCUUAAUCCGUAGUCCCUGUUUCGAGUUGCAAAUAUUAGCAACAGAACCAGUAUCAAAUACCCAGGUGCUACUGCGAGCAUUAGUAAGGUACACAUCAAUAACAUGUAUAACACUUUUACCUUUGUUCACCUUGCCAUCCUUCUUAUCCGCCAAAUACAUGGGGCAGUUCCACUUCCAGUGACCAGUCUGUUUGCAGUAGAAGCACUCGAUCUCAGGCUUAGGUCCAGACUUGGGUUUCUUCUCCUGAGCAGCAACUUGUUUGCUGUUCUUCUUGAAGUUGCUCUUCUUCUUCCAUUUACCCUUUUUCUUGAAACUGGUGGUCUUGUUGACCAUCAACACUUGAUGCUCCUUCUUGAUUUCUACCUCCGCAGCCUUUAGCAUUGCGAAGAGCUCGGGAAUUGUCUUAUCCAUCCCUUGCAUAUUAUAGUUCAUCACAAAGCUCUUGUAGCUUGGUGGCAGUGAUUGAAGAAUUCUGUCAAUGACACUAUCAUCCGGAAGAUUAACUCCCAGUUGAAUCAAGUGAUUAUUAUACCCAGACAUUUUGAGUAUAUGUUCACUGACAGAACUAUUCUCCUCCAUCUUGCAACUAUAGAACUUAUUGGAGACUUCAUAUCUCUCAAUCCGAGCAUUUGCUUGAAAUAUUAACUUCAACUCCUGGAACAUCUCAUAUGCUCCAUGACGUUCAAAACGUCGUUGAAGUCCCGGUUCUAAGCCGUAAAGCAUGGCACACUGAACUAUCGAGUAGUCAUCAGCUUUGCUCUGCCAGACAUUCUUAACGUCGUCAGUUGCAUCUACAGCAGGCCUGGCACCCAGCGGUGCUUCCAGGACGUAAUUCUUCUGUGCAGCAAUGAGGAUAAUCCUCAAGUUACGGACCCAGUCCGUGUAAUUGCUACCAUCAUCUUUCAACUUUGCUUUCUCAAGGAACGCAUUAAAAUUCAACGGAACAACAGCACGGGCCAUCUAUCUACAACAACAUAGACAAGCAAAAUACUAUCAGGUACUAAGUUCAUGAUAAAUUAAAGUUCAAUUAAUCAUAUUACUUAAGAACUCCCACUUAGAUAGACAUCCCUCGAAUCAUCUAAGUGAUCACGUGAUCCAUCUCAACUAAACCAUGUCCGAUCAUCACGUGAGAUGGAGUAGUUUUCAAUGGUGAACAUCACUAUGUUGAUCAUAUCUACUAUAUGAUUCACGCUCAACCUUUCGGUCUCAGUGUUCCGAGGCCAUAUCUGCAUAUGCUAGGCUCGUCAAGUUUAACCCGAGUAUUCUGCGUGUGCAAAACUGUCUUACACCCGUUGUAUUUGAACGGAGAGCUUAUCACACCCGAUCAUCACGUGGUGUCUCGGCACGACGAACUUUAGCAACGGUGCAUACUCAGGGAGAACACUUAUACCUUGAAAUUUAGUGAGAGAUCAUCUUAUAAUGCUACCGUCAAUCAAAGCAGAAUAAGAUGCAUAAAGGAUAAACAUCACAUGCAAUCAAUAUAAGUGAUAUGAUAUGGCCAUCAUCAUCUUGUGCCUUUGAUCUCCAUCUCCAAAGCACCGUCAUGAUCACCAUCGUCACCGGCGCGACACCUUGAUCUCCAUCGUAGCAUCAUUGUCGUCUCACCAACUAUUGCUUCUACGACUAUCGCUACCGCUUAGUGAUAAAGUAAAGCAAUUACAGGGCGAUUGCAUUGCAUACAAUAAAGCGACAACCAUAUGGCUCCUGCGAGUUGCCGAUAACUCCGUUACAAAACAUGAUCAUCUCAUACAAUAAAAUAUAGCAUCAUGUCUUGACCAUAUCACAUCACAACAUGCCCUGCAAAAACAAGUUAGACGUCCUCUACUUUGUUGUUGCAAGUUUUACGUGGCUGCUACGGGCUGAGCAAGAACCGUUCUUACCUACGCAUCAAAAUCACAACGAUAGUUCGUCAAGUUAGUGUUGUUUUAACCUUCUCAAGGACCGGGCGUAGCCACACUCAGUUCAACUAAAGUUGGAGAAACUGACACCCGCCAGUCACCUGUGUGCAAAGCACGUCGGUAGAACCAGUCUCGCGUAAGCGUACGCGUAAUGUCGGUCCAGGCCGCUUCAUCCAACAAUACCGCUGAACCAAAGUAUGACAUGUUGGUAAGCAGUAUGACUUGUAUUUCCCACAACUCACUUGUGUUCUACUCGUGCAUAUAACAUCUACGCAUAAACCUGGCUCUGAUACCACUGUUGGGGAAUGUAGUAAUUUCAAAAAAAAUCCUACGCACACGCAAGAUCAUGGUGAUGCAUAGCAAUGAGAGGGGAGAGUGUCGUCCACAUACCCUUGUAGACCGUUAAGCGGAAGCAUUAUGACAACGCGGUUGAUGUAGUCGUACGUCUUCACGAUCGACCGAUCCUCAGUACCGAACGUACGGCACCUCCGCGUUCAGCACACGUUCAGCUCGGUGACGUCCCGCGAACUCACGAUCCAGUAGAGCUCGAGGGAGAGUAUCGUCAGCACGACGGAGUGGUGACGAUGUUGAUGAAUCUACCAUCGCAGGGCUUCACCUAAGCACUGCUACAAUAUGACCGAGGUGGAUUAUGAUGGAGGGGGGCACCGCACACGGCUGGGAGAGAUCAAUGAUCAACUUGUGUGUCUAUGGGGUGCCCCCUGCCCCCGUAUAUAAAGGAGCUAGGGGGGAGGCGGCCGGCCAGGAGGAGGGCGCGCCAAGGGGGGAGUCCUACUCCCACCGGGAGUAGGACUCCUCCUUUCCUAGUAGGAGUAGGAGAAGGGGGGAGGGAAGGAGAGAGGAGGAAGGAAAGGGGGGGGCCGCCCCCUCCCCCCUCCUUGUCCAAUUCNNNNNNNNNNNNNNNNNNNNNNNNNNNNNNNNNNNNNNNNNNNNNNNNNNNNNNNNNNNNNNNNNNNNNNNNNNNNNNNNNNNNNNNNNNNNNNNNNNNNNNNNNNNNNNNNNNNNNNNNNNNNNNNNNNNNNNNNNNNNNNNNNNNNNNNNNNNNNNNNNNNNNNNNNNNNNNNNNNNNNNNNNNNNNNNNNNNNNNNNNNNNNNNNNNNNNNNNNNNNNNNNNNNNNNNNNNNNNNNNNNNNNNNNNNNNNNNNNNNNNNNNNNNNNNNNNNNNNNNNNNNNNNNNNNNNNGUCUGAAACCUCCCGAAACACUUCCGGUGUCCGAACAUAGUCGUCCAAUAUAUCGAUCUUUACGCCUCGACCAUUUCGAGACUCCUCGUCAUGUCCGUGAUCAUAUCCGGGACUCCGAACUACCUUUGGUACAUCAAAACACAAAAACUCAUAAUACCGAUCGUCACAGAACUUUAAGUGUGUGGACCCUACGGGUUCGAGAACUAUGUAGACAUGACCGAGACAUGUCUCCGGUAAAUAACCAAUACCGGAACCUAGAUGCUCAUAUUGGUUCCUACAUAUUCUACGAAGAUCUUUAUCGAUCAAACCGCAUAACAACAUACGUUGUUCCCUUUGUCAUCGGUAUGUUACUUGCCCGAGAUUCAAUCAUCGGUAUCUCAAUACCUAGCUCAAUCUCGUUACCGGCAAGUCUCUUUACUCGUUCUGUAAUGCAUCAUCCCGCAACUAACUCAUUAGUCACAUUGCUUGCAAGGCUUAUAGUGAUGUGCAUUACCAAGAGGGUCCAGAGAUACCUCUCCGACAAUCGGAGUGACAAAUCCUAUUCUCGAUCUAUGCCAACUCAACAAGUACCAUCGGAGACAGUUGUAGAGCACCUUUAUAAUCACCCAGUUACGUUGUGACGUUUGGUAGCACACAAAGUGUUCCUCCGGUAAUCGGGAGUUGCAUAAUCUCAUAGUCAUAGGAACAUGUAUAAGUCAUGAAGAAAGCAAUAGCAGUAAACUAAACGAUCAAGUGCUAAGCUAACGGAAUGGGUCAAGUCAAUCACAUCAUUCUCCUAAUGAUGUGAUCCCGUUAAUCAAAUGCCAACUCAUGUCUAUGGCUAGGAAACUCAACCAUCUUUGAUCAACGAGCUAGUCAAGUAGAGGCAUACUAGUGACACUAUGUUUGUCUAUGUAUUCACACAUGUAUUAUGUUUCCGGUUAAUACAAUUCUAGCAUGACUAAUAAACAUUUAUCAUGAUAUGAGGAAAUAAAUAAUAACUUUAUCAUUGCCUCUAGGGCAUAUUUCCUUCACAUAUAGGUAGGUAAUAGUGGACUCAUAUGGCAAAACUGGUUUAAGGAUUUUGGAUGCACAAGUAGUGAUCAUACUAAGUGCAAAUCAAGGCUAGCAAAAGAUUGAGAAGCAUCCAACCAAGAAACGAAAAAUCUCAUAAGCGAGCAUUAAGCAUAACUAACACCGAGUAAUGCACCACAAGUAGGAUGUAAUUUCAUUGCAUAACUAUUGACUUUCGUGCUUUCAUAGGGAAUCACAAACCUUAACACCAAUAUUCUUACUAAAGCAUAAUUACUCAUCAACAUGACUCACAUAUUAUAUCAUCAUAUCGCAAAACUAUUACAAUGAAUCAAGUUUAUUUUUUCCAAUGAUCUUCAUGAAAGUUUUUAUUAUAUCCCUCUUGAAUAUCUAUCACUCUGGGACUAAUUUCAUAUGUUGCUUUUGAUAGCUCAAACAAAUCUAAGUGAAGAACAUAAGCAUAAAAAAUUUCUUCUCUCAAAAUAAUUUAAGUGAAGCAUGAGAGAAUUUCUAAAAAACUUUUUACUAACUUGUCGGCGUUCUGGGAACGGGGGUCCCCAGACUUGCCUGCCUGCAGCCCACAGCGUGGCUAAGCAGCAGGCCGUACGGCCCAUCUUCGUCAACAAGGCACCCAAGACCCUCGCAAGGGUCCAAGCCUCGCGAGGCGGACGACGCAAGACCUCCUCUGGAGCGGCCUAGCCAAGCAGGCUCACGAGGAGCAGAGAUAUCAAGGUGAGGCAAACCUCACGAGGCUUUCGUGACGUGAGCCAUGACGAACGGUACCAGGCAGGUGCCAGGCGGACGCCAGUGCGCGCAGCGUCUCUAUUUCCUCUUUGGUGCUAAGGAGGCCAGCGCAGGCCAAGAGUACCGAGGCAUCAGGCAAAGGUUGCCAUAUUGGUGCAACGAGACCAAGACCGGAGGACGGCAAGGUGGAGGUCAUCGUGGAGCCCAAGACGGCGUCACCCCAGGGCUUUUCGCAGGCAAAGACCGCUUUUGUCAGGAUAGCUGGUACUAGUUGUCCCCCUUCAAAUUUGCCCGCUGUUGUUGGCUCCCUUCCCGCUCGAUAUUUGGGAAGAGGACCAGGGCCUAUAUAAGUAGAGCUAGCCACCACGGUAGGGAGAGAUCGAAUCCUCACACCACAAGUUCACAAGCACAAGAACACCUCAACCUCAGGAGGCUGUUCUUCCCUUGUACUGUUCAUCAUCAGCCCAAGAGGCAAUCCACCACCACCACACUGGAGUAGGGUAUUACACCACAACGGUGGCCCGAACCAGUAUAAACCCCGUGUCUUUCUGUGUUGCAAGUUCGCCGAGUUCAUCCGCGAGAUCUUAGCGAGCUAGAGCGUAGAUCGGUAGGAGGGAGAGACUUCGCGCGCACCCCAGUGUUCGAACCUUAAGGGUUUGCCGGAACCCCACAUCCGACAUUUGGCGCGCCAGGUAGGGGUGCGCCGGAGCUUCUUCUCCGCCAGUCAGCUCUCCGACGCUCCCCAGCCAUGAUGUCUGGUGAUUCAAGGGCCGGCUCCGACUGCUGGGCAGCCUGGCCAGCCCGGGCAGCGCCGCCUGCCCAUGAAGGUCUCGACCCUGCACUCCAAGCGGCACGGGCGCCGCCAAACCCCGCCGGGCGCGGGCAGCGCGGCCAGGCGUCAUCCACCCUCACCCCACGACAGGUACGAGCUGCGGCAAGAGCGGCGAGUCAUGCCGCAGCAACGGCGCCGCACUCACGGCGGGAGCAAGCAAACAUGCGGGCAGCACUCACCGUGGCAAGGGAGCUGCUGCGGUGCAGGCUGAUGGAGAGCGGCCGGGACACGCUGCUUGAGCGUGUUGCCGAGCUGCUGGACGUAGCGGCGUCGGGAGCACCACCCUUCUGCUAUCGACUUCCUCCCCAGGCCACUGCAGGGCCGCGCGGCGAACCUCAACACGUCCGCGCGCCAUCGACUACGCCCGGGGGCUUCAUCAACAUCUACACGGCCGGCGGCGUAGGGGGCUCCAACUCCCCCAUGCCGCCCUUGACAAGAACAAGCGCAAGCGCCGCCCCCAUGGUCCCGGCCGGAUGCCGUAUUGUCAUCCCCAGGACGCCGUCAUGGGCGGGGUAACAUGGAGCGUGGGGCACCACGGCGAGGUGUUCGGGGUGACGGCCCCGGUAGCCUACGUGCCCCGCAUGAUGGACCAAGGGUACGCACCAGAGGACGACCUCGGCCCAUUCACUGGAGAAGAUUGGGGGGAGGGGGCGCUAGGAGCCGAAGCCUUCCAAGAACCAACGGAGAACCACAACGAUCGCGCCGGCAGCGGCAACUACAGGGUACCGCUAGUCUCUCAGGAACAGGCUUAUGCUAACCAUGGACUACAGAUGAAUCACGUUGCAGCGUCGACCGACGGCCCAGGCACGGCGGCACCCGUCCCAACCAGGGAGACACGCUGGGGGCCACCGAGAGGGAUCCAGGAUCAAGGCCCCUCCCCGCGGCGCGCGACGCCUGACGACACCCGGAGGUAGGCCCUCUGUCGGGGAGGCUUCGACAACCCUUCCCCCGGCAGAGGACCAGUGGUCGCCGAGGGAACCGCUGGCGUCCUCUUUCCCUCCUCUGUGUCAUCCUGGUGACCGGCCGGCUCAGAGGAGGUCAAGAGUGGCGCAAGGCGGGGACCUCGUCUGGCGAUAUGAAGCAAGGCCAGUACCUGUGAAGAAGGCCCAGUGCCUGUGGAGCUCGCCGCCCGUGACACUCUCACGUAAUAAUGAGUUGGGGCUGUACACGCCCUGGAGUCUCAGGGGUGCCGGCCUCAGGCCCUGGGGCUCCCUCCCACGUCUAGUGGCAGCAGUUAGCUCUGGGCUGGUGAGAAGACUUGAAGACCAGAAGACUAGACUAGGUGCCGGACGCGGCCUUUUGCUUUGGAUCUCUCUUUCUGUAGCUUUGCUUUCUGGAUCUGGAUUUGAGUUGAAGCUGAGUUUUUAUCGAUGCGCUCGGGGGGAGCCUUUUCUCGUUUGAGCAAUUUCUUGCCUUCUGGAUCUCGUUUUGUUUGGGACUCAUGUCCUUCGCCUUUCCCCCACGAGCUCCUCGCGAGCAGGACUGCGCAAAGCACGUGCGCGCCAAGCACGCGCUAACGCUACAACUGGCGCUCACCUCACGUGGGGCCCCUUCCAACGGGGCGACGAGCUCCGCAAGGUUCUCAGGAACUCAACACAUCGCAGCCCAGCUCAAAGUUGGCGCUGACUAAGGUAAACCAAGACAGAAAACUCGCAUCAGGAUUCACAAGUUCACGAGGACACAAACUCACAUCGCAUGGAAAAGUAAAAAACUGCAGUUUGCUUACAUGAGGGGCUCCCCCUCUCAAAAUGCUCUCACAAAGUUUUUCAAGGGCACGCCCGAGUUUGUGCGCAGGGUGAAAUGAUAGGAGAACAAGGGAUCAACCAGAAAUGUCGCUCACCGCGUCACCCGUGGAUGCGUCACUCGCGUCGUCAUCGUCUUCAUCGGCAUUGUCGCCGCCAUCGGCGACGCCCCCGACGCCGUCGUCAACCACGUCGCCUUCGUCUGCGGCGACCACCACCGCGUCGUCCUCGGGAGUGAAGGCCCUGACCAACGCGUCCACAUUGUCCUCAACCCAACGCGCUAGGUCGCCCCGAACGGCCGUGGGUACGGGGGAGAUGGCGGCGUCGAAAUCAAAGUUAGGGUUGGCAUUCAGGAGGUGGCUGAAGACGCGGGAGAAAGCGCGCUCGAGCAGGCCACGACCCCUUUCCUCCACAAGCUGGCGAGCUCUGGCAGAUCAGGCCUCCAGGCGCGUCACCACCUCGGUGAAGAAGGUCAGGUGGCUGGCAUAGUCAUUCGAGUGAGGGGCCGGCGCCUCCACGUCGCAGAUAUGGCCCAGGGCGAUAUUGGCCCUGUUCCGGAGAUCCUGAAGCAUAGGGGUAUGCUCGUGCUCCAGUGUGCGCCGCUGAAGCACUUCUUCCGUGUUCUGCCUCGCGACGGCCUCAGCGUCAUCAACCCGCCUCCGGAGGGAACGCAGCUCGGCGCGGGCGGAGGCCAAGUCCGCCUGCACAGUGACCAAGGCGGCGGCCGUGGCUUCCGCGCGCCUCUCAGCCUCGUCCAACCUGGGCCUGAGGGCAGCGGCCCUGCCCUCGUCCUCCAUGCCCGCGAGCUUCAGCUUCAGGUCGUAAUUGCCCUCCAGGUCCGCGCGAACCUCGGCCACCCGGUGGUUCACCUCCUCCUCAACUCUAGCCUCGCGAGCCCCGACGGCGUCUUUUGCUUGGGCCACUUGACGCUCCCUCGUCUCCAGUUGCUCGAGCUCGCGGCUACGCUCCAUGGCCUCCAGGGCCAGCGCCUCCUCACGCUUCCGGACCUCCUCUUCCUCCGCGGGUGUCCCCCUCAGCGACGCAAGAGCGGCCCUGCGCGCCUCCACUUGCUGCUCAAGAGACGCGCUCCAGGCCUGGAGCUCCCACGCGCGCUUCUCCGCAGCCUCGCGGCGGCGAUCGGCCUCGCGAGCCCCUUCCAAGGCUCGUGAGCGGGCUUCGUGGGAAACCUGGAGAGACGCCUCGGCCUUCGCGUUCUCAAAGUCACGCUGAUAGCGGCCGAGGUUGAUGGCCACCUUCAGCUUGCGCCGCUCCUCCGCCAGCCGGAGACCUUCAGCCUCAAGACGCGAAUCGACACUCGCGAGUUCUUCACCAAGUCGGCUCAUCGCGUUCAUCGCCUCCUGGAAGAGCUCAUGGCGAACCACGCUCCGCCCGCGCUCAAGCUCGAACGCCCGGCCUUCUUCGUCCUCCACCUCAUGGGCUACGGGCGGGGCGCCAAGCGGCGCGCCACCCCUCGGCAGGGGGCUGGGGACUGGCGCCACACUCGACACCAGCCCGUCGUCGCGAGAAGCCCAAUCCGGCUGGGGCUCGCUGCUCGAAGAGGAGCCGAAGAUCGAAGCCAACAAGUUGCCGUCAAAGACCAGCGAAGGAGUCUUGGGCAUGCUUGCCAAGCUCCACGCCAGACCAAGGGGGAGGAGCGACGAGGCCGCAGGUUCAGCGCGCCAGGAAGGCAGGAGUGCCUCUUCAACAAACCCUGCUCCAGGGGCAACCAGCGGACUCGGAGCGCUCGAGGCCAGCGGAAGAUUUAAGGAAGAGGGAGGCUGUUUCUCAAGAGACUCAGCAGCCUCAGUGGAAGGAGCCCUGAAAGACUGGCAUCAGAAGAAGAAAGCAGCAUACAGAGAGCCACAGCGGUACGAUACUUAGACGUCAAUGGUGAUGUACUUCCUCCGCUUCAGCGGUCCAAAGAUGUUGCUACCGCUGGGAGAUCCUUUCCUCUUGCGGAGCUCCUCGAAGUCCACACAAAGACGACCAAAACGCUGGACGUGACGGCCGGUGCACGGCGGGGCCGAAGAAGAGCUCAGAAGAAUAUCUUCAGGGGUACCCGGUUGCGGCGAACAGCCGGGCACCAUUUCACCACGACCUCCCGAGGCUCCUGACUUGGCCUCGGGAGUCGCAUACAGCGUCUCCUCAGCAACCGACGCCUCAGGAGGGGAGUGGCAGGCUCCUGAGGACGAUGCCCCAGGAUCACCACAUGGCACAUGCUCCUCAGCACUCGAGCCACCGGCCUCCUCCUGAGCUCGCCCGCCUGCACCGUCACUUGGGGCGAGCUCAGCAUCGGGGGCAAGGAAGGAAACCACGACGACGGGGUUCUCACGAGGCCCCUCCAGGCCGAUCGGCCGCGGCCCCCAUUCAUCAAAGAGAGGCAUGUCCUUUACAAAUUCAUCCUUAUUCUUGCAGCAGUACGGCAAACAGUUCUUCCCAGGCAGUUCGGCCGGCAGAAAGACACCCGACGGGACCUUGAGCACUCUUCGCCACGUCCCGAGGAGGAGCCCGGACUCCUGAAACCUCAUGUGGUCCUGGCUGCUGAGCAAGGUCCACAUUGGGCGAGAAUGGCGCUGAAGCGGAGCGACCCGGCGUUGGACGAAUUCCUUCACCACCAUUGGUGCAGUUACGCCGCGAUCCUUCAACAACCUCAACCUGAGCCAGACGCGGGCAAGGCCGGGGCUCGCGAGCCGCUGAUGGCUCCAGCCGGAGUUAGGAACGGUGGGCCCCGACGAAGCCUGAAGCAGAGGACUGAGCACACCGGCAUCGACGAACACCCAUCGUGUCUGGAAUUCGCUCGUGGAUGGAGGAAGCUCGAAAUCGAUCCCCUCGCCCGCCGUCGCAGCCACGGCCUGGAAGCUCAUGCACCUCGAGCAUUGCUGUGGGUCGGCCAGAUGCAAUGAGAAGAAGUGAUGGAGGAGAGCCACCGAAGGAGCGAUGCCCACCAUGGCUUUGCACACGAAGGCGAAGACAGCAAGAAGAGUCACAGACUGAGGGUCGAGAUGCAACAUGUGGAUCUGAUAAUGCUCAAGCACAGCAUUGAAGAAGGCGGAGAAGGGAGGAAUCAGGCCAGCCCAGAGGGCAUCUAUGAAGAUUGGGACCUCGGUGGCCGUCUGAGCCGUGCGAGUGCGAGACGCGGGCCAAGCCACCGUCUCCCUCCACUCAUUGAAGCUGGAAGAAAGCAUCGGGCGCACCUUGUUCAUGGCCUCGUCGUUGAGCACCCGAGACCGGCCGAGCGCCGGCGCAAAGGACGGAGGCGCAGCUGGAAGAGACAAAGGACUCUUCCCCUUCUCAGCUUGUUUUGGCGCCAUGGCGACGGAGCAGGCGGGGCGCAAGUCAGAUUGGAAAAGAGAAGCAGAGCCACAAGGAAGCAGGGGAAUUGGGGAAGCAAGGCGCAGGAGGCGGAGGAAUAACUGUGUAGGCCGCAGGGGGCGCAUAGCCAAGCGGAUUCAAAGGCAGCGUGGGGAAGCGGAGACGCCCACGUCCAAUCAACCGCCACGCGUCGACCAAGGCCGCAGGCUUUUGGGGCCCGCGGUGCUCCGAACUUGACCCUUGGCUUCGCCGCGAAGCCAAGCCCGAGCGCACCUUGGGCCCGGGGGCUACUGUCGGCGUUCUGGGAAUGGGGGUCCCCAGACUUGCCUGCCUACGGCCCACACCGUGGCUAAGCAGCAAGCCGUACGGCCCAUCUUCGUCAACAAGGCACCCAAGACCCUCGCGAGGGUCCAAGACUCGCGAGGCGGACGACGCAAGACCUCCUCUGGAGCGGCCUAGCCAAGCAGGCUCACGAGGAGCGGAGAUAUCAAGGCGAGGCAAAACUCACGAGGCUUUCAUGACGGGAGCCAUGACGAACGGUACCAGGCGGGUGCCAGGCGGGCGCCAGUGCGCGCAGCGUCUCUAUUUCCUCUUUGGUGCUAAGGAGGCCAGCGCAGGCGAAGAGUACCGAGGCAUCAGGCAAAGGUUGCCAUAUUGGUGCAACUAGACCAAGACCGGAGGAAGGCAAGGCGGAGGUCAUCGUGGAGCCCAAGACGGCGUCACCCCAGAGCUUUUCACAGGCGAAGACCGCUUUUGUCAGGAUAGCUUGUACUAGCUGUCCCCCUUCAAAUUUGCCCGCCGUUGUUGGCUCCCUUCCUGCUCGAUAUUUGGGAAGAAGACCAGGGCCUAUAUAAGUAGAGCUAGCCACCACGGUAGGGAGAGAUCGAAUCCUCACGCCACAAGUUCACAAGCACAAGAACACCUCAACCUCAGGAGGCUGUUCUUCCCUUGUACUGUUCAUCAUCAGCCCAAGAGGCAAUCCACCACCACCACACUGGAGUAGGGUAUUACACCACAACGGUGGCCCGAACCAGUAUAAACCCCGUGUCUUUCUGUGUUACAAGUUCGUCGAGUUCAUCCGCGAGAUCUUAGCGAGCUAGAGCGUAGAUCGGUAGGAGGGAGAGACUUCACGCGCACCCCAGUGUUCGAACCUUAAGGGUUUGCCGGAACCCCACAUCCGACAUAACUCUCAAAUAAAUCUAAGCGAAGCAUGAGAGCAUUUCUUCAAAAAUACUCAAGCACAUCAUGCUCAAAAGGAUAUAAGUGAAGCACUAGAGCAAUUCCAUAGCUUAAAAAUAUUUAAGUGAAGCAUAGAGAGCAAUUCUAACAAGUCAUAGCAUAAGUUUGGCUCUCUCAAAUAGGUGUGUCCAGCAAGGAUUCAAGACUAAAAAUAAAAAGCAAAAAAAGCAAAUACUCAUAUCAUACAAGAUGCUCCAAGCAAAACUCAUGAUAUGUGACGAAUAAAAAUAUAGCUCCAAGUAAAAUACCGAUGGUCGUUAGAAGAAAGAGGGGAUGCCACUCGGGCAUCCCCAAGCUUAGUUACUUGCUUCUCUUUUGAUAAUAGCUUGGGAUGCCAUGGGCAUCCCCAAGCUUAGGCUCUUCUUAUUCCUUAUUCCUUCAUCCAUCAUGAUCUCACCCAAAACAUGAAAACUUCAAUCACACAAAACUCAACAAGACCAUCGUGAGAUCCGUUAGUAAAAGAAAGCAAAUCACUACUAUAAGUAUUGUUGCAAACCCAUUCAUAUUUUAUUUUUGCAUUAUAUCUACUGUAUUCCAACUUUGGUAUGGCUCAAACCCCCUGAAAUAGUCCAUAGAUUCAUCAAAAUAAGCACACAACGCAAAGAAAAUAGAAUCUGUCAAAAACAAAACAGUCUGUAGCAAUCUGAAAACUUUCGAUACUUAUGUAACUCCAAAAAUUCUGAAAAAUUAGUACAAGGUGGGAAAUUUGUAUAUCAAUCUUGUGUACAAAAUCAGGAUUUUAUCACACUCCUGUUAAAAAUGAAAAUUAUUUUUCUGGGCACAAAAGUUUCUGUUUUUCAACAAUAUCAAAGCAACUAUCACCCAACAUGAUCCCAAAGGCUUUGCUUGGCACAAACACUAAUUAAAAAAAUAAAAAACACAAUCAUAACACUAGCAUAAUUUUGCAAACACUCAAGAACAGAAAGAAAAAGACAGAAAUAAAUUUUAUUUAUUGGGUUGCCUCCCAACAAGCGCAAUUGUUUUACGCCCCUAGCUAGGCAUAAAGCAAAGAUCUAAGUAUUGUCCUCUUUUGUUCUAAAUCCAUAAGAUGCCCUCAUGAUUGAUUCAUAUGGUGGCCUAAUUCUUCUUCUAGGGAAGUGUUCCAUACGCUUCCUUAGUGGAAAUUGAAAUUUAAUGUUGCCUUCUUUCAUAUCAAUCACGGCACCAAUAGUGCGUAAAAACGGUCUACCAAGAAUAAUUCGACAAGACGGAUUGCAAUCAAUAUCAAGAACAAUAAAAUCUAUGGGCACAUAAUCCCUAUUUGCAAGAAUAAGAACAUCGUUAAUUCUUCCCAUAGGCUUUUUAAUAGUAGAAUCCGCCAAGUGCAAAUUUAAAGAACAUUCUUCUAUAUCGGUAAGACCAAGCACAUCACAUAAAGAUUUCGGAAUUGUAGAAACACUAGCACCCAAGUCACAUAAAGAAAAACACUCAUAAUUUUUAAUCUUGACUUUGAUAGUAGGUUCCCAUUCAUCAUGUAAUUUUCUAGGAAUUGAAAUCUCUAAUUCCAACUUUUCUUCCAAAGCUCUCAUCAUAUCAUCAACAAUAUGUUUAGUAAAAGCUUUAUUUUGUUCAUAAGCAUGGGGUGAAUUUAUCGUGGGUUGCAACAAAGAAAUUCAAUCAGUCAAAGAGAAAUUAUCAUAAUUGAAGUCUUUGUAAUCCAAAAGAGUGGGCACAUCACUAGUUAAAGUUUUGACCUCUCCAAACCCACUUUUAUCAAUUUUCUCAACAAGAUUUUCACCCUACAAAUUUUCGGGACGCCUUUUAACUAAAGUUGACUCUUCUUCAGUCCCUUUUUCAUCAAUCUUAAUUUUACUAAACAAAGAAUCAAUAGAAGAAACACCAAUCAUUUUAAGAUCUUCAUCAUUUUUAUGAAAGCAAUCGCUAGAAAACAUUUUUUUCUAAAUAUUCUCUUUAGCUCUAAGCAUAGCGGUUCUUUUCUUGCUUUCAUCCAUAGAAACAUAUACAGGUUUAAUUGAUUCUUCAACCUUAGGAACAAAAAAUUUCAUCUUGAGAUUUUCCACAUCAUGAGAAAUUCUAUCAAUGCUUCUAGACAUAUCAUCAAUCUUACUCAACUUUUCUUCUAUCGUAGAUUCGUAGUAUUAAACUUAUUUUGAGCAUUGGUAAAUUCUUUAAUAUUAUUCUCAAGAUCAGAGGUGUUCCUAUUAUUAUUAUAAGAAGAAUUACCAUAGGAAUUAACAUAAUUAUUAGAGGAAUUUCCCGGAAAAGGUCUAGGAUUAAAAUUACCCCUAUAAGCAUUGUUAUUAAAAUUGUUUCGAGAAACAAAAUUCACAUCUAUGGCAUCACUAUUUUUCUCAAUCAAAGUAGACAAAGGCACAUAUUUAAGAUCAAUAGGAGCAUAGCAACCAACUUCAUAAGAGCAUCAACUUUUCACUCAAAGAAUUUAUUUCUUCUACCGAAUUAACCUUUUUACUAGGAGCUCUUUCGGUAUGCCAUUGUGAAUAAUUAGCCAUAAUAUUAUCAAGCAAUUUAGUAGAUUCACCUGAAGUAAUUUGCAUAAAAGUACCCCCCGCGGCGGAAUCUAAAAUAUUUCUAGAAACAAAAUUCAAUCCCACAUAAAAAAAUUGUAUGAUCAUCCAAAGAUUUAAACCAUGAGUAGGACAAUUUCUAAGCAUGAAUUUCAUUAUUUCCCAAGAUUGCGCAACAUAUUCAUGCUCAAGUUGUUUUAAAUUCAUGAUUUGUGUCCUAAGAGAAAUAAUUUUCGUGAGCGGAAAAUACUUAGUAAUAAAAGCAUCCUUGCACUUAUCCCAAGAAUCGAUACUAUUGCGAAGCAAAGAAGAAAACCAAAUUUUUGCGCGAUCUCGCAAAGAAAGCGGAAAUAAUUUCAACUUCACAAUAUCAUUGUCCACAUAUUUUUUCUUUUGCAUAUCGCAUAAUUCCACGAAUGUGUUAAGAUGGGACGCGGCAUCCUCAUUAGGAGUACCGGAAAAUUGAUCUUUCAUGACGAGAUUCAACAAAGCGGCAUUAAUAUCACAAGACUCUGCACUAGUGGCGGGAGGAGCAAUUGGAGUGCUAAUAAAAUCAUUGUUGUUGGUAUUGGAAAAAUCACACAACUUGGUGUUCUCUUGAGUCAUUGUGACUACGCAACAAGAUUGCACUCAAAAACAAAUCUGACGAGAAAAAUGACGAACGAAAAAGAGGGCCAAUAAAACGGCAAAUUUUUGUGAAGUGGGGGAGAGGAAAACAAGAGGAAAAUGGCGAAUAAUGUAAAUUUCAAGGAGAUGAGAUUUGUGAUUAGGAACCUAGUAGAUGAUGAUGAUGUAUCCCCAGCAACGGCGCCAGAAAUUCCUUUUGAUUGCGACUUGAGCUACGUCGGUGUUUCCCCAAAGAGGAAGGGAUGAUGCAGCACAACGACGGUAGGUAUUUCCCUCAGUGAUGAGACCAAGGUUAUCGAACCAGUAGGAGAAUCACGUAACACUACGUAAACGGUACCUGCACACAAAGAACAAAUACUUGCAACCCGACGUGUUAAAGGGGUUGUCAAUCCCUUUCCGGUAACGGUGCGAGAAAUUGUCGAGUUGACGGGAUAAAAAUAUGAUAGAUUGGAUAAAUAGAUCGCGAAUAAAAGCAAAAUAAAAUAAAGUGCAACAAGGUAUUUUUGGGUUUUUGGAAAUAUAGAUCUUAUAAUAAAAGCGAAGAAAAAUAGACCUCGAAGGAAAAUAUGAUAAAGAAGAGACCCGGGGGCCGUAGAUUUCACUAGUGGCUUCUAUCGAAAAAAUAGCAUACGGUGGGUAAAAAAAUUACUGUUGGGCAAUUGAUAGAACUUCAAAUAAUCAUGACGAUAUCCAGGCAAUGGUCAUUAUAUAGGCAUCACGUCCAAGAUUAGUAGACCGACUCCUGCCUGCAUCUACUACUAUUACUCCACACAUCUAGUGUAUUAAGUUCAUGGAGAAAUGGAGUAAUGCAAUAAGAACGAUGACAUGAUGUAGACAAGAUCUAUUUAUGUAGAAAUAGAUCUCAUCUUGUUAUCCUUAAUAGCAACGAUACAUACGUGUCGGUUCCCCUUCUGUCACUGUGAUCAAGCACCGUAAGAUCGAACCCAUCACAAAGCACCUCUUCCCAUGGCAAGAAAAAUCGAUAUAGUUGGCCUAACUAAACCAAAGAUUCGAAGAAGAAAUGCGAGGCUAUAAGUAAUCAUGCAUAUAAGAGAUCAAAAGACUCAAAUAACUUUCAUGGAUAAAAACAUAGAUCUGAUCAUAAACUCAAAGUUCAUCGGAUCCCAGCAAACACAUUGCAAAAAAGAGUUACAUCAAAUAGAUCUCCAAGAGACCAUUGUAUUGAGAAUCAAACGAGAGAGAGGAAUCCUUCUAGCUACUAACUAUGGACCCGUAGGUCUACAAUGAACUACUCACGCAUCAUCGAAGAGGCACCAAUGAGGAUGAUGAGCCCCUCCUUGAUGGUGUCUAGAGGAUCUGUGGUUUCUAGAACUUGCGGCCGCUGGAAUUUAUUUUCGUCAACUCCCCUAGGGUUUUGGGAAUAUUAGGGUAUUUAUAGAGCAAAGAGGUGGUGCGGGAGGCCACCGAGGUGGGCACAACCCACCAGGGCGCUCCUGGGCCCCCAGGCGCGCCCAGGUGGGUUGUGCCCCCCUCGGGGCACCCCUCUGGUACUUCUUCGACCCAUCUUGUUUCUUCUGGUCCAAAAAAAUCCUCCAAAAAGUUUCGCUGUGUUUCGACUCUGUUUGCUAUUGAUUUUCUGCAAAGUAAAAAACAAGCAAAAAACAACAACUGGCACUGGGAACUAUGUCAACAGGUUAGUCCCAAAAUGAUAUAAAGUUGCUAUAAAAUGAUUGUAAAACAUCCAAGAAUGAUAAUAUAACAACAUGGAACAAUCAAAAAUUAUAGAUACGUUGGAGACGUAUCAUGAGCCUCCAAUUUGGUUGUGGAGAGAGCCCCAACCUUGUUUGUAAAGGUCCGGUUGCCGCCUUCAAGGGCACCACUUGUGGAAUCACGGCAUCUCACAUUGUGUGAGGGCGUGAGGAGAAUACGGUGGCCCUAGUGGCUUCUUGGGGAGCAUUGUGCCUCCACACCGCUCCAAGGGAGACGUACUUCCCUUCAAAGAGAAGGAACUUCGGUAACACAUCCUCGUCUUCUCCAAAUCCACUUGUGGUUAUCUCUUACCUUUACUUUGUGCAAGCUAUUAUUGUAUUGUAUCUCUUGCUUGUGCUUGUUGUUGUUGUUGUUGUUGUUGUUGGUGGUGGUGGUGGUGGUGGUGUUGUUGUUGUUGUUGUUGUUGUUGUUGUUGUUGUUGUUGUUGUUGUUGUUGUUGUUGUUGUUGUUGUUGUUGUUGUUGUUGUUGUUGUUGUUGUUGUUGUUGUUGUUGUUGUUGUUGUUGUUGUUGUUGUUGUUGUUGUUGUUGUUGUUGUUGUUGUUGUUGUUGUUGUUGUUGUUGUUGUUGUUGUUGUUGUUGUUGUUGUUGUUGCUGUUGCUGUCGUCGUCGUCGUCGUUGUUGUUGUUGUUGUUGUUAGCAUCAUAUAGGUUGUUCACCUAGUUGCACAUCUAGACAACCUAUUUGUUGCUGAACCUAAUUUGUGAAGAAGAGCUAAAAAUGGUAGUUGCAUAUUCACCCCCUCUAGUCAAACAUAUCGAUCUUUUCACUCAUUUACAAAGAAAUGAGCUGGAAAAAUAAGUGAAUGAACUAUUAAAAUCCAGAAUUAUAAGAGCAAGUCAGAGCGCCUAGUCCUCCCCUCAAUUUUGGUUAUUAAAAAAUAUGGCACCUGGAGAUUGUGCAUAGAUUAUAGAAAGCUCAAUGAUGCAACUAUUAAGAACAAGUUUCCAAUUCCCGUCAUUGAGGAUUUUCUAGAUGAGUUACUUGGUGCAACGGUAUUUUCCAAGCUGGACAUAAGAUCAGGUUACCACCAGAUUAGGAUGCAUGAUAAAGACAUUCCUAGGACUGCCUUUUGAACUUAUUUUGGCCAUUAUGAGUUCUUGGUGAUGCCCUUUAGCCUCACCAAUGCUCUUGGAACCUUCCAAUGUCUCAUGAACAAGAUAUUUGGGAAGUAUUUGAGGAAGUUCAUACUAGUUUUGUUUGAUGACAUCUUGAUAUUCAACAAAUCCAUGGAAGAACACAUAGCACACUUGACAAUUGUCAUGCAACUCUUACAAGAACAUAAACUAUCUGCCAAGCUAUCUAAGUGUGUAUUUGCAGUACCGCUGAUUGACUACUUGGGUAACAAUAAUUCUGGUCAAGGAGUUUCUAUUGUUUCUUCCCAGGUUGCACUGUUGCUGACUGGCCAGUACCUACAACAGUCACACAACUUAGGGCAUUUCUGGUGUUGUGUGGAUACUACAUGAGUUUUGUUAAGAACUUUGGCAGCAAUGCAAGGCCUCUUCAGGAUGUACUUAAGAAAUAUAGCUUUGCUUGGACUACUGCUCAAAACACAUCUCAAACAUGCCGUGAUGUCUACACAUGUUUUAGCCCUUCCCAAUUUUUCUAAACCAUUUAUCCUUGAAAUUAAUGCAUCUGGAACUGGCUUGGGAGCAAUGAUGAUGCAACAAGGCAGACUAAUAGCAUAAUAUAGCUCCACUCUCUGCCCAAAGAAUCAUGCCCUGUCCACAUAUGUAAAGGAAGCCCUAGCUAUCAUUUAAGCACUUAAAAGAUGGAGGCACUACAUCUUGGGGUCAGAUGUUAUUAUUAGACCAGAUCAUCAGAGUCUCAAGUUUAUGAAAUAUCAGAAAAUCUUCUCAAGAAUUCAACACAAACUCAUGUUGAAGUUAUUGGAACUCAACUUCCAUUUGUACUACAAAAAGGGCAAAGAUAACAUUGUGGCAGACACUUUGUCCAGGAAAUUUUCCUUGCAAGCAAUUUCUUUAGUAACACCUACCUGGAUAUUACCUGUGGGGGAUUCUUAUCCGACAGACGGCACUGCAAAAGACUACUUGAGAAACUGCUACUAUCACCAGAGCACAGAGUGGACCAAAACAGCUUACAUGAUGGGAUCAUCACACACAAAGGCAAGGUCUAUGUAGGCAAGGACAGUGACCUACGAAAUAGGCUUCUCCAUGCCUUACAUUCUUCUGCGCUUGGAGGGCACUCUCGUAUGAAAGUUACUUACCAGGCCCAAGAAAAUAUUUUAUUGCCCAGGUAUGAAGAGAGAUGUGGAUCGGUUUGUCACUUAAUGCCCAACAUGCCAGAAAAAUAAAGGGGAAACAUGUCCUUAUCCUGGUUUCCUGGACCCACAUAAAAUCCCUGAUAUGAUGUGGAAACAUGUUAGUAUGGAUUUCAUCGAAGGGCUGCCGAAAUCAAAAAGAAAAGAAGUUAUUUUUGUGGUGGUUGACAGGCUUUCCAAAUUUGCCCAUUUUAUACCCCUUGCUCAUCCAUUUAUAGUGAUGAAAGUGGCUACAACGUUCAUUGACAAUGUAUUGAAGUUACAUGGCCCUCCAUCGGCAAUAGUUUCGGAUCAUGACCGGAUCUUCACAAGUAAACUUUGGCAGUAUAUAUUCAGAAGCAUGGGCAGUGAACUACGCCGCAGUUCUGCGUAUCAUCCACAAUCUGACAGUCACGCGGAAUGUGUGAAUCCAUGCAUCGUAAAUUACUUGCGCUGCGAGGCAUCUGAAGAGCCGACAAAGUGGACAAGUCGCCUGGCAAUGGCGGAGGACUGUUACAAGACUUCUUUUCAUUCCUCUCUUCGGAAAAUCCAUUUGAACCAAUGUACGGAUACCCACCCCAAGCAUUUGUGAAAACAUCCUCCCUGACAGUAUUAGUGAUGAAGCCGUAUUAGGGCACCUACAAUGGAGGCGCUUAGCCCGGGCGCUAGGGUCAAAUCCCCAGCUGUUAUGCCCCAAAUCCCAGCCCUUUUUUUCUGUUCCCAGCUAAGCCCAGGCUUCACGCUUGCGUCGACGCAACUUCUCGCGCCGGGCGCUAGACCUCUUUUCCUUCUGCGCUAGGACUGGAAGUGUGCCAUAUUAAGCGCCUAGCCUUGUUAUUAGCGUUCGAGGAUUGGAUGCUACAGCAGCUGCUACGUGAUUUAACUUUUCUUUUAUUUUCCUAAGCGCUCGUGCAAGCGGCCAGGCAUUGGACAUGCCCUUAGUGCUAAAGCAGAGCACUUUAUGAAUGACGGAGACAAGUGGAUGCAGCAACUGAAAGACAAUUUGGCAGCAACUCAAGCGCAUGAAAAAGUGCGGAUCGCAAGCGUAUUGAGCGCAGUUUCGACGUGUGGGACAUGGUGUAUUUGAAGGUGCAACCGUACCGCCUAAAUGUAUUUGGUUUGACGGCGCACAUCAAAUUGUAGAGCAAAUUCUACGGGCCAUUCCGAGUGAUUCCUAAACUGCGAAAAGUGGCCUAUAAAUUGCUCCUUCCAGAGAAAGCCCAUACGGGCCUCAAGCUAUUCCAUGCGCUGAUCUCCCUCUGGUUGAAGAAGACGAACGGAUCAAAACUGGGCCAGUUUUAGUACUGGACACACAGCAAAUUCCUUGCAAUAAUCUGCCUAUGGUCCAAUGAGCGAAUCUACCACUAGAUGAUGCAUCCUGGGAAGACACUGAUUUCAUCAAGACCACCUUCCCGGCCUUGUUCAAGCAAACAGUACGGGGCUGGUUCGAUCGCCAUCAACUCCUUGAGGACAAGUUCGUCUUCACGGGGAGGUAUUGUCAGGCCGAAACUGCUUCAGAUAACUCCUCAUCAAGAUUCAGUUAGUGGACGCUCAAGAUUGAAGCUCGUCACAGGAUCGGACGGCUCAUGGGACUCGCCGUCUAUUCAACCAAUAUUUACUAUUCGCUCCAUUUCAAAAUAAUACUAAAGUUAGUACAAAAUUGAGACAGUUAUUUUGAGAUGAAGGGAGUAUUAUUGUAUCAGUUCACUUGCCGAGUUGUUUCCUUUCUACCUGUUGCCAGCGGGGCAAUUUAAGCCUCCCCUGUUUCUAUGGAAUCAGCAUUGGAUUCUAUUGUGAGCCUUUGGCCAUACUAAACCUAUAGCUUCCCCAAUACUCGAUCCCACGAACCCUAGUUCCUUUCAGUCAUGCCAUCCCACGACGGGUCGCAACUACCCAACGGAAAAUAAACAGCUAGACUACAUGACAGGCAGUGGGCGUGCACUCUGCCAUGACACAACAUAUUGAACAGCAAAGUUUACUGCAACAAUUUACGUCAGUGAAUGGAGAACAAAAUAGUUGACAACUUACGAGCCACAGUACAUUAAGAAGCUAUUAAUAACUCUUACAAUAGGGCAAAAACUGAAAGAAAACUCGGGUCCACGGCGUAAGGCUAUGCUGUUUCCCUGGCAAGGCUCCUUCCCUGGCAGAUGAUCUAGACAGUUGUUAUUCCUCGGUGCUCUACCGGUACUCCUGAUGAUGGAAUCUGGCAUAUAUCGCUCCAGGGAUCAUCUGACCUGCCUCCAUCUUAAACCACCACCCUUCUGCCCAUG